RNAcentral lists this long non-coding RNA (127618 nucleotides) under Eucalyptus grandis. RNAcentral describes it as "long non-coding RNA (EGRA_LNC004236)". Lineage: Eukaryota; Viridiplantae; Streptophyta; Magnoliopsida; Myrtales; Myrtaceae. The record is from RNAcentral.
AAAAACAUGCAGCUAACAGAACCACCACUCCACAUUCAAUCAAAUAUAUCUUAUUUGACAGUAUGCUUAAGAUAUUAGCUUGGGAAUAACAAGUUCCAUCUAUUACAAUGACGACCACAUCUUAGGAGUGAUUAGUGUUGCUUUAUUUAUUUAUAUUCUAAAACUUGACUCUAAAGAACAAAGUACGAAUGACACUUAGGGCUGCUUGUGCAGGUGGCUUUGGUGCCAAAUAUUGGACAUGAUCCUCUGCUGUAUGCUCUCAGAGCCGUGCAAGUACUGGCCCUUUAUGACAAGUUAGAUGUUCUUGACAUCAAUAAGGUGACAGAUUGUAUCCUUGGGAAUAGAGCGUCUUAGAUUCACAAGUUCCUUGAUGAACUUACCUUAGACUCUGUUUUGCAUGUAAAAGGUCAGAUUACGUUAUGUUAUGGAAUUUUAUAGCUGUAUAUUGCUAACCAGACAUUGAUUGGGGGGGUGGCUCUAUGGAGAUUGAAAUUGCUAUUGCUGGAUUAUCUCUGGUAUCGAAUGUUAUACAUUUUUGUACCUGAAUGAAGAUGAAUCUCUCUCUGGGGAUAUAUGGGGAGAAGUUGAUGCUCGGUGUCUUGUCCUCAUCUUUGAUCAAUUAUUAUUUUUGUGCUUCUUGAGGAUGUUUCUUAAAUAAUUGACAUCCCUUCACCACUUUUUCCCUUCGAAGAUUCUCUCAUUGUGCUAGAUGCUGUCUUGCGAUACUAAAACGGUUGGAUUCGAUAAAUGUGGAGAAUGCUGUCAGAUAUAUGGUGAGUUGCCAAACUUUGGAUGGCGGGUUUGGUUGCAUUCCCGGUGCAGGGUCUCACCUGAAAUGAUACCAUUGCAAACAGCCUUGGCUUCCAUCUUGAUUGUAUAAUCACCGUGUGAACCACUGACGUCUAAGAUAUCCUAAGACAACGCACUAAUGUCCUUGCUCUCUCAACUAAUCUACGUGGUAGUAUUUAAUAGUUGGAGAAAAUCAUUCGGUCUAAUAGCUAUAUCUACAAGGAACUAUUUGUCGCCAAAAUGCCAACUAAGAUUCCAGAAUCUCGCCGUACCAUCACAAAAGGUAAAGAAACUUCAGAGUCGCCUAAGAUAUUAUUAAGCUACGAUCUUCACAAGACAAUGAGCUCCUUAGGAUCGGUAAGACUAUAGUCUCAUAUAAAUUAAAUACGGUUUAAUCUUGGUGACAGUAUAUUUUGAGAAUGUAAACUCGACAUCAAGGCAUACUUAAUGAAUUUCAUAAAUCAUCUGUUUCAAAUAAUUUUUCUUUGCAAUUCCUAGGAUCCUACAAUGUGCAGUUCAGAGUCUACAUUCGGGGACACAGCAGGUCCACAAUUGACGGCAAGUAUCCCAAUCUGAAUAACCUCAGGACUUAGUAAAGUAGUAAUCAUGAGAUUAAGAGAACCGCUUAAAUCCUAGAAUGCUUUGCUAACUGAGCAAGGAAGCACACUUCAAACGCGUAAGACCCGCAAUGAGCGACAAUCGAAAAUUGCAUUCUCAUAAGCAGUCACGGAGGGCCUCAAAAGAAUUGCAGUUCUUUCCUCCCCUAGCUAAGCAAUAACGUAAGUUUCUCCAGUCCAAUGUCCUACCCUUGAAUAAUAUAGAGCAAAUCUAGCAACCCAACCCAAUCUAGCAAGUAUGUCAUAACCUCAUGCUGGAGCUCUUUCGUUGGUUUCUAAUUUCUGAUUGGUGCUUAGACACUCAUGUAUUUGCUUAAAUACAUGGUGGUCUUCAAAUUAUGUUCCAAUGUACACAUCCAAAGGAUAAAACCGAGCUGCCACAGUUUCAAGACAUUCCUUAGGACUCAUCUUAGACGUGAGAAAGUCGGAAGGAAGGAAUUGCUGAUUCAGGAGGAGAAUUGGGCAUAAAACAAUAAAGCACCAAGCAAGUAAAUUAAGAUGCAAAAGAGCCUGACCAAGCACCUUCCUAAGUGGCUCAUUUUUCUCACUUCUUUCAAUUCAAAUUAGAAGAUAUUUGCAAAACGGAGAACAUGAACGUGGGAGCAAUCAUGACGCGACGAGAUUUGGUGUUUCUACUUCAACAGAUAACAAAACCAUGUGUAUUUUGUCUAGCCAAUUGUCCAGUCGAUCACGUACUAAAUUUGACCUGUGGAAUCGCCAACCAUAUGCAGCAGACCUCAAAUUACCAAUAGAAACCACAACUGCCCAAAAUAUAAAGAAAAAAAAAAACCCUAGAUAUCGCAUUUUAAUUCUGCAUGAUGAAGCAAGAAGAGAAGAACUGGCUGCUUCAUUUUCAAUCAUCAAGAGCUCAUCACAGGUAAAAAAGAGACAGUGGAUACUUAUUAAAGCGACCAUUAACCAAACUUUAGAAUGUACUUACAGACAAACUCUUCACGAGAAGAUGCUUAAUAUCCUGUGCACAGGAUUACGCUCAAUCGAGCAGUUCACAAAAGCGUAGCAACAUAACUAGGCUAGGCAUACAGACCCUUAUACAACUAUUAGCAUAUGAAACUAGAGCUACAGCUCAUGCUUAACUAUGCAAAAACAAAUCACACGAUUACAUUCAACUAAACACCAACUUCCACACCAAAAAAAAACACCCCAAAAAAAAGAAAAAGAAAAAAAGAACACCAACUGCCGCACCUUUCUUACCUGUUCUUCAGCGAUUAGCUAGUGAUCCAGAGCUCGAGUUCAGGCCCAUGACUCCCGCCACUCAUGGAGUUAAUGAAUGCAACCGUUCGAGCCUCAUGUGGCACCAAAUUCCUCCAGCUGAGCGGCACAGAAGAAGAAAGUGUGCACGAGAGUGAACAGUGGCACUGAAGGAGGACUUGAAGCUCGUGGACAUCGAACUCGAAGCUCACGAAUGACGAGCUUGAAGCUCGCGGACGACAGAACCUGGGAAAGGAGAGACGACGGCGAACGACAGACUUAAGCUUGCGAGGAGCGAGCAAGUAUUGGAUUCGGAGUCGCAGAGAAGCGAGCGACAGCGAUUUGCAGAAAGGAAUAAGAACCCUAAUCCUAAUCCACUUCAGGCCCUUUUUCCCCUUUCUUUUUUCUUGUUCUUUUGCCGACUCUGUCUCUUUCUUCCUUUUCUUCUCUUUAUUUUUCUGGCCCUGCAGAAGGAAACAAUAAGGUGAGUUGAGAUCUAUUGGGACUACAUUUCUCUUGAGAAAGGCCCUUUUGUUAUAGAUGGUGAGGGAGGUAAGAUACCCAACGUCGCCACCGAAGUGGACAUACACAACAUAUGGAGAUUCCCAGUAAGAUGGGGAAUUUUAAUAAGAUUUUCCUUGGUUGCGCGUUUUAGAAUUAGUUCACUGUCUCUCUUCACUAGAAUAAAGCAGAAAUAGAAAGCGAGCAAAGCAGAAGAAACAACGAUGAUCUAUGAAUAGAAAGAACGCGCACCGUUUUCUGCAGAGAAUCCUCUGUUUCUGUUUCAGAGUCCGCUGUUUCAAUUUCAGAGCUCUACCCUAAUUCAGAGCUCCACGCUUGCUUCGCUCCAUUCAGAAUCUUCUCUCUGUAAGACUUCCAACGGUCACGCCUAAAACCCAAGGGAGAAAUACUACAGUCGGGGAACUCCCCGCUACCUAGUAUGGCUAUCGAGCAAUUAUCUGGUAUUUUUUAGCUCAGUGGAUCAAGAAUCCUUCCCACUGAUCCGCAGUAUAUAAUUUCCAAGUCACCCAAAAACUCUAAUUCAUUAAUGCCCUCGACAACCUUCAGGCUCGGGCACUGGUCAAUCUCUAACUGCGCUUCAAGUUCUUCAAGUUUGACAAACCACCUAAGCUUUUUAACGAAAAGCACUGUUUUACAUAAAAUUCUUCCAAUGAUUCAAACGCAGUAACAAAUUGAAUAUCCUGUACCUCGGCAAACCCUGACAGAAUAAAUUUUACAAGCAUCUUUUGGGAGCUUGGGAAAAGGAAGACUUCCCUCCCAUGAUCAGUCAACUCGGGAGCUUGUGGUUCACUGCACCCCGGCUCCCCCGGCAGACAAACCAACCUCUCAGAAGAUUUGCAAUCCUGAAUACGUGAUCUCUCCGACGAUUCUAAGACAUCUAGAAAUUGAACAUCAAGUUGCUGGUACACCUUGCUUUCUCUCGAUUUUCCCGAACUCGUUGAAAGGAGUAGAGUCUCCUUUUCCGAUGGAGGAAGCCCACCGAGGUGUACUUGUUUCCCUCGAGUUUCGUAGAGCUGUAAAUCUAUCAAGUUUGGAGGAAGUUAUUUGAAAGCUGGCAAGCCUAUGCCAUGUACAGUAAGUUCUUUCAGCAGAGAAAGCGAAUCCAACUGUGUAGUUGGUACGCAGACACUUGAAAAGCGAAGGUACAGCUUCCUCAGUUUGGACAGCAUCCCGAUCCACCGCAAGUCACAAGUUUGAAUAACAUUUGAUGCCUCUCUAUAUUCAGAGCCAUCGGAUAGGACCAACUCAACUAGAUUUGUAAGGUAUGAGAGAUUAGGAAUAGUCAGCAACAAAAGAGAAUCCAUCCGUAGAGUGGUCAAACUUAUGGGGAGCUUUGGCAACUCUUGACAAUAAUCCAAGUCCAGUGUUUGGAGUUGACGAAACUCGCUCAUUGUAUAGGGCGUUUUUGAAAUUGGUCUCCAACGUACAUCCAGCUUCGUUAACAACUUUAAUUUUGAAACAGAGCCAAGAAGUUUAAUCAAGCGAUCCCAACCAUCAAAACAGAUGUGCCGCAAAUUCUGUAAUUCUCCAAUUUGUUCAGGCAAUUUUUUAAGUUGCGAACAAUCCUUAAAACUCGAGUCCCUCAGCCAGCGAUCACUUUCCAUCAAAGCAGCAAAUAUAGAAAAUUUCAACUUCUCUAAAUUUGAGCACUCAGAAAAGGUUGGUGUCCCACUCAUCGAAGUACUAUUCUCAAUAGUGAGAACCUUCAAUUUCCUUGCCCCCUACAAAAGCCAAUGAAAGAGCAGGACAAACAAGAAAUAAAUAUGCAUUCAGGGUACCAAUGAGAAAAUUAAAUAAAAAAUCCAUAAAAUUCUGUCCUUCAUUGAAUGAGAAAAUUAGACUAAGAGGGGAAACUAGCAUACCUUGAUUAGGCUAUCUAACAAAUCUUUUGUGAUUUCUAUCCCAUAAAGAUUGGCCACAACCACGUUUUCUAGACGCAACAAAUUGGUUGCCUCCAAAUAAUGUUGAUUACCACGAGGGCAACACAAACGGAUCCAUUUCAACUCAGAAAGACAGCCCGUAAAGUCACCUCGGUAGAUUACACCAUCAAAACAAAGAAACCGCAGACGUGGAAACCGUUUGAUUUGCUCCAAAGUGACAGUCAUACGAUAAUGAGAAUGAUUCCAUGGCAAAUCGAGUGCUUGGACGCUUUCUUUGAUCUGCCAAUUCGUAGAAGAGGAGAAAAUGAAACAAAAGAGUAGCUCUCAAGAUAAAAAGUGAAUCUUGAAUUAAGAAGAGGGUAUAAGUAAUGUUCUAUUCAAUUUAGGCCAUACUUUACCUUCGUUGAUCUUAAUUCGCGAACGAUGUCGUCUUCAUCCCACAAUCCGAUAUGCUCUUCUCUGGCAAUUUUCCUUCCAAGGUCUCUAAAUUGAUCGUGCAUCCAAAGGCUAUUAUUGUCUAACUCCUUUAUCAUGCAUCUGUUAAUGAGGACAUCCAUGGCAUCCUCUGGGUACAAAUUACAAUCUUUCCACACGUACAUUGGAUUAGUCUUAUUCCCACCAGCGAAAUAGCAUGCAAUAUCAAGGAAUAUCUGCUUUUCAUUCUGAUCUAAGGCAUCAUAGCUAAUCUUUAGCUUUGCCAAGACAUCCUUAUGAGGUGUUUUCUUUAGCCUCUCUAGCCACUCUUCCCAUAUCUCUCUCUUUUUCCCAAAAAGUGAUGAACCAAUUGCUUGAAGAGCUAAAGGUAGUCCACAUGUAGUAUCAACAAUGCCCUUUGAAAAAGCGCAAUAAUCAGCCGGAGGAGAGUCUUCAUUGAAGGCAUGCCUACUAAAAAGUUUAAGUGCAUCUUUACUGAUCAACCCCAUCAUUUCAUAAUCCUUAAAUUCAUACUUAAGUUUCCUGUUAGUCAAAACGUUCUUGUCCCUAGUGGUAACAAGUAUUCUACUACCUCGAUGCAAAGAUUUCUCUCCAAUUAGUUGUAGGAUCUGGUUGGCCUCAUCAACAUCAUCCAAUACAAUUAGCACCUUCUUGUUGGAAAUUGUUGCUUCAAUCAUAUCAAUCCCUUCAUCAAUCUUAUUAAUUUUGUGAGCCACUCUAGAAUAAGAGAUAUCAGACAAUAAUUUUUUUUGUAGCUCGACUAUGUUCUUGUUUUUUGCUGUUUCCCUCACGUCAUCAAGAAAGUUGCAAUUUCUGCCAAAUCGAGGACAUAGUUCGUUGAAGAUAGUCUUGGUGAGUGUUGUUUUGCCGAUGCCGCCCAUCCCGUAGAUUCCAAUGAACUGCACAUCAUCAGAAUCAAUGUCUAAUAAUUUCUUUAUGUUUGCUAUUUGAUCUUCCAUUCCAACGAAAUCUCCGGUUACACGUCUCCGUUUUGUCUCGAGCUUGGCCACAACCUCGUCAACAAUAGCCUGGAUGAGUUUUAAAGGGCUGCCACAAAGUUGAACAGUUUCAAUUGAGCAAACGUGACAAAUUUGCAUAUUGACCAUCUACUAACCAACCGGGUGGGGACGCGAUCAAGUUCAAAAAUAUAGAAGAGAAAUGUUGAUCUUUAUAUCAGGUAGAAGAAUCAGAAUUUCUGGCAAAAAAGGGUAGAAGAAUCAAAAUAUAAACAUCUAAUGAAUUAAUGUACUGGAAUAUUUACUUAAAUAAAAAAAUGGCAGCCCGAUUAUACAAAAUAAUUUUCACAAUCAUGGUUAGAUUGUUACCUUGAAUGUUUCUCCACCUCCCAUCCCUUGAUGCCACCAACUUCUACGAGAGACUCCCGCCACGUCUUUAUAUUCUCGGAGCUGAACUUAUGCUCCCGAUCCUCCAUCUCUUGCUCCAAAUUCGAUAUGACAUCCUUGUAUAACGGUGUUUGCAGCUUCACAUUUUUGGGCUUCACGUCAUAGAAGAUGGGCAAUAUGACCUUCUCUUUCCCAUCUUCUUUAUGUUUAGAGGUGUUCUCCACCAUUUUCGCAAGCUCAUCAAGGCACCAGUGACUUGAUGCAUAAUCUUUGGAGAAGAUGGGUAUGUAAAGCUUGCAAUUGUCAAUCACAUGCAGAAGGUUGCUAAUUUUUUCACCCGGUUGAAGCCCUACAUCAUCGAUGAAAACACGAAUCCCGGCAUCUACCAAGGCUUCGUGGAGGAUAUUGGUGAAUAAAACACGAGUAUCAGGCCCUCUAAAACUCAGGAAAACCUGGUAUUCACCUCCUAAUGCGUUGCUGGUGCUCGUUCCUGUCCCAGAUUUUGCCAUAGGCGCUCACUUCGCACUUAACAACGUCAGCCCUCUCACCUCGUCUCUGAGUUCUCAAUACGACAUUUCACAUAUUUGAAUCCGAUCCCAUUUGCCAUCCAAAACGCGGAUAGGCAACUUCGUAGCAGGUGCUGUUUCUAGUUUACAGCCAAUCAAGUUGAUGACUUCAAAAAAGAAAAAUAAGGCGAAGGACGAUAAUGGAGAUGCACCUUUUUACACGCCCAAUGUCCUUCGAGUUUCUCCUUUGUGCUUUUCACUUUGUCUUGAUCUCUCCGCCUUGAAAACUUACCUUCAAUUAUAAUCAAUUUCCUUUAACAACUCAAUUAUUGUCGUAAAAUGUGCGUUUAUAUUAAAAAGUAAAUGAUCAUUUAUGUCCUACUAACAACUAUUAGAAUGUAAGCAUGGUGUAGUUAGUGCAGUUUGGAUGUCAAAUCAAACCAAACUAUAUAAAUAUGCUAGAAUAUAUUUUGAGUUUGAGCACCUUGGAUGAAAUAGGAUCGGAUGAGAAUUAUAGGCGCUCGGCCACUGUUCAAAAUUGGUGAGAGGAAGCGCAGUGAUGACUUGUCAAUGGCCAUGAUGCCAGUCCUUGCUUUGAGCACGAAAGAAAGAAAGAGAAACCAUGAUGGUCCUGACCACGAGAGACGGCUUUUGCUCAGCUGAAGAAGAGAAAACGAGAUUAAUGAUGGCCAUUGCCGAUAAUGGGCCGAAAGGGAAGAAGACGAAGAAAGUUGCAAGGACGGUGUCUUUUCAUGUUGGCCACUCAUUGUUUCCUUACUUCUGCUUUAUUUGGUUCCCGCUGAAUUUCCUCUUUAAGUACCAAGAGGAAGAGCUCUUAAAGUCAUAGAGAGCUCUGAAGGCUGCACAGAGCAUAUCGAAAAGCGUGUCGAGAGUUCCUCUCGAUAACACCAAAUAUUUAUGUUCUAAACAGGAUUAAAUCUUUCGUUAAGAUUUGCCUCUUACUUUUAAGAGAUUGGGAAAUUUUUUCAAGAGAAAUUUUGAAGGCUAAACAUUUUAUGAAUUAUUGAGUAUAACUAGGAUUUGAAAAAUAUCAAGAUUUUUUAAAUGGCUCAAGUAUGAUUGUAAAUUUCAUCAUAUCUUUUGAAUUAUAAUUGAAUAUUGUAUUGCUCUCUCUCAUAAAUAUAAGUCAUAAAUCGAAUCACGUAAAUUUAAUAUCAGAUUCAUUUCUUUAGUUUGUGCAUUUUAUUCAUUUUUUUUCCAAAAAGGAAUAUGGUUUGAAGGAAAGUGAAACCCAACUAAAAGAUAUUCAAUAUGAUCAGCAUUAGGGGGUAUUGUUCUUUUAUUGCCAUUUUGUCCUUUGAAUCGCUCCAGGCCGUGUGUACCUUUCACUUUCCUUCCUUCAUUUUCCAUGAUCCUAUGGUCACAUAUAUUUUAUUUAUUUAGUUUUGGACGCAACAUAUCAAGAAAACCCUAAAUUUGCAACUACAAUCUUGAUAUAUUAAAUAAGUCUAUUUUGCAUUAUUUGACAUAGAUUUUCACGACGUUUGUUAGCGAUGCAUUUUUUUUAAUUAGCAUGUUUAAUAUAAAUCAUUUUCAUAUUUUAUCUCUUAAUAAUUUUUCAUGAGAAAUUGAAAAUCAUUAGGAAUAUUAUCCUUCGAAAUUUGAAGUAAUGAAGCUCGGAUAGAGCCUAGCCGCAAUUAUUUAUUUUUUGGCUUGUUUUAUUUAUAAAUGUCUUUCAUGGCGUUAUUGGUUGGUUUGACUUGUUGACUAAAUCAGUGCACUGUACGAAGUCUUCGAGAGGAUGACUUGUACACAUUUAUUUUCUCAUUCAUAACACUAGUAUCCAAAUCAUUGGACUCAAUUAACACCGAUUCAUAAACGCAAACCACUCCAUCCACAUACGUUAGAUUAGUUCCAUUCACAGGAUGGCUAGCAAGACACUAGCAAUGAGUAAGAGACACCAUGAUCAAAUUUGAACAAAUUUCUUUUUUCAAGAAUUGCAUUCAAAAUACACCUAAUGCACUCAUGACGGUUUAUAGGAACUCAACUCUGCACAACAAUCCUUUCUAUCACAUGGCAAUCGGAUAUCAUAACUAUGGUCAUCUUCGAUGCACUACUUUGUUCAACUUAGCAACACCUUAUGAAAACGCUACGGAAAUGUACAUCCUAUGCUUUCAAGCCAUUGCCUCAAACAAUUGAAAUACAUGAAAAACGUGCAUGAUUACUUUUUAGUAAAUUGGAAGAUCACCAUAUUACAAAAUCCCCAAAAGAUGCCAAAAUGCCAUUCAUCAAAAUCACGCUUUUACCUUUUUAUCAAUCACGCAUGUUGCGCGCAACUUUAAUAAACCCAAAAGGUUUUAGGCAUGUGAAAAUCGAUGUUAUCAAAUGAUUAGUUUUUGGACCUAUUGCUUUGAGAGCUAAAGGUAGGCCAUCUACUGUAGAGACAAUGCCUUAUGAAAGAAUGUAGUUAUUGAUCAAAGGAGUUGUCAUCGAAGGUGUUAGAGAUAGUUAGAUAUCUUCUAGAGAUAUUUAGGAAUUUUUCUUUGAUUUUCUAUAUCUAUUUUGAUUAUGUAUUUGUGAUUUAAUUUCAUUGGAUAGUCAUCUAUUGAAGCCUACAAAUAGGCUCUCCAUGUAUUAUUUUCUAUAUAUCCUAACAUACACAAAUUCUCAUUUUCUCUCUUCUGAUUUUUAACAUUUAACUCGAUAUUAGAGCUGACACACCGAUGCUCCCUAAGCACUCUAAUGCACAUUGCACACCGCCACUCAACAAUCAACGGCAUCCCCAUUGUGUGCACAAGUCUAAUCUAAGGAAGCACUAAAUUGAAUCCAUUCCAUGAUGACCAUGUUUCGACGUCAACCGUUCCAGCCGCGUUGCCCAAUGGAUCCUUUAUCACAAAAGUGGCUUUUUAGGCUGAUCUUGCACUCAGAAAAAGGAUAGUUUUGAGUCGGUGGUUAUGGAGCACCUGAGAUUUUUUUUUUUUUUUUUUUUGGCUACAAGGAGCACCUGAGAUUGAGUGGAGCAUAUUGGGGAUCGACCGCUCUAGAUCUUCUUGAAAACCUGACACCAUGGAUUCAAAUGAAGUUGUUUUGCGGAUCCUGCAAUGCUAGCAUGAGUCUGGUCGGUAGUUAUUUGUCUCUUGGCUUCUUUCUUAAAUACCCACGAGAAACAUGCGGUAUUUGAAAGAAUGACCAACAUUUUAGCUCGGGAUUAACAGAUUACCUUUAUUACAAUGAUGACCACAUCUUAGGGGUGAUUAGUGUUGCUUUAUUCAUCUUUUAUUAUAGCUUCACUCUAAGGGACAAAGUGCAUGUCACCUACGGCUGCUUUUACAAGUGUCUUUGGUGGAAACACGGGACAUGUUCCGCAUCUGCUGUAUACGCUCGGUGCCGUGCAAGUUUUGGCCCCUUUUUGACAAGUUACAUGUUCUUGACAUCAACAAGGAGACAGAUUGUAUCCUUUGGAAUGAAGUAUCCUAAUUUGCCAAACUCUUACAUAGAUGCAAGUUCCUUGGUAUUAUUUUAUGUUUUUAUGUUUUCAACAUCAUGAGAGUAAUAAACUUACCUUAGGUUCUGUUUUCCAUGUAAGAGCUCAGAUUAUGUCAACUUUUUAAAUGUUGUAAAAUUUUGAUUAAGGUUGCUUUAUAGUGUGAGUAUUGUUAGCCAAACAUUGAUGAGGGGGCUCUCUCUAUGGAGAUCGAAGUUGCUAUUGUUGGAUAAUCUCUGGUAUUAAAUGCUCUCCAUUGUUGUGCCUGAACAAUUAUUCAGACAUCAAAGCACUGUAAAACGAAGAUGGAUCUUUCUCUGGGGAUAUAUGUGGCGAAGUUGAUGCUCGUUUCCCUCCGAAGAUUCAGUAAAUGUGGAGAAGGCUAUAAGUUAUAUAGUGAGUCGCAAAACUUUCGAUGGCGGGUUUGGUUGAACUCCUGGUACAGAGUCUCGUGAAGGGCAAAGUGUGUCAUAACCUUACGCCGCAGCUCUUUCGCUGGUUUCUAAUUUCUGAUUGGUGCUUAGUAAGUCAUGUAUUUGCUUAAAUACAUGGUGGUCUUCUAAUUAUGUUCCAAUGAACAUCCAAAGGAUAAACCGAGUUGCCACAAUUUUAAGACAUUCCUUAGGACUAAUCUUAGACUUGAGGAAAUAUAAUGAUUCCGGAGGAGAAUUAGGCAUAAAAGAAUGAAGCACCAAGCAAGUAAAUUAAGAUACACAAGAGCCUGACCAAGCACCUUGCUACAAAGUGGCUCAUUUUUCUCUCUUCUUUCAAUUCAAAUAAGAAGAUAUGGGAAAAUUGUCUAAAAAUUCAUAAACCUAUCAAUCAUGAAGCGAUAAGAUUUGGUGUUCUUGCUUCAAUAGAUAACAAAGCCGUGUGUAUUUUGUUUAGCCAAUUGUCCAGUCGGCCACGUAGUAAAUUUGACCUACGGAAUCCCCAGCCAUGUGCAACAGACCUCAUAUUACCAAUGGAAAAUAUAUAUAUAUAUACACCUGAAUAUUCCAUUUUAAUUAUGGAUGAAGAAUCAAGAAGAGAAGCAUUGUUUGAUUCAUUUUCAAUCAUUGAGAGCUCUUCACAGGUAAUAAAGAGACAAUGGAUACUCAUUAAUGCGACCAUUAUCCAAACCUUAAAAUAUACUUACAGACAAACUCUUCACGAGAAUAUGUUCAACAUCCUAUGUUGAAAGUUUCGCGAACUUUGCAAUAACAUUCAUGAGAAUGGUUCGAUUCUCAUAUGGUCGAUUGCAAACAUUUACAUCGCCGUUCUUCAUCAUAGCUAUUUCUAGAAUUUUAAGGCUUUCUAAUCUCAAGUCAGCCCACCAAAUAGACAUAAUUCUUUUAAUACGCUAACUAACAGAUGCACAACACUCCGGCACAUGAUUCCACUCAAUCAAGCAAUCCACAAAAGCAUAGCAACAUAACUAGACUAGGCAUACAAAUAGUCAAACAAAUGCAAGAAAGCAGACCCUUAUACAACUAUUACCAUAUUAAGCUAGAGCAUGAGCUCGAGCUCAUGCUUAACUACGCAAAGAUAAAUCACACCAUUACAUUCAACUAAACACCAACUGCCACACCAAAAAAAAACAGUAAAAAAAAAAAAAAAAAACUGUCACAUCACUCGUACCUGUUCUUCAGCGAUUAGCUAGUGAUCCGGAGCUUGACUCUACCUUUUUACUCCUUUUCUUUCACAUUCUUGUGUGCACGCAUUGGGCAAGUAUGCUUUUUGGGGGAAUCGGAUAUGCGGUUACGAUCCUGACCUCACUGGCUCACAGCACAUCCCUCUUUACACGUGGCGGGGGACCCACCUCGCCACUUGUGAUGGCGAGGGAGGUGCUCACCGUCGAGCGCGCAACUGGACAAGUUGGGCUUGCGGUCUAGCGAGGGUCGGUCGUCUCUUUGUGAGUUUUCCUCUUUCCCAAAGCGCGCGAGUCGCGCGUGUGGGCACCGACCGCCGAAAAGUUGGAAAAGUAUGUCUUCUUUUUUCAAUCUAUCGAAUUCCUUACAGAAAUGGUAAAUACAUGAUUUGUACAUAUCACGGUUCACUUAUAAUCAUGACGUACUACAAGAUGUGAGAACGAUAUCAAAUUUACUAGAACAUUGCAGUUCUGCAUUUAAAAAAUGAGGGAACGAGAAAAUUGGGAAGAAGGCGGUGCUUUAUUGUAAAGUUGUGUUCAAGUCCGACCAUGUCUUUAAUUAUUGCUUUGCCUAAACUUUGUAUUAUCAAUGUAAUCAAACCAAUGAUUGUGCCCUCCACGUAAUAAAAUGACACAAUAUACAUGAGAUAUAAUCUAUGUCUUAGGCAUUGAGAGAAAUGUUUCAUAGCGAUGCUAAAGUUUAGAUGACCAAUGUCAAAAACUUUCCCACUUUUCUUUUGCAAGUUGUCUUCUUGAUAUGGCGUAAUGCUACCAGAAACCCUUAAGCUUUAUAAUUAUGUGCAAUGCCGUCUUUGACUUUUUUUUUUUUUUGCAAUCAAAUUCUCGAACUAUGAUUUAUCCAUUCACUUUGGAUCUUACAUUAAAAGAUGAAAAAAAAAUGCUUAUGUGACCGUUAAAUGCCAAGUUGACUCAAUGUGGCUCCAGUGUCCCUAUUAGAAAGAUUAAAGAAACAAAAAAAAAGUAAAUUUUCUUCAUUGAAGAAAAUUUGGAGCGACAACACCAUCUUGAGCCCAAGCCCACAGGCAAUUUGUUGAUAGUGUUCGAGUUUGAUGAGGGGAGUAAGGACAAAGAUCGGAACACUUUUCAAUAGAAGCCCACCCAAUUGGCUUCGACUUUUGAAGCAGAGAGCGGUGGCUUCAGCCGCCCGUGGCUUUCUCAACGGUGUUGCGUUGAUUUCCAACAGCGUUGAGGAUAUUGGAGAUGACUAGAAAUUCUUCGUGUCUUUUUCUCUCAUAUUUUAAGUCAGUCAUUUUGGGCCUAACCCAGCCCAAAAUUAAAUUAAUGCCAAUCCAAGAGGACUUGUUUAGGCCCGAACCUUUCAACCGGGCCUGAAGUUGAUCGGGUGGGACAUAUUUUUCAAUAGAAAAGCCACCCAUUUGCAACUGUACUUCCAAUUACUAGACACCAAAGGAACUCGCGAACUCAUUGCUACACCAUUCUUUAUUUGCGAGAGACAAACAAGCAAUCCUAUUCUGUAACAUAGAAAUGGCAACAAUUUAUUGCUUAUGCCUCUUCAGGAUCAAUUUUUUCCCAAAAUCAACCAACUAAUAUUAAAUUAGCCCCAAUAGCAACUGGUCACGAUAUUCCAACAAUGUUAACCCUAAAGCAGUAAAUAUGGUGCUGAAUAUUAAAGCAAGGCAAAACCAACACCCACAUAUUUUACGUGAAAAACUCAAUACAUGAAAAAUCAUUGGGCCAGUCAAAAUCUUCCACUAAUCAUUAAUAAUAGCAAAAUACAUAAUAGUUUAUCUCUAAUAACACAGCUAGAGGCUCUUCACAUUAGCAAAACAUUAUUACAGCAAAGGUGAAUUAAUACAAAGAUGCAAGAAAGAUCUAACCGCUGCAGAGAAAAUUAAGAGACAAUUUGGAGAAGAUACAAACAAAAUCAAAGAUACAAACAAAAUCAAUCAACUUGUAGAUCUUGGACUCAUGUAUAGCAUACCGAACUUUCCACCAAUUCCAACAAAGUUACACUAUUGAAUCCGAACUGCCUCUUCUCUUUUUCAAAGCAAAGCUCUCCGCCUCUUUCUCUUUGUAACAUUGAAUUGCUCUUCUCUAUCUUCUAAAUCAAGAACAUUCAGCCCUAUCUUUUCUUUUUGAAUUUAAGAAGAUGAGAUGGGGCUCGCAAGAGGUGGAUCUCCCCCUCUGCCUCACGAGGGAAGUUCCAUCAUACCCACUUAAUCUGUACAAGAAUUAAGUUUCACGAUUAGCAAGGUUUAAGUCAUCAUAUCAUAUCCAUUAUCAUCGGUGUAGACUUUCUCAAGUAAGAAAAUUUUAUUUUUAAAUUUUUCUUGGAUCCAAUGACAAGGAUAAAGCAUCAGUCUUGGGUAAAGCAACCAGAUGCAUUUCUAGUGAACAUCAAUCUUAUCUUCAGCAAUAUGACGAGGAUUAAAGCAUCCAGCAUAAAGCUGUCUUGUAUUUGCAUGAAUAGAUCUGAUCUUGUUAGAGACAAGACCACUUAUCUCUAACUAAUAACGGCAGCUACCAAAGAGUUAAUAUAUCUAGGGCAAUGUCAUGAAUUGCUCUCUGAGGAUAAACACCCUCUAGAAAUGCCAUGAGGGUGCCUCGAUGACACCACAGAUGAAGUGCCCUGUCCAUCACCAAUCGCAUGUCGCCUAAGAAUGGACCUAACUUUUUAGUAGUAACAGACCAUACAUAAAUCUGUUACAGCAAGUAAGCAAUAACCCAAGUAAACAAAACGGACUCUGCUCCUAGCAACAACUUCUACAAAUUCCUGAGAGCGCAAUCUUGAUUUUGUGUUUGUAGCUUCUUCAAGCCUAAACCACCUUCACAUGUUAUAAAACCAAGGGUCGUGUUAUAACGAGUUUGUACUUGUGUUUAAUAUCCCUUUUCAAAUGGUGAAAAUAUAAUAUUGAAAUGGAGAUAUCAGUUCCCCUAUGUCUUGUUUAGUUUGCUUGCAAACCAUAAAUGAUGGAGGUUCAGAUCAAUGGAGUAAUCUGACAAGCCUAAAUUUCAAGCUGCUAAAACAUGUGUGUUGACAGUUGAUAUAGCUAGUAUAAACACCUAGAGGGGGGUGAAUAGGCGCACAAACAAUUUUUCUUGAAUACGGAAGCAAUUCUUAACAGAUUGAAAUACGAUCGAGGUAAAGCGAGUAAGGAAGAGAAAAUUAAACACAGGAUUUAUAGUGGUUCGGCUUAUUCCAAGCCUACGUCCACUCUUCCGCACUGACAGCCCACCGGCUGGAUUUCACUAUGAUCAAAAGAGAAGUUACAGCACAGCUUUGCCUUGAUUCCACAGUGUAGAUGUUCUACCACACCUCCUCAAGGUCUCUCACAAAUAUAGACUCUCUUUUGUAUACAAGUAUUCGCUCAAGAGAUUUAUCUAAACAAAUAGGAGCUUCAGACUUUGGAAUUUUUCUAUCGCGCACUCCUCGAACAACUAAGAACGACUGCCUUAUAUACUCCUUUAUGCCAUCAUAUCCGUUGGCACUUACCAAAGGAAUUCCUCCAAUCUACCCGUUGGACGGAAUCAAUUAGGAAGAUUGUUCGAGCUAUUAAAGGAACGUGUUGAUAGCCCAUCAAUCAUGUUCGCCCAUACAAUCAGGAUCUAGGUUUCCAUAAGUAGAACCUUCCAAUAAUACUUAGACAAUCAUUGAAUCUUCAGUCAUUGAAUCAAUCUUGAUCAAUAGAAGCCCACCCAAUUGGCUUCGACUUUUGAAGCAGAGAGCGGUGGCUUCAGCCGCCCGUGGCUUUCUCAACGGUGUUGCGUUGAUUUCCAACAGCGUUGUGGAUAUCGGAGAUGACUAGAAAUUCUUCGUGUCUUUUUCUCUCAUAUUUUAAGUCAGUCAUAUUUUGGGCCUAACCCAGCCCAAAAUUAAAUUAAUGCCAAUCCAAGAGGACUUGUUUAGGCCCGAACCUUUCAACCGGGCCUGAAGUUGAUCGGGUGGGACAUAUUUUUCAAUAGAAAAGCCACCCAUUUGCAACUGUACUUCCAAUUACUAGACACCAAAGGAACUCGCGAACUCAUUGCUACACCAUUCUUUAUUUGCGAUAGACAAACAAGCAAUCCUAUUCCGUAACAUGGAAAUGGCAACAAUUUAUUGCUUAUGCCUCUUCAGGAUCAAUUUUUUCCCAAAAAUCAACCAACUAAUAGUAAAUUAGCCCCAAUAGCAACCGGUCACGAUAUUCCAACAAUAUUAACCCUAAAGCAGUGAACAUGGUGCUGAAUAUUAAAGCAAGGGAAAACCAACACCCACAUAUUUUACGUGAAAAACUCAAUACAUGAAAAAUCAUUGGGCCAGUCAAAAUCUUCCACUAAUCAUUAAUAAUAGCAAAAUACAUAAUAGUUUAUCUCUAAUAACACAGCUAGAGGCUCUUCACAUUAGCAAAACAUCAUCACAGCAAAGGUGAAUUAAUACAAAGAUGCAAGAAAGAUCUAACCGCUGCAGAGAAAAUUAAGAGACAAUUUGGAGAAGAUUUUAACAAACAAAAUCAAUCAACUUGUAGAUCUUGGACUCAUGUAUAGCAUACCGAACUUUCCGCCAAUUCCAACAAAGUUACACUAUUGAAUCCGAACUGCUUCUUCUCUUUUUCAAAGCAAAGCUCUCCGCCUCUUUCUCUUUGUAACAUUGAAUUGCUCUUCUCUAUCUUCUAAAUCAAGAACAUUCAGCCCUAUCUUUUUUUUCUUUCCUUUUUGAAUUUAAGAUGAUGAGAUAGGGCUCGCAAGAGGUGGAUCCAGCCCAGCAAAUCUCCCCCUCUGCCUCACAAGGGAAGUUCCAUCAUACCCACUUAAUCUGUACAAAAAUUAAGUUUCACAAUUAGCAAGGUUUAAGUCAUCAUAUCAUAUCCAUUAUUAUCGGUGUAGACUUUCUCAAGUAAGAAAAUUUUCUUUUUUAAUUUUUCUUGGAUCUAAUGACAAGGAUAAAGCAUCGGUCUUGAGUAAAGCAACCAGACGCAUUUCUAGUGAACAUCAAUCUUAUCUUCAGCAAAAUGACAAGGAUUAAAGCGUCCCGCAUAAAGCUGUCUUGUAUUUGCACGAAUAGAUCUAAUCUUGUUAGAGACAAGACCGCUCAUCUCUAACUAAUAACAGCAGCUACCAAAGAGUUGAUAUAUCUAGGGCAAUAUCAUGAAUCGCUCUCUAAGGAUAAACACCCUCUAGAAAUGCCAUGAGGGUGCCUCGAUGACACCACAGAUGAAGUGCCCUGUCCAUCGCCAAUCGCAUGUCGCCUAAGAAUGGACCUAACUUUUAGUAGUAACAGACCAUACAUAAAUUUGUUACAGCAAGUAAGCAAUAACCCAAGUAACCAAAACAGACUCUGCUCCUAGCAACAACUUCUACAGAUUCCUGAGGGCGCAAUCUUGAUUUUGUGUUUGUAGCUUCUUCAAGCCUAAACCACCUUCACAUGUUAUAAAACUAAGGGUCGUGUUAUAACGAGUUUGUACUUGGGUUUAAUAUCCCUUUUCAAAUGGUGAAAAUACAAUAAUGAAAUGGAGAUAUCAGUUCCCCUAUGUCUUGUUUAGUUUGCUUGCAAACCAUACAUGAUUGGAGGUUGAGAUCAAUGGAGUAAUCUCAAAAGCCUAAAUUUCAAGCUGCUAAAACAUGUGUGUCUAUAGUAUUGUCUCUUUUAUUAUCUAAUCUUUUGUUUUGAUAGGGAUUUUUUUUGAAACAUACUAAACUGACUUCAAAGGCACUUUUGCAGCCAUGAUAUUAGGUUAUAGCAGGGUUGUGUUUGUCCGAGACUACAUGGGUGCAUAGCUUAGAGGGAAUUUAAUGAAAUAUCGAUCGACUAAAUUAAAGUUCAACGCAAUCAAAUGCUAAGCUCUUAAGAAAUACUGCCCGGUAGAGAGACUUGAUUAAGAAAUUUAGCCAAAGCUCUAAUAAUUAUGUCGUGUUUGUUUCAUGAAAAAAAAAAUGAUCUAGAAAUCAUUUUUUAAAAAAUGAUCCUUGUAUCGUUCGAAAUAAUUAGUUAAUAAAUAAUAUUUUCAUUAUUAAUAACAAUUUAUGUUUAAAAUUUUUGCCCGAUCAUUCAUUUUUGUAAACGAUAUAAGUAAUAUUUUUGAAAAAUAUUUUUCAAAGUAUUCAUUUUUCGCAAAACAAAUUUUCCGCAAAACAAAUGAAGGAUAAAAAAAAAUAAGGAGAAGAAAAUGGACAAUUAGGCCCAUUUUUCGCCGGCCCAAAAAGCUUUAUGGGCUUAUUAAAACCUUCGUUCCUCAGAAAAACGAAAUAAAGAUUCAUCUUUCUUUCAGUCGACUUGAAGAGCAUUUUUGGUUCUGAAUCGAGCUCAAACCUUCGCUUUCGCUCUAAUUCACCUUCGAUCGAUCGACUGCUAAGGUCUUCGGGGAGCUAGUGCGAGCGUUUUGCACUACUAAUCGUCACUCCGCCGCUUUUGUUCUUCAAUUUGAUAUCUAUUUUGCUUUUUUAAGCUAGUUUCCGUUGAUGUCGCGACUGUUUCUCGCUGAUUAGAUCGUCUUUGACUUGGGCCUGGCUGGUUUCUGGCUCCGGUAGCUAGAAAAUGUCGAAGAUCUCUUGUGGUGACUCGAAUAAAUAGUAGUGUAAGAAGGUGAGAUGAAGAUGUAAGAAAUGUUGUGCCGUAAUUGCUGACGGGUGUCCGUGGAAUUACUUUCGUUGGACGUGCUUGUUUGUCUGUCGAAAUGGCGUGCUUUCUUUGAACUGGAGAUUAUUUUGUGCUUGAGGCAGAAAUUGGGAAUGCGAGCAAUUUGAGCAUGGACCUAUCUUCUCCAAUUGGGAAGAGAGAUGUGCUUAAUUCCCUUUUUUCCAUGUUAAUGUGCAUGUGAUUGUUUAAAACGAAGUUGAACAUAAUCUGUUGUUAAAUUUAUAGGAUCAUUAUGAUCCUUGAUGACCUCACGAAAUUUUGUAUCUGUAUACUUUUUGCGCUUGAGUUGCUAAGUUCUUAUGUGGCAUGUGUAAGAUUGAUUCCAUGAUCAUUGAUAUGUAGUCUCUUAUUGACUGAUGGGAGAGUGCAUAUUGUCUGAUGAAAAGAUAGGGAUGAAAUUUUAACAAUUCUCUUCUUGUUCUCUUGUCCACUUCCUGCCAGUUACUGAAAAUGACUCGGUUUAUCUGGAUCUACCAUUCAGCAUUUUGGAGUUUUACCGAUUUGAACUUUUGGGUUGAUAUUGCACUCAGAAAAAGGAUAGUUUUGAGUAGGUGGUUUUGGAGCGCUAGAGAUUGAAUGGAGCAUAUUGGGGAUUGACCAUUCUAGAUCUUCUUGGAAAACUUGGCAGUGUGGAUUCAAAUGAAGUUGUUUCUUGGAUCCCGCAAUGCCAGCAUGGGUCUCGUUUGUAUUUAUUUGUCUCUCAACUUCUUUUUUGCGAUUUACCCACGAAAAACAUGCAGCUAACAGAACCUCCACUCCACAUUCAAUCAAAUAUUUCUUAUUUGACGGUAUGAUUAAGAUUUUAGCUUGGGAUUAACAAUUCCAUCUGUUACAAUAAUGACUGCGCCUUAGAAGUGAUUAGUGUUGCUUUAUUUAUUUUCGAAACUUCACUCUAAAGAACAAAAUGUGAAUUUCACUUACGGCUGCUUGUGCUGGUGGAUUUGGUGGAGACAUUACAGACAUCUUCUGUGUGACAGAUUGUAUCCUUUGGAAUAAAGGUUCCUAGAUUUGCAAACUCUUACCAUCGAUGCAAGUUCCUUCGUGUUGUUUUAUGUUUUUAAGUUUUCAACAUCACGAGUGGCAAACUUACCUUAGGCUAGCCAGACAUUGAUGAGGGGGGCUCUCUAUAUGGAGAUUGAAGUUGCUACUGUCGGAUAAUCCCUGGUGUCAAAUGUUCUACAUUGCUGUGCCUGAACCAUGAUUCAGGCAUCAGAGUAGUGCGAAACGAAGAUGGAUAUUUCUCUGGGGAUACAUGGGGAGAAGUUUAUACUCGGUGUCUUGUCCUCAUCUUGGAUCAAUUAUAAUUUUUGUGCUUCUUGAGGAUGUUUCUUAAACUAUUGACAUCCCUUCAAUCCUUUUUUCCCUUCGAAGGUUCUCUUAUUGUGCUAUAUGCUGUCUUGCGAUACUAAAAUGGUUUGAUUCGAUAAAUGUGGAGAAUGCUGUCAGAUAUAUAGUGAGUUGCAAAACUCUGGAUGGCGGGUUUGGUUGCAAUCUCGGUGCAGGGUCUCACCUGAAAUGAUACCAUCGCAAACAGCCUUCGCUUCCAUCUUGAUGGUUAAUCACUGUGUGCACCACUGAUGUCUAUAUAAGAUAUCCUAAGACAACGCACUAAUGUCCUUGCUCUCUUUACUAAUCUAGCCGGUAGUAGUUAACAGUUGGAGAAAACCAUCUGCUCUAUCUAUAUCUACAAGGAACUAUUUGUCACCAAAAUGCCAACUAAAAGAUUCCAGAUCUGCCGUACUAUCACAAAAGGUGAAGAAACUUCAGAGUUGCCUAAAAUAUUAUUAAGCUACGAUCUUCACAAAACAAUGAUGUCCUUUGGAUCGGUAGGACUAUAGUCUCAUAUAAAUUGAAUACAGUAUAAUCUUGGCGAUAUAUUUUGAGAAUGUAAACUCGACCUCAAGGCAUACUUAUUGAAUUUCAUAAAUCAUUAGUUUUGAAUAAUUUUUCUUUCCAAUUCCCAGGAUCCUACAAUGUGCAGUUCUAGAAGUCUAUAUUCGGGGACACAUCAGGUCCACAAUUGAUUGCAAGUAUUCCAAUCUGAAAAACCUCCGGACUUAGUAAAGUAGUAAUCAGGAGAUUAACAGAACCGCUUAAAUCCUAGAAUGCUGUGCUAACUGAGCAAGUAAGCACACUUCAAAUGCGUAAAACCGGCAAUGAGCAACAAAUGAAAACUGCUUUCUCAUAAGCAGCCACGAAGGGCCUCGGUGAAUUGCAGUUUUUUACUAGCUACGCAAUAACGAAAGUUUCUCCAGUCCACUGUCCUACCCUUGAAUAAUAUAGAGCAAAUCUAGCAACCCAACCAAAUCUAGCAGGUAUGUCAUAACCUCAUGCUGAGCUCUUUCGCUGGUUCCUAAUUUCCGAUUGGUGCAUAGUAAGUCAUGUAUUUUGCUUAAUUACAUGGCGGUCUUCUAGUUAUGCUCCAAUGAACACAUGCAAAGGAUAAAACUGAGUCGCCACGGUUUUAAGACAUUCCUUAGGACUCAUCUUAGACGUGCCAAAGUAGGAAGGAAUUAAUGAUUUCCAGUGGAGAAUUAGGCAUAAAACAACGAAGCACGAAGCAAGUAAAUUAAGAAGCACGAGAGCCUGACCAAGCACCUUGCCACGAAGUGUCUCACUUUUCUCUCUUCUUUCAAUUCAAAUAAGAAGAUAUUUGCAAAAGGAAGAACUGGAACGAGGGAGUAAUCCUGAAGCGACACGAUUUGGUGUUCCUGCUUCAAUAGAUGACAAAACCGUGUGUAUUUUGUCUAGCCAAUUGUCUAGUCAGCCACGUAGUGAAUUUGACCUGUGGAAUCCCCAACCAUAUGUAGCAGACCUCAAAUUACCAAUGGAAACCACAACUGCCCAAAAUAUGGGAAAAAAAAGAAAAGGAUAACCAUUUUAAUUCUGCAUGAUGAACCAAGAAGAGAAGCACUGUUUGCUUCAUUUCCAACCAUCAAGAGCUCCUCACAGGUAAUAAACAGAUAGUGGAAUAUCAUUAAAGUGACGAUUAUCCAAACCUUAAAAUAUAAUUAUAGAUAAACUCUUCAAGAGAAGAUGCACAACAUCCUCUGCACAUGAUUAUACUCAAUCAAGCAGUCCACAAAAGCAUAGCAACAUAACUAGACUAGGCAUUCAAAUAGUCAAACAAAUGCAAGAAAGCAGACCCUUAAACAACUAUUACCAUAUGAAGCUCGAGCUCAUGCUUAACUAUGCAAAGAUAAAUCACAUGAUUACAUUCAACUCGACACCAACUGCCACUCUGACCACCAAAAAAAACACACACACACACACAACUCCCAACUGCCACACCACUCUUACCUAUUCUUCGGCUAUUAGCUAGUGAUCCAGAGCUUGAGUUCAAGGCGAUGACUCCCGCCACUGAUGGAGUUAAUGAAUGCUUUAAUUCCUCCAGCUGAGCAGCAUUCGGUUUAACAAAUCCUCAGAAGAUAAUUUUUAUUAACAAAUUCGGUUUAACAAAUCGUUAUCCGAAUUCAAAUUCGAGACAAUAAUUUAAUACUUUUCUUCUCCUUAUUUUCCUGAUUCUGCAGAAAGAAAUAAUAAAGCGAGUUGAGGUCUCUUGCGCCUAAAUUUCUCUUAAGAAAGGCCCCUUCGUUAUGGAUGGUGAGGGAUGUAAGAUACCCAACCUCGCCACCGAAGUGACGCACACAACAUAUGGAGAUUCCCAGUAAGAUGGGGAAUUUUAAUAAGAUUUUUCUUAGUUGCGCGUUUUAGAAUGAGUUCAUUGUCUCUCUUCACUAGACUAAAGCAGAAAUAGAAAGCAAGGAAGAAAAAACGUAUGAUCUAUGAAUAGAAAGAAGGUGCACCGUUUUCUGCAGAGAAUCCCCUGUUCCAGUUUCAGAGUCCGCUGUUUCAAUUUCAGAGCUCCACGCUAGCUUUGCUCCAUUCAGAAUCUUCUCUCUGUAAGACUUCCAAUGGCCAUACGUCCAACCGCAGAGAGCAUCAGGACAGUCGGGUAACUCCCCGCUAUUUGUUAUGAGUAUCGAGCAAUGAUCUGGUAUUUUUGACCUCGAUGGCUUAAAUAUCCUUCCCACUGAUCUGCAAUUUUCAAUUCUCAACCGAUGCAAAAACUCUAAUUCGUCAAUACCCUCAACAACCAGCAGGCUUUUGCACCAGCCAAUAUUUAACUCCUUCAAGUUCUUCGAGUUUGACAAACCGCCUAAGCUUUUUAAUGAACAGCACUCUUUAACAAAAAAUUGUUCCAAUGAUUCGAACGGAGAUACAAAUUGAAUAUCCUGUACCUCUGGCAACCCCGACACAUCGAAUUUUACAAGCAUCUUUUGGGAGCUUGGGAAAAGGAGCGCUCCCCUCCAAUGAUCAAUCAACUCGGGAGCUUGUAGUUCAUUGCACCCCGGCUCCUGCGGCUGACAAACCGAACUCUCGGAAGAUCUGCAAUCCUGAAUAUGUGAUCUUUCUGACGAUUCUAAGACAUCGACAGAUUGAACAUCAAGUUGCCCGGACACCUUGUUUCCUGUCGAUUUUCCUAAACUUGUUGGAAGGAAUGGAGUCUUCUUUUCCGAUGGAGGAAGCCUCCCUAAAGUUUCGUAGAGCUCUAAAACUAUCAAAUUUGACGAAAGUUGUUUGAAAGUUGGCAAGUCUAGUCCGUAUAGAGUAAGUUCUUUCAGCAAAGAAAGGGAACGCAACUCUGUAGUUGGUGCGCGGACAUUUAUAAAGCAAACGUGCAGCUUCCUCAAUUUGGUUAAACUCCCAAUCCACCCCAAGUCGCCGGUUUGGAAUUCAUUUGAUGGGUGUCUAUUUGUGUAGCCACUAGAUAGGAGCAAUUGAACUAGGUUAGUAAGGUAUGAGAGGUUAGGAACAGUCUGCAGUGAGGUAGAUCUUACCCGUAAAAUGGUCAAACUUCUAGGGAGCUUCGGCAACUCUUGUAUGCUAUGACAAGGAUCCAAAUCUAGUGUUUGGAGAAGUAACUUGCUCAUCAUAUUGGGCAAUUUUUCAAUCGGUGUGGAUGUUUCAUUGACAAAUGACAAGCUUGGUAGUCUACCAAUGGAAUCCGGUAAUCUUGUAAUUCGCGUCCCUGAUAGAUUUAGAUUCGUUAACAACUCUAAUUUCGAAAUUGAAUCGGGGAGUUCAAUCAAGUUAAGACAAAACAAAAGAGAGAGGUGCCGCAGAUUAUGUAACUCUCCAAUUUGUUCAGGCAAUUUUCUAAGUUCGUGAGCGCGCUGAAUGCUCAAGUAAGUUAGUGACCUUAGAUUCCCAAUAGAGCAGUCAAUUUCCAUCAAAUUUGAAUAAUUAAUAGCCAACUCCUCUAAAUCUGAGUACUCGGGAAAGGUUGGUGUCCUAAUCAUCGACACAUUAUGCUCAAUAGUGAGAACCUUCAAUUUCCUUGCCCCCUAAAAAAGCCAAUGAAUCAUCAGGACAUACAAGAAAUGAAUAUGGAUUUAGGCUACCAAUGAGAAAAUUAGAUUAGAAAUCCAUCAAAUUUUAUCCUUCAUUGAAUGAGAAAAUUAGACUAAGAGGGAAACUGGCAUACCUUGAUUAGGCACUUGAACGCCUCUUCUGUGAUAUCCAUCCCAAAAAGAUUCACCACAACCGCGUUUUCUAGAUGCAACAAAGCGGUUGCCUCCAAACAUUUAUUAGGAUCACGAACAAAAGGUGUAUAACUGCAACUCAAAUAAAUCCAUUUCAACUCAGAAAGACAGCCCAAAAAGUCACCUUGGCAGGUUUCCCCACUCAACCAAAGAAACCGUAUAUGUGGGAACCGCUUAAUUUGCUCCGAAGUGACAGUCAUACGAUCUAACAAACGGAGUGCUUGAACGCUUCUAUUGAUCUGCCAAUGACAUUGAGGAGGAGAAGCAGGAAUUUGUCAAUAUUCCACUAUUUUAUUUCAUAGAAGAGAAGAAAAAACGAAAUAGGAGAGUAUCUUCCAAAUCAAAAACAAGAAUCCUCAAUUAAGAAGUGGGCAUAAGCAAUUUUCUUUUCAAAUUUGGUCAUACUUUACCUCCAUUGAUCUUAAUUUGCAAAUGAUGUCAUUGGUAUCCCAUAACCUGGUAUUCUCUUCUUUAGCAAUUUUCCUUCCAAGAUCUCUCAUUUGAUCAUGCAUCCAAAAACUAUCAUCAGCUAGAACCUUUAUCAUGCACCUCUGAGUAAGAACAUCAAUGGCAUCCUCUGGGCAAAAUGCACAAUCUUGCCACAUGUAUAUUGGAUUAGUCUUAUUUUGACCGACGAAAAAGCAUGCAAUAUCGAGAAAUAUCUGCUUUUGAUUCGGAUAUAAGGCAUCAUAGCUAAUCCUUAGCUUUGGCAAGACAUCAUCAUGAAGUGUUUCCCUUAGCUUCUUUAGCCACUCUUCCCAUAUUGCUUUCUUUUUCUUAUAAAGGUAUGAGCCUAUUAUUUCAAGAGCUAAAGGAAGUCCAUCUGCAGUACGAACAAUCCCUUUUGAAAGAUUGUAGUAAUCGGCUUCAGGUUGAUAGUCAUUGAAGGCAUGUAUACUAAAAAGUCGAAGUGCGUCUUCAUCGCUCAACCCCACACCAAUCCAUAAUACCCCAACAUAUACUUAAAUUUCUUGUCAUUAAUAAUGCUCUUGUCCCUAGUGGUAACAAGUAUCCUGGUACCAUGAUACAAAGAAUUCACUCCAAUUAGAUUUUCUAUUUGGGUGAACUCAUCAACAUCAUUCAAUACAAUUAGCAUCUUCUUGCUGCAAAUUGUUUCUCCAAUCCUCUGCAUCCCAUUAUAAGUAUUGUCAAUUUUUCGAUCCACUUUAAAAUAAGAGAUAUCGGACAAUAAUUUUUCUUGUAGCUUGACCAAGCCUUCUUUUGUUUUCACCGUUUCCCUCACGUCGUCAAGAAAGCUGCAAUUUUUCCCAAAGCAAUGACAUAGUUUGUUAAAGAUAACAUUGGCCAAUGUUGUUUUACCAAUACUGCCCAUCCCAUAGAUUACAAUGAGCCGCACAUCUUCGGAGUCGAUGUCUAGUAAUUUGUCUAUGGCUGCUAUACAAUUCUCCAUUCCAACUAAAUUUUUAGGCACUUGUCUUUGUCUCGUCUGUAGCCUGCCUAGAACCUCGUCAACAACCGCCUUGAUAAGAUCCCCAUGGUUGCUACAAAGUUAAACAAUUUCAAUUGAGAAAAGGUGACAAAUUUGCAUGCUAACCAACCAUAUAGCACUUAGCCAGCGGGAAUGCAAUCAAGUUUAGGAUAUAUAAAAAUAUAACGUUACCCCCAAAGCUUCAGGAACAUGACAUAUUACUAACUUGAACAUCCAUUACAAGUUUAAGUUAAAGAAAUAGAGGAAGAGAAAUGCUUGAUCUUUAUAUCAAGUGGAACAAUCAAAAUUUCUGGCAAAAAAGGAUAGAAGAAUCAAAAUAUAGAUGUAGGAUGCAUUAUUGUAACAGUAGAUUUACUUAAUUUUUUCAGCGUGGAAAAGAACCUCGCAAAGGCAACAAUACCUUAAUCAAGUUCGCUAGUAAUUUUUUCAGCGUGGAUAUGUAACUUUUAACAUGCCCAAUUUCUUUCUAGUUUCUUCUUCGUGCUUUUUCACUCUUCGCUUUUGAACUUUUGGAUUUUAAAAAAAAAAAAUUGAUUCUCAAACAUUUAUUAUUCUAUGGACAUAUCUAUAGUUGGACAUAUUUAAAAUCCCAAUCCAGUAUUGUAAAUUCACAAUUUAUCUACAUAAAUGCAUAAUAACAAAAUAUUCUUAAUGGGACUUUGCAUAAAUAAAAAAAUCUCCUUCAUAUUACUAAGAAUUGGAUUUGCUGCAUUCGCCGUAGAAAAUGCUACACCUGAGCACUGCCUACGCGUAUGCUUCCUACUCACUGUGAAAUAUUUGUUUGGAUCUCAUCACCUUAAAAGAUUUAUCUUUGAUUUUAAUUAAUUUGAACCACUUAAAUAUUAUCAUAGAAUAUUUGACUUUUAACCAAAUGGAGGAAAUGCAAUGAUGACCUGUCAAUGGCCAUGAUGCCACAAUCAUGGUGUUCCUUCGAGCGUGGAGAAGGGAAAGAAACCAUGAUGGUCAUGACGAUAAGAGGCGACUUUGCUCAGCUGAAGAAAAGGAAAAAGACAAAGAAAAGUUACAAUGAUGGUGUCUUCACGUUGGCCGCUCGUUAUUUCUCUUUAUCUUCGUUUCCUUCUGCUGAAUUUCCUCUUUAAAUACGAAGAUGAAGAGCUAUUAAUGUAAAAGAGAGCUCUGAAGGCUGAACAGAGCAUAUUGGAAAGUGCGCCGAGAGUUCCUCUUGAGAGAUUUGAUUAAGAGAGCUUCCUUCGUGAAAUUACGGCAAAUAUUUUUGCGUUGAAACUAGUUAAAUCUUAUAUUAAUAUUUAUGUCAUUCCUCCGUGAGCUUGAGAUGUCAUUUCGAAAGAUAUUAUGAAGGCUAAAUGAUUUACUGAUAUAAUUGGAAAUUGGAAAAAACGUAAAUUAUCUGAAUGACUUGCUCGUAAUCGUAAUUUUCAUCAUAUCGUUUGAUCUGUAAUAAAAUUUUGUAUUGCUCUCUCCGUCGACAUAGUCACGUAAAUUUGACGUCUGAUCUGUCUCCUAUUGCCUUUUUCUUUUCCCCCCGACAAGGGAUAUGGUUCGAACAAAAUUGAAACCAGACUUAAAGACAUUCUAUAUAGUCAUUCAUGAAUAAAUGCAUAAAAACUUAUCUUUUAUUUUUUAAAGAUAUUGAUCGAUAACAAGCUCAAACUCGUGCUUGAUGAUAAAAUUGUUCCUUCACCUGCUUAACAUUAGCUCUGAUCAUAAAGACGUGAUUCAAAGCAUCUAUUCAACCCGUUUCUUCUAAGAUCCUUUGACAAUGCAUCUCCAAAUUGGCAAAAGUAAACAUAGUGAUGUUCUUUAUUGCCAUUGAGUCACGCCAGCCCGUGCGUACCUUUUACUUACCUUCAUUUUCCAUGAUUUUGUGGUCGCUUAUAUUUUAUUUAUUUAGUUUGGGGCACAACAUACCAAGAAAACCAUAAAUUUGCAACUACAAAUCUAGACAUACUAAAUAAGUCGGUUUCGCAUGAUUUGACAUAGAUUUUCACAACAUUUGUUAGUUAUAUUUUUUUUAUUAGCAUGAUUAACAUAAAUCAUUUUUUUUAUGACCAAGGGACCGCCGGAGAUUACCCUUUGGGGAUCACACGAUCCUCCGGCCGAUGGGGCCUCACUGUAACCUACUAUUUAGACGUAAAUCCCCGGGGGUUGGCCUAGUAAAUCACCCUUGGAAACCCCAUUUAAGUCGCGAGCAUCUGGAGAUUCAAACCCGUUCCUUCGGCGAUGAGGUAGUAAAGUCCAACCAUCACGGCUACCUACGAAUGGGUAACAUAAAUCAUUUUCAUAUUGCAUGUCUUAAUAAAAUUUUCAUGCGAAAUUGCAAAUCCCUAUGAAUUUUAUCCUUUGGAAUUUGAAUGGUCGUAGUAGUAGUAAUAAAGAUCAGAUGAAGCCUAGCCAUAAUUUUGGAUUUGUGUCUCUAUCUCCUCGACCAAUUAAUCUCCUUAAAUACUCCUCCAUGCUACUAGCCAUUUAGUUAGUCAUCGGAAGAUUUUCUUCCAAUUUACCUAUUGGACAUAAAGAUUCAAAGAAGAUCUUGUGGCCGUUGAAGACAAAGAGAAAAUCUCCACUUGAUUCUGGUCGCCCACACAAUCAGAGUCUUAGUUUCCAUAAAUAUAGCUUUCCUCAUUUGGAACUUGUCUCCAAGAUUGAUAAGUCUUGUUCUGGAUCUUGAUACGUUUUGAACCUAUCAAAGUUAGGAUAUUGUAUAUGUGCUUCUCAAAUAGAAUAGACUUUGGCGAAGAUCCUCGAUAGUGCUCAGAAUAUAUACUUAUUCAAAAACCUGUUCUAACAUAAGCAUUAGAACUAGAAAAUUUUGUGAACUUCAAAAUAUGGGUAGAGUUUUUUCAACAAAAGGUAAUCAAAUGUGGUAUAGACAAUGCCUUUUUAGAGUAUGUAGUAAUUGGCCGAAGGAAAGUUGUCAGAGGCAUGCCUACAAAAAAGUUUAAAUGCAUUUAUUUUGAGUGCGCAGCUCAUUGUUAGUCAAAUUUCUACCAUUCUUUUGUAUUGGAUAUUUUAGUAAUAAUAACAUUAUAAUAUUAACAUUACAUUCAUUAAUGGGAAGAGCUUUUAUUACAUUCGUAAUGUGAAAAACUUCUCCAUCAGAUCAUCCUCCUUCAGAAAUUUACAAAAGAAGAACCAACACGUUACAUUAGAAAAGGAGAAAAGGAUGUUUAUUAUGAGAAAUAAACAAUGAAAUUCUUGAUUUGAAUGCCCGGAGUCCGAUGCCACUUUCUUUAGUGAGAGACAUCAUUUUGGACGUUUGUAUUGUGUAACUCACGUGAUUCAAUUGAAAAGCUUUUCCACCGGAUCAUCCACCCUAAAAAAUUUACAAAAGGAGAACCACUACGUUACAUUAGAAAAAGGAGAAACGGAUGUUUAAUUAUAAGAUAAACGAUGAAGCCCAAUGCCACUUUCAUUAGUUAGAGACAUCAUUUUGGACGUUUGUAUUGCGUGACUCAGGGGUUUAAUUGAAAAUUAUGGAUAAAGAGUCAUGAUUCCAUUUGCAUGACUCACAGGGUUUUGUUGCUGGAAGCGAAAAGGUUUCAAAUAAAUCUCGGAAUCGACAAAAAUUUAAAGGGAAACAAAUAUUACUAUAAAAUCUUCUUCCACGACCAUUUGCCAUCGCGCACAACCAACUUUCCAGCAGGUGCAGAAAACAUUAUAUAUUAUGGUCCCUUUUGACAUCAAAAACACGUCAAGGCAACUUUGCAGCAAGUGCAACUUCCAAUUUAUAGUCACUAAAGUCGAUGGCUUUAUAAAAAAAUAAGGUGGAGGACAAUAAUGAAGGUGUAACUUUUGUAUAGUUGGACAUAUUUAAAAUUCCAAUCCAAUAUUGUAAAAUAAAAUUUAUGUAUAUAAUGCAUAAUAACAAAAUAUUUCCAAUGAAUCGCCUCUCAUUAUGACACAUGGGACUCCGGAUAAUUAGAUAAAUUUCCUUCAUACCAUAGAGAUUGAAUUUGCAGCAUUCACUACAAAAAAAUGCUCCACCUAAGCGCUACCUAAGCAUAUACUUACUACUCACUGUGAAAUAUUUGAUUCGAUCUUUUUACCUUGAAGACUUACCUUUUAUUAUAAUUAAUUGCCUUUAACCACUCAAGUAUUCUCAUUAAAUUUGCCUUUAUAUUAAAUAGCAAAUGAUUGUGCAAAACAUUUUCAACCCUUAUUUCCUUAGAUUGUCAUUGCAUUUCUUAAAAAGAAAUUAGGGACCGAAUUUGCCAACGACGCUAUAAUUUGACCCCUAACCAAAAACACUUACCACACACGGUUUUUUUUUCAUUUGUUCCUCGCAUUCAUGACUAGAUAUUGAUUUCAAUACCUUGGGCUUGGCAUCAAACAAAUCUUGGACAGGAAAAAGAAUUUCAUGUUCUUCCUUUCGGGAAGGGAGGAUUAGGAAAUCCUAUUGAUUGCAACUUUCUCCAAACCUCCAAGAAAAGCAUGAAAAAAAAAAGGCUUGAAUGAUACAAUCCCUCUGUAACCCCUGGGGGAAAAAUAGAGAUGUAUCCUAUGUUAAAAGGCUCGAAUGGUACGAUCCCUCCGUCACCCCAAAACGGAAGGGAUCGCAGACAUUUCUGAAACACCUCUAACAAAGGGACAAAUAAUCAAUUUUGAAAGAACUUAAACCCCAAUUCUAAAAUCCCUUCUCUCCCACUUCACACCUCGGAACGCACCCUUAUUAUAGAGAGAAAGGAGACCCGGUACAAUAUCGAUAUCUCUUGGAAUCCUAAAUUAAAUAGGAUACUACCAAUAAUUGUAGCAAUCCACAUAUGUCCCUAUCCCAUUAAUCAAUAUUGAUUGACGGAAUUCCAACAUUCAUGGCCACUCAACAUUACUCAAUUGAUUUGCUCCUUUUAAGUUGACCCAUUUUUGUGCGCACCAUUAAACCUCAGCUAGCCUUAUCGCUUUAGCCUUAUUGGGGACAGGAAACUAAGUCGAGAUAUGGGCCAUCAGUCAACAAUCGGCCAAGAGUCUAACCUGGGACAAGAGAGCGAGAGCGUGCGAAACAGAAAAGAAAAGAAAGCAGAGCAUAGGGCAGUCCUGGCAAUAGGAGGCAAUAACAAGAGUAGGACCUGUUAAGGCAGCUUAUCUGGCUGCAUAUUGAAAGUGAGUUAUUACGUGAACAGCCCAAGAAUAGCAGAGGAUAACAUGCAGGGAAUGUUUAUCAUUUUCUUACCUGUUCCUCCGUCAAUCUCGCGUACUAACCAGUAACCAAUCAUCGCUGCCAUCAAAGCCAAUUCGUUUUGAAGCCCCGCUUCACAAUCGUCGUUUUGACUAGGGGUGUCAGGAACUGAACCGAAAACAGAACCGAAUCGAACCGAACCGAAAAAUUCAAUUUUUUCGGUUCGGUUCGGUAUUCAAUUUAGUUCUCAUUAAAAACCGAUAUUUUUUUUAUUGGUUCGGUUUUUAUCGGUCAACCGAACCGAACCGAACCGCACAACAACAACAACAAAGAGAUCGAUUUCAGCAGAGACUCGUUUAUUGGGCAUCCUCCAUCUCCAUCUCCGCCGGCUGCAACCACCACUGAAUCCGCCGCCGCUUCCGCCAUGUGCUAUGGUCACCACCACCACCACCACCGGAGGCCCUUCUCCGACGACCAGUUUGCCCCCAUGUGCGGCGGCGCCAGCGCCCUCCUGAACGCUGACGCCGCGGCGGCAGCGGAGGACCUGCAGAGUCGCCUCGCCGAAUGAAGCCGGAGAUUCUCCUUCGGGGUCUACCCCGAUCUCGAGCCCUAGAUUCCAGAGCUGGACGAUGUUCGUCCGGUCGCAAAAGCCCGAUAAGUGGUUGCAGAAGAAGCUCCACUGGCGCCGGAGAUUCGAGCUCACGCCUUCGCAUUGCGGACACGCCGAGCCCCUGACAACGAAAACUUCGUGGUCUCGCGAUGGGUCUUCGAGAGGCAACCUCGUAAGCUCGAUUUCAUCUUCCUCUGUUUCCGAAGAAGGAGCAGAGCAGGACGACGAGGAGCAGCCAUCGUCUUCCUCGCUACCGUCUAGGCAGCUCUUGAGAAAAGGCUGGGACUGAGACGGCAACACCGAGACGAGGUUGUUCUGGUACUUGAUGAUGAGGAAUCUGAUUCGGUUGAUUAGGGUGCCGAAAGAUGCGACGAGGGCGAGGAUUAGAGCACCCCAUAUCCAGAAACUGUAGGCCUGCGAAAUUGUCCCGACGGAGAACGAGAGAAACUGAGAGAGAAAGAUGGGUCUUGGAGAGAGCUUAUGCCCGUUUCGAAAUCGCCUAUUCUGUUUAGGACUGGCAUCUCUCAUUCGGUUCAGUUCGUAUUCGGUUCGGGUCUCAUUCGGUUUAGUUUGGAAGUAUUUUUUAACGGUUCGGUUCGGUUCGGUUUUUCAAAAAAAACGGAACCGAACCAAACCGUUGACAACCCUAGUUUUAACCCUCCAGGGCCUAAACAAUCGUCUUCUCUCGAAUCUUUGGACUGAGCCAUUGCUCGAUGAGCUUAUUGCUUCCUCACAUGACCAGACAAAUCCUCGCCUCCAUCAGCAGCGCNNNNNNNNNNNNNNNNNNNNNNNNNNNNNNNNNNNNNNNNNNNNNNNNNNNNNNNNNNNNNNNNNNNNNNNNNNNNNNNNNNNNNNNNNNNNNNNNNNNNNNNNNNNNNNNNNNNNNNNNNNNNNNNNNNNNNNNNNNNNNNNNNNNNNNNNNNNNNNNNNNNNNNNNNNNNNNNNNNNNNNNNNNNNNNNNNNNNNNNNNNNNNNNNNNNNNNNNNNNNNNNNNNNNNNNNNNNNNNNNNNNNNNNNNNNNNNNNNNNNNNNNNNNNNNNNNNNNNNNNNNNNNNNNNNNNNNNNNNNNNNNNNNNNNNNNNNNNNNNNNNNNNNNNNNNNNNNNNNNNNNNNNNNNNNNNNNNNNNNNNNNNNNNNNNNNNNNNNNNNNNNNNNNNNNNNNNNNNNNNNNNNNNNNNNNNNNNNNNNNNNNNNNNNNNNNNNNNNNNNNNNNNNNNNNNNNNNNNNNNNNNNNNNNNNNNNNNNNNNNNNNNNNNNNNNNNNNNNNNNNNNNNNNNNNNNNNNNNNNNNNNNNNNNNNNNNNNNNNNNNNNNNNNNNNNNNNNNNNNNNNNNNNNNNNNNNNNNNNNNNNNNNNNNNNNNNNNNNNNNNNNNNNNNNNNNNNNNNNNNNNNNNNNNNNNNNNNNNNNNNNNNNNNNNNNNNNNNNNNNNNNNNNNNNNNNNNNNNNNNNNNNNNNNNNNNNNNNNNNNNNNNNNNNNNNNNUACUAGAUAGGAUAGGAUAUGAAAUCCUUGGAUUUUUUUUAUAUCUUGUCCAUUGUUUGGUGAAUCGCAGUAUUAAAAUCGAAUAUGUUUCAUCAUAUCAUGUACAUUUUUUUUUAAUAUAUAAAUGACAUAUCAUUAUAAAUGAACUUAAAUGUUCAUAAGGGGGAGAUGGUGAAACUCCUCUCGUAAUACUACUCCAUAAUUUAUUUUUAUCUUAUCUCCUCCUCUUUUAAAUAUUAUUUUCUUUAUUAUUUAUUUUUCCCCUUUCAUUAUUAUUUAAUAAAAUUUUAUCAAAUAGUAAACUGUACUAACAUAUAUAAAAUACAAAAAUACCUAAAAUAUAUAAUAAAUAUAAAUAUUUAAUUUAUAGAUUGAAUGUUUAUUAUAAGAUAGAAUUAAAAUUGAAUAUAUAAAUUAAAAUAGGAUUAAUUAAAAAUGAUUUUUUUAUUUUUAAUUUCUUAAAUUAUAAUUCAAAUAUUAUUUAUAUUGAAAUAUAAUUUCAAAUUUAUUAAUUUAAUAAGUUUUUUAUUCGAGAGAAAUAACUUUCAUAAUAUGGACAUUAGAAAUCCUAUCCGCUUUUAUCUCACCUCCCCCAGAGGAUAAUUUUAUCCUGUCUAUAUCCCAUUUAUAUCCAACUUUAUCCUGUCCUGAGUGAGUACCAAACAUAGGAUAGGAUAAAUCAUAUCCUAUCCCGAAUUUUAUCUUGAUUGCCAAACGCAACCUUAGCGUUUGACUAUCACUGAUAUAAAGUAUAGCUUUUAACCUAAAAGCAAAACUGAUAGAAAAGACAAAAAAAGACCCUAAAAAAAUUUGGCUUCACCCGCCAACAAUCUCCCACUUGAAGCACUAUGUAACUUAGCAUCCAUCUACUUCAAAAUCUAGUAAAUGAAGUUUGUACCUUUGCAAUACUUCUCAUCAAUUAGGAUAGAGUAAUACCAAUUGUAGUGUCGACACCUACAUUUCAAAUGUUUAUAUAGGCUUUAAUUACAUAGAAAAUUAGGGAUUAAUUUUUAACCCCUAAACGCUCUCCCUCGUUCUACAAAAUAGAAAAAAGGUGGACGAUGGAUGGAAGCAAAGGUGGGACGGGAAUGAGGAGUGCGCCUUUUGGGUCAGGAGCAGGCCGGCACGGUGAGCUGGCGGUGGCAGAGGCGAUGCAUGCCUGCCUGGCAUUAGAGGGGGGUCGAACAGAGGAAGAAAUGGACGAAGAGAGAAAUAGGGAGAUAGGGGGGAUUCAGCCGAGAGGGAGACCACGAGUCAGAGAGCAGAAAAUUUGCCCCGGCUGAGCGUCAUUCAGCCAUCCUCGACACAAACCGGCGUCCCCUAGUUGUUACACAGCGUCCGAUUUUUGGUGAGUUGAGUUUCGGUUUUGAUCCGCCAUUUUCCCGUGGUUCCCAGCUUGGCGAAACUGAGAUGGCUGGCUAGAGUUCGAUUCACAUUGAGACCGGCUUUCGGCCAUUGUCGCCAAGCCGGGUAAGGCCCCCGUGGUUGCGCAGUCCCGCACCCCUUUUUUGUCCUUUCCUUACUGCUCUGUUUUUGCCCUGUUUCGGGCACGCCGGGCCGGAGCUCGCGGCCGUCUGGCUCACGCGUUUGGCCCCUUCGCCGUGUUUUGAUAUUGUUGGUCUGGUGGGUCGUAUGUCGAGGGUAUUGUGCAAGUUUGAGUCCCAGCUGAGCUAGGAGCCCCUCGUUCAGUAUCGCACGCGAAAUGCCUCAACGAGAUCUAAUUUUCGUCUCCUCCCCUUUUUGCCGAAAUCAAGUCGUCCGAACUGUUGUGUUCUAUUGCUAUGUCCCUAUGAUGUUUUCCGAUACAGGCACGACCAUUUGGUCGCUUCACUGCCCCUGCCACCACGGUCAUUCACUUUGUUUUGUGUUUCGGCUUUGUGGCCGACGAUAAUGGAGGCUUGUUAUUGUGUUUCGGCCAUGCUGGCCGUCGCCAAGAGUCCAGAGCCAUUGGAGUUAGAGCAUGGUCAGGCCAAGGGCGACAAAGUCGUCGGCUCAUGGCCAUUUGGAGAAGACGGUGGCAGCGGGAGGUCCGAAGGAAUUUGGUUAGAAGGCUUAAUUAGGUUUAAUUAGCAUGUGCUUAAGUUAAUUUAAUGGGUUUAGGUUCGUUUAUGUUUUCAUGGAGAAAAUAUGGUCUCACCACAUCAUCAGCUGACAUAGCGAGAAUUUUUCGCUCUCAUCCAAUAGCAGCUCGACACGAGUAUGAUGAUGUGGAAUUAAUCACAAAAACUAAAAACUUCAUUUCUCUCUUCCUCUCCCCCAGCGUGAUCGUCACCACCGCCCAAGCCACUGCAACCUCCAUCCUCGAGCCCUCCGCAUCGUCGUGGCUGUCGCACCCUCGCCGUCAAGGUUCAUGACCAUGGACAAUUUGCGGUCACCAGAUCUGUGAAUGAGGCGCCUCGGAGCCAUGGACAAGCAAAGCUUGCGGCCAUGGAUGAUGGAGGACCCCUUCUGGCGUCGCUCGCAGUCGGCUCGAGCAGCCCCUCCGGCUCCAUCUUUUUCUAUUUUUCUCUAACCUCCAGAUCUGGGACCACGUCCUUCAUCCAUGGCUGUCGUCACUUUCGCUGGCCUCGUUCUCCAAAUCUCCAGAUCUAGCCAUUCAUGGCCGAACACAUUCGGGCAUCAAGGAAGACGAACAGUGGAAGAUGAAGUUGAAGACAAACACACGAACAAAGGAAGGCAAAGCGAAAGACAAACAGAGGACGACAAAGCUGAAGACCAGAUCUAGAGCCACAGUGACAACAGGAAGCCGAAGCUACCAGAUCUAGAGCCAUGGUGAAAGUAGGAAGAUGAAGCGACCAGAUCUGGCCGGUGACCCGAAGAUGAAGACGAGCAGAUGCUGGGAAGAAGACAGAGCUGAAGACGAAUUGAGGAAGAAGACGGAAAGGGUGACUCGAUUUGGAUGUGCAAUUGGCUUGGACACGGCGUUGAUGCCAGCAACAGUGGAAGGUGUGGAGGUCAAGCCCAAGAGGUGGCAUGGACGGAGGAGCAACAAAGGAGGAAGAGAGGGAAAGUGGUGGAACGAGAGAAUUUUUAUUUUUCAUUUAAUUCCAUGUCAGCAAAUAUGUGAUGGAAGCAAAAAAAUGCUUGCCACAUCAGCUGAUGACAUGGUGAGAGCAAACCGCUGAAUAUUUUCUCGUUUUCAUGGGAGUAAAAAAGUGUAUUGGUUUUAGGGUCAACUAGGAUUUAAUAAGCUUGGGUCUAGUUCUAGUUAUAUUUGGACUAGUGAUUUCCGGGUCUAAUUUGCGUUAGGGUGUGUUUGUUUCACGAAAACUUAAUAAUAUAAGUAGUAAAAUAUGUUCAAGUAUAUGGUUAGUUUUCCUUUAUUUGGUAAUAUAUAAUUGAAAAUGUUUUUGGAUACUUGGAUAUUAUUGCAAAAUGAUUUCAAUCUCGUUACUUUAUUUCAAGCAAAAAAAAAAAAUCAAAUUUUUUAUCUUUUAGAAAAAAAUUGAAAUUUUAUUUUUCUUUUUUUUUUUCAAAAAAUCGAAUUUUUAAUUUUUUGUAAUAAAAAGACAGUGGAUUCUCAUUAAAGUGACCAUUAUCCAAACCAUAGAAUAUACUUACAGACAAGCUCUUCUUGAGAGGAUGCUCAACAUCCGGUGCACAUGAUUGCACUCAAUCGAGCAGUCCACAAAAACAUAGCAACAUAACUAGACUAGGCAUUCAGAUAGUCAAACAAAUGCAAGAAAGCAGACCCUUAUACAGCUAUUACCAUAUGAAGCUAGAGCUAGAGCUAGAGCUUGAGCUCAUGCUUAAAUACUCAAAGAUAAACCACACAAUUACAUUCAACUAAACACCAACUACCACCCCAUUCGUACCUGUACUUCAGCAAUUAGCUGGUGAUCCGGAGCUCGAGUUCAGGCCCGUGACUCCCGCCAUUGAUGGAGUUAAUGAAUCCACCAAAUUCCUCCAGCUGAGCGGCACUGAAGAAGAAAAUGCGCACGAGAGUGAAAAGUGGCAUUGAAGGACUUGAAGCUCAUGGACAUCGAACGAUGGACUUGAGUUUGCGAGGAGCGAAUGAGGAUUGGGCGCAGAGUUGCCGAGGAUGAGCGACAGCGAUUUGCUUGAGCAGCAGAUCGACUUAACCACCUCAUUCCGAAAAUACAGUUGAGGCCCUUUUUCCCCUUUCUUUUUUCUUGUUCUUUUGCUGUCUCUAUCUGGCUCUCUCUUUUCUCCUCUUCAUUUUGCCGACUGUCUUUCUCUUCCUUUUCUUCUCCUUAUUUUCCUGGUUCUGCAGAUAAGAAACAAUAAGGUGAGUUGAGGCGAGGUCUCUUGGGCCUAAAUUUCUCUUAAGAAAAGCCCUUCUGUUAUAGAUGGUGAAGGAUGUAAUAGCCGCAACCUCACCACCGAAGUGGACACGCGCACGCACGCACACGGAGCAUAUGGAGAUUCCCAGUGAGAUGAGGAAUUUUAAUAAGAUUGUCCUUGUCGUUUUAGAAUCAGUCCAUUCUCUCUCUUCAUCAUAAUAAAGCAGAAAUAGAAAGCAAGUACAGCAGAAGAAACGGCGAUGAUCUAUGAAUAGAAAGAAGGCGUACCGUAUCCGUAGAGAAUCCCCUGUUUCAAUUUCAAAGUCCGUCCCUUGCUCUGAUCUAUUCAGAAUCUUCUCUCUGUAAGACUCCCAAGAAGCGUAAGAAUGAGAUGGACCACUAUCGAGUAACUUCCCACUACAUACUAGGAUUAUCAAGCACUUAUUUGGUAUUUUUGAGCUCGAUGCAUCAGAAAUCCUUUCCAUUGAUUUGCACCCAUUAAUUUCCAACCGAUACAAAGACUCUAAAUCGUCAAUGCCCUUGAUAACCUGUAGGCUUGGGCACCGGCCAAUCGUUAACCGCUUGAAGAUCUUCAAGUUUGACAAACCGCCUAAGCUUUUUAGGCACAAAACGGAAGCACCAAGGAAGUAAAUUGAGAUGUACAACCACCUGACCAAGCACCUUGCUACAAAGUGGCUCACUUUUCUCUCUUCUUUCAGUUCAAAUCAGAAGAUCAAUACAAAACGGAGAACAGGAACACGGGAAUAAUCAAGAAGCGAGAAGAUCUGGAGUUUCUGCUUCAACAGAAAACAAAGCCGCGUGUACUUUGUCCAACCAAUUGUCCAGUCGGUCACACAGUAAUUUGAACUAUGGAAUCCCAGAAACUCUGGGUUGCACCCAUGAAACGCAUAAUGUUCCCUCAACUUGAUCGAUUAUGCCCUCAAUAUGAUGAAUCUGAGUUGAGAUUCUAAAUGUUUAGACUCUGUACAAUAAGGUAAAUACUUGAAUAUCAGUUUUCCAUUACGUAUGCUGGAGCAGAGAACGUGCAAGCAAUUACAAAAUCCAGGUAUUUGCCAUGACUGCUUAUGCAAAAAAGGAAAUCGUACUCCAGAUAUUUAGCAACAGCACAAGGACAAUCUACGAGCAUGAAUAACUCAAAGUAAUCAUCUUUUACAUCCCCCCAAUUAUGAAACAUAGCAUCAACAUGAAAGGAAUAAUAGAAAUGCCGAUUCACAUCAGCCCCCACUUGUUGCAUGAAGCUAUUUAUGGUUGAUAAAUACUAGCUAAGUCUCCUAAUAGUGCGCAUGUUCACAGCAGCCAGUUUAGGCACAUUCUGUGCAACCAACCCACAAACUUCUAGCCCCUUCAACCAUAUGCAGCAGACCUCAAAUUACCAAUGGAAAAUACGACUGCUCAAGAAGAGAACCAAGAAGAGAAGCACUGUUCGCUUCAUUUUCAAUCAUUAAAGCCCCUCACAGGUAAUAAAGAGACAAUGGAUACUCAUUAAGAUGAUCAUUUUUCAAACCUUAGAAUAUACUUAACAGACAAACCCUUUGUGGGAAGACGCUCAACAUCCUGCGUAGAAAGUUUUGUGCGCUCUGCAAUAACAUUCAUGGGGAUGGUUCGAUUCUUAGAUGGUCGACUACAAACAUCUACAUUGCCAUUCUUUAACGAAGCUGUAAACUCUGUUUCCCAAAUUUUGUAACUCUCUAAUCUUAAGUCAGCUCACCAAAAUACCCAUAAUUCUUGUAAUACCCCAACUAACAGAUGCACAGAAGCAUAGCAACAUGAAUAAACUAUGAAGCUAUUACCAUAUGAAGCUAGAGCUCGAACUCAUGCUUCACUGCACAAAGUUGAUCACAUUCAACUAAACACCAACUGCCACACUGCUCGUACCUGUUCUUCAGCGAUUAGCUGGUGAUCCAGAGCUUGAGUUCAGGCCCAUCCGUCCUGCCACUGGUGGAGUUAAUGAAUGCAAUCAAUGGAGCCUCAUGUAGCACCCGAAUUCCUCCAGCCGAGCAGUUCUGAAGAAGAAGACUUGAAGCUUGCAGACAUGAGAAUUGAAGCUCGCGAUGGAACCUGGGAAAGAAGAGAGACGGCGGACAAUGAACUGAAGCUUGCAAGGAGCAAGCAAACAGCAGCGAGGACCGGGUGAUCAAGAUUUGCUUGAGCAGCGGGAAGAGAGGAGGAAGAAGAAAACAUGAAGGAGAAGCCUAAUCGCUGGUGCACGUUUUAGAAUCUGUUUGUUGUCUCUUUUUACUAGAGGAGAGCAGAAAUGGAAAGCAAAUAAAGCAGAACAGUCAUGAUCUAUCAAUAGAAAGAAAGGCGCACCAAGGAUCCCCUCUUCAUGUUUCGGAAUUCCUGGUUUCACAGAAUCCGAAUUCAUUCCGAAUCUUCUCUCUUAAAGACUCCCGAUUGCCACGAUAAGCAAACCAAUUGCCGUGUGGGCUCCAACUAGAUCUUAUGUCCAUCUGGCAGUCAUUCAGUAUUUUUGAGCUCGAUGCAUUACCCCAUAUCGCAUAACUCCCCAGGAAAUCUCAACAGCUGCAAAAACUCUAAUUCGUGGAUGCCCUCCUCACGGCGCAGCUUCUCGCAGUCUUUAGUAUGUAACCUCUUCAAUUUCUUCAAGUUUGACAAACCUUUCAUCAUUCCUAAUGAACCACACCUUUCAACAGUAAAUACUUCCAAUGAUUCCAACGGAGAAACAAAAUUGAUAGCUCCUACCUCCACGCAACUCUCCAUAUGGAACUCUCGAAGCAUCUUCAGGGAGCUUAGGACAAGGAGUUUUUUAUCGAGAGGGCAACCAUCAAGUCGCUCGUGCACCUCUUUUUUUCUCAAUUCUUCCGACGGGGGUAGCCCACUGAGAUGUACAAGUUUCACUCCAGGGCAGGAGAGCUUUAAAACUAUCAAGGUUGACGGAAGUUGUAAGAGGGUUCUGAAGUUUAGUCCACGGAGAGUGUAAUAUUAUGCAAUAAUGUAAUAUUAUGUUAGUGGGCCCCAAAAGAAGAAACUGAAAAAGAAACUGAAAAGUCAGUAAAACAAAAAGGAGAGGGGAGAGGGCUCGGCUAAAUAGAAGCCGAGAGUUCCCUCGACCAAAAAGAAAAGAAAGAAAAGACGAAGAAGAGGAAGGAGAAGAGAAAAAGGGAAAAAAAGGAAAGGAAUUUUGGCACGUGCACGUCUCGGAUGCCUCGCCAAGCCGACUCGACUCCAUAACACAACACCCGGUAAGAGAUCAAGCCCCUUGUUUGUCCGAUUGAAGUAAUUUUUGGAUUUAGGACUUAAAUUCAAAAUUUUUGGAAAACUGAGUGGCGAGGUCUAAUUUUGGAGUCAUUGAGCCGCGUAUUUUUGCAAGAAUGAUAAUUUAGGGUGUUGUAGAGCCGUGGGAUUUUACGGAUCGUGAUUUGAGCUUAUGGUUUGUCCAAAACAGAAUUUCAAAGUUUCCCGCGCGCAGUGAACAGUACGCGUCCAGCAGCUUUGGGCCCGUAUUUUGUCAUUUUUCAGCUUGAUUUUGGGAUGGCCAAGUCAGGAUUCUUGUGAUAUGUUUCAAGGGCUCUCUAUUGAAUAUAAGUACGUUCGGAUCGGAGUUCGGAAGAGAAAGUUAAGGCGCAAUCAAGUUUUGCACUUAAAUUUCGUGUUGCGAAUGGCUUGAACAAUCGCUUUGGUUAUGCAAUUCGUUAGCGCGUAGAAGUCCUUUUGUUAGAAUUAAGGCGUAAUUUAGUUAUUUCGAAGUAGAGACAGUGUUUUAUUAGAUUUUAACAUUUUUCUCGGUUAUUUGAUAGGACCUUGAAUUCGACGAUACGAGUAUCGUUCGUCGUUUGGUCAUCGACGACAAGGUGAGUGGUACUAUAUCUUCUUUGGUUUUAUAAAAUCAUGUCUUGAAGUAUGUAUGUAUAUAUAUUGAAUCAAGAAGAGCAUUUUUAUUGCAUAAAAGUCAGAUCGAGCAAUUGCUACCCUUUGGUUGAUUGUGAAUCUUUGAAAAGCACGUUAUACAAGGUUUGUGGAGAAACAUAUAUAAAAUUGCUUUGCGACUGAUUUAUGAAAAAGUUUAUGAUGAUUUGAAAAACAAAUAUGAAAAUGGAUGAUGGGCUAUGUUGCAAAAUGUUAUUUGUUUGGUUUGAGAUAUUGAUUUUUGGAUUGGAUUUCUGGUAUUGGAGAAUGGUUAUUUAUGCUCAAUAUGACUGUGAAUCUAGUGAUGGAUUUUUGGGGUAUGCAUACCAGGUUUAGGAUAUCCUUCUGGGCCUAGCCGCCGGCUUUGUAGGUGGAGACCUUGCCAAGGGGGAAUCUUGGUCGCCUUGUCACAGGGCGUUGUGUCGUGACCAUGGUUAGUAAUUGAGUAAAAGAUUAAUCAAUGGAUAGACCAUUGAUAUGUGUUUUUUUGAUGGAGAUUAUUCAAUGGAUUCGACCAUCGAUACUUGACUUUUGAUGGCGAUUCAAAUGAGUUUUCCAUAUUAGUAUAAAUUUUUGAUGAUAAGAAAUAACUUUGAUAUGAUUCGAUAUGUAUUUUAUAUAUUGAAUUGGUGUUAUGAAAUUUGGUAUUGCUUUGUAUACAUGCAUAGUGGUUGUUCGAUCUGCUUAGAAGAUAUGUACUACUCACUGAGCUGUGGUUGCGCAUCCCAUUCCUCCUUUAAUCUUUUCAAGUUCCUCAGCUAGCGGCGAAUAGAGCGAGUGCGUAGUCGGUGGGAACUUUUGGGGAGUUCUAUUUUGUUUUUGGUAUGGUUUAAGGAAGUGGUGCAAAUAAUACUUACUAGUAGUUGGAUCGUCUGAGUUUUAAACGUAUAUCUCUUUUGGUGGAUUAUAGAAACUCUGAUGUUGCAACCAAUUUGUUGGUUCAUCUGAUAUAUAUAUAAGUUAAUAUCAGUUUGUUGUUUGUGUUUGAGGCUGCGUCCUGUGUAAAGAAGGACGGCCGUGUCAUUCCCAUUCUUUGUGGUUUUGGGGUGUGACAGAGAGUAAGUUCUUUCAGCAAAUAAAGGGAACCCAACUCCGUAGUUGGUGUACGGACAUACCAUAAGCACAGUGCAACUUGCUCAAUUUGGAUAAACUCCCAAUCCACCUCAAGUCACCGGUUGGAAUUUCUUUCGAUGUGGACAACCCAUUGUCAGAGCCAUCGGAUAGGAACAAUUCAACUAGAUUAGUAAGGUUUGAGAGGUUAGGGACACGGCAAUGAUUUAGAUAUCAAUCGUGGAGUAGUCAAAUUUCUGGGGAGCCCCGACCACUCUCUUAUCCUAUGACAAUAUUCCAAGUUCAAUGUUUGGAGGUGAAGCAAUUUCCUCGUUAUACUGGGUAGUUCUACAAUUGGUGUGUGUGAUACUUUGGUGGAGGACAGUCUCCGUUGUCUACCAAUGAAACCUAGUAAUCUUGUUGUGCAUGGUAUAUCUAGCUUCGUCGACGACUCAAAUUUCGAAACUGAAUUCAGGAGCUCGCUCAAGUGAUUACAUUUACAAACAGAGAGGCGUCGAAGAUUCCGUAGCUCUCCAAUUUCUUCAGGCAAUUUUUAAGUUUCGGACAUGACUUAAUACGCAAGUCAAUCAGCUGCCUCAGUUUUCCAAUAGAGCGGUCAAUUCCCUUCAAAGAUGGACAAUGACAAAUAGUCAACUUCUCUAAAACUAAGUACUCAAGAAAGGUUGGUGUCCCAUGUAUCGAGUAAUUACUUUCAAGAGUGAGAACCUUCAAUUUCGUUGCCCCCUACAAAAGCAAAUCAAACAUUAGGACAAACAAUUAGAUGUAUGUACAAGAAAUAAAUAUGAAAUUAGGCUCCCAACUGGGAUCAUAUGUCAUCUGAUCCUCUCACUAACUGAGAAAAUUAUACUACAAAUCCAUCAAACUAUGUCCUUCAUUGAAUGAGAAAAUUAGAACAAGAGAGAAAGUCACGUACCUUGAUUAGGUAACUGAUCUCAUCUUUGCUGAGGUUAGAGGAACGAAUAUUAAUCACAACCACGUUUUCUAGACCCAAAUUGGUUUGCGAAUCAAGUUCUCCAGAAUAACCUGUUUUGCCUGUCAAAAUGAUCCAUUUCAACUUGGGAAGACAGCCCGUGAAGUCACCUUCGCAGACUACAUCACUCAACCAAAGAAACUUGAGACGUGGGAACCGCCUAAGUUGCUCUGCUGUGAUAGUUGUAGGAUUGCUAGAGGUCGUUUGCAAACAGAGUGCUUGGACGCUUUCCUUCAUCUGCUAAUGACAUUGAGGAGCAGAAGCAAGAAUUUGUCAAUAAUGCCACGAUUUAAUUUGUCCAAGGGAAGAAAAAAAUUGAACAGUAAAGUAGCUCCCAAUUCAAAAACGUGAUUAAAUCCUCAAUUAAGAACAUGGUAAGCAAUUUUCUAUUCAAAUUUGGUCAUACUUCACCUCUAUUGAUCUUAAUUCGCAAAUUAUGUCAUCUUCAUUCCACAACCCGGUACGGUCUUGCAUAGCAAUUGCCCUUCCGAGAUCUCUACAUUGAUCAUGCAUCCAAAUUUCAUCAUUUUUUAAAACCUUUAUCAUGCACCUAUUAAUAAGGACAUGAAUAGCAUACUCCGCCUUAAGCCCACAAUAUUUCCACCGGUAGAUUAGAUCAGCCUUUUUCCAACCGAUGAAAAAGCAUGCAACAUCGAGAAAUAUGUGUUGUUGAUCCAGCUCUAAGGCAUCAUAACUGAUCCUUAGCUUUCCCAACACAUCCCUAUGAGGUGUUUCCCUUAGCUUCUCUAGCAUCUCUUCCCAUAUUGUUUCCUCUUUCUCACCAAAAAGCAAUGAACCUAUAGCUGUAAGAGCUAAAGGCAAUCCACCCGUAGUUGAGACAAUGCCUUUGGAAAGAGUGUAAUAAUUGGUAGGAGGAGAGCUAUCAUCAAAGGCAUGCCUACUAAAAAGCUGGAGUGCAUCUUUUUUGUUCAAACCCUCCAUUUCGUAACACAAGAUUUUAUACUUAAAUCCCCUGAUUUUUAGAACACUUUUGUCCCUAGUGGUAACAAGUAUCCUAGUACCAGAACACAGAGUUCACUUCAAUUAGUUUUUGGAUUUGGUUGUCCUCAUCAACGUCAUCCAAUACAAUUAGCAUCUUCUUGUUGCAAAUUGUUUGUCCAAUCAUAGUGAUCCCCCGAUCCAAGUUAUCAAUAUUAAGAUCCAAUCCAGAAUUGGAGAUAUCGGACAAUAAUUUUCUUUGCAACUUGACCAACGAGCCCUUGGCUUUUGCCAUUUCCCUCACAUCUUCAAGAAAGCUGCAGUUUUUCCCAAAGCGAGGACAUAGUUGGUUGAAGAUAAUAUUGGCAAGUGUUGUUUUACCGAUGCCACCCAUCCCGUAAAUUCCAAUGAGCCGAAUGUCACCGGAAUCGAUGUCUAAUAAAUUAUUUAUGACUGUUAUUCGAUCCUCCAUUCCAACUAAAUCUUUGGUCACUUGUCUUUGUCUUGUCUUGAGCCUAGUCACCACCUCCUUAACAAUGGACUUUAUAAGAUCCCCAUGGCUGCCACAAAGUUGAACAGUUUGAAUUGAAGAAAGGCAACAAAUUUGCAUGUUGACCAACUAUCUACUAAGAAACCAAGUGGGAGCACGACCAAGUUUAGGAUAUAUAAAAAUUCAACAUUACCCCCAAAAGCUUCGGGAACAUGAUGAAUUACAAACUUCAACGUCCAUUACAAGUUUAAGUUAAAGGAAUAGAAGAAGAGAUAUGUUUGAUCUUUAUAUCAAGUAGGAGAAUCAAAAUUGCUGGCAAAAAAAAGUGGAAGAAUAAAAAUAUAAAUGUUUGACGAACUAUUGUGAUAGCAAAUUUUCUCACUUCAACGUGGAAAAGAACUUUGCAAAGGCAAAGUUCCUUAAUCAAAGCCAAACUAGUAUGCAAUAAAAAUCUUAAGACAUACAUGGAUCAAAUCAGUAUAAAGAAAGAAGCAAAGCCAAAUUUUCAUAUGAGGAAUAUUAGGUGAAAAAAACAAUCAUAACAACCCCAUUAGGUCAGAAAAAUUUGGAAACCUCAUGACUUAAAAUAGCAAAAGAAAAUUUUGAAACUUUUUGUUUAAAUUUAGGGAAAUUAGAGUCGGACUAUAAUUGGUGAAUUUUUAUGAGAACCGUGGUGGCUUGAUUGUACAAAAUAAUUUUCAAAAUCAUGGUUAGAUUGUUACCCCAAAUAUUUCUCUAGUUCCCAUCCCUUGGCACCGCCAACUUCUUUAAGAGCUUGGCACCACACCUCUACAUCCUUGGAGCUGAACUUCUUCUGUUCCUCCAUCUCUUGCUUUAAUUUUGAUAUGGCAUUUCCAUACAACAUGGAUUUCAGCUUCAUAUCAUAUGGAUUCACAUCAUAGAAGAUGGGCAAUAUGACCUUCUUCUCAUCUUCUUUAGAUUUAGAGGUGUUCUCCACCAUCUUUGCAAGCUCACGGAGGCACCAAUGACUUGAAGCGUAAUUUUUGGAAAAAAUAGGUAUGUAGAGCUUGGAAUCGUUGAUCGCUUGUAGAAGGUUGUCACUAAUGUUUUCACCCAGUCGAAGCUCUUCAUCAUCGAUGAAAACACGAAUCCCAGCAUCUACCAAGGCAUGAUAGAGGCUGCUGGUGAACCCACGACGAGUAUCUAGCCCUCUAAAACUAAGGAACACCUGAAACUCGCUUCCUGUAGUAUUGCCGGUGCUUGAUCCUAUCUCUGACUUCGCCAUAGGAACUCAAUUCGCACGCGCACUUAGCAAAGUCAACGCUGCCCUCCCUGCACGCGCAAUUAGCAAAGUCAACGCUGCCAACCCCUACGCCGGGGGACUUCUAGGCAAUUUCGUAUAAAGUCUUGUGGCUCUUAAUUGCAAUUAGAGGACUUUCAAUCGGACUUUCAAUCGGACUUUUUGGCAAAAAUAAUAAUACAUUCAGUGAUGGGGAGAGCUUCGAUUACAUUAUUAAUGUGAAAAGCUUCUCCACCAGAUCAUCCUCCCUCAAAAAUUUACAAAAGGAGAACCCAUGCAUUACAUUAGAAAAAGGAAAAAUGGAUAUUUAAUUAUAUGAUAUAAACAAUGAAGCCCGAUGCCACUUUCCUUAGUUAGAGAUACCAUUUUGGACGUUUGUAUUGCGUGGCUCUUGGAGUUUAAUUGAAAAUUUCACGGAUAAAAACUCUUAAUUCCAUUCAACAUAAAAAACACGUCAAGGCAACUUCGUAGCGGGUGCAACUUCCAAUUCGUAGUUACUAAAGUCGAUGGCUUUAUAAAAAAAAUGAGGUGGAGGACAAAAAUGAAUCUGUACCUUUUCUAUAGUUUCACAUAUUUAAAAUCCUAAUCCAAUAUUGUAAGAUAACAAUAUAUAUAUAUAUAUAUAUAUAUAUAUGCAUAAUAACAAAAUAUUUCCAAAGAAUCACAUCUCAUUUGAAAAAAUGCUCCACCUAAGCACUACCCAAGCAUAUACUUACUACUUACUAUGAAAUAUUUAAUUUGAUCUCUUAAUCUUAAAGACUUACCUUUUAUUAUCAUUAAUUGCCUAUAACCACUCAAGUAUCCUCAUUAAAUGUGCCUUUGUAUUAAAUAGCAAAUGAUUGUGCAAAUCUUUUUCAACACUUAUAUCCUUACCGAUAACUACUAGAAUGUGAGCAUGGUUGUGGACAUCUAAAUUUUUGUUGUUAGAUUGUGCGUGUCUCAAAAAAAAGAAAAAAUAGGGACCAAAUUUGCCAAUAACACUAUAAUUCAAUCCCUAACCAAGAACACCUAGCUCGCACGAUUUAUGCAUUCCUUCCUGACAUUUGUGAUUAGAGGCAUGUUGAUUUCAAUACCUUGGGCCCGGCAUUAAAACAAACUUGGACCGACGAAGAUGACGGGCACUUUUGAGUCCCUCCCAUUUCUGAAGAACUAUUCAAGGCCACUCAACAUUACUCGAUUGGUUUUCUCCUUCUAAGUUGAUCCAUUUUUGUGCGUACCAUUAAACCUCAGCUAACCUCAUGGCUUUAGCCUUACUGGGGACAUGAAACUAAGUUAACAUGUGGGCCAUCUAGUCAACAAUCGACCAAGAGUUUCACCUGGGACCACAGAGGGAGAGCGUGUGAUACAGAAAAGAAAAGAAAGCAGAGCAGUGGGCAGUCUUGGCAAUAGGAGGAAAUAGCAAGAGGAGGACCUGUUCAGACAGUUUAUCUCGCUGCAUAUUGAAAGUGAAUUAUUAGGUGAACAAACCGAGGAUAGGAGAGGACAGCAUGCAGGGAAUGUUUAUCAUUUUCUUGCCUGUUCCUCCGUUAAUCUCGCGUGCUAACCAAUCGUUGCUGCCAUCAAAGCCAAUUCGUUUUGAAACCCCCCUUCACAAUAGUCGUUUUGACCCUGCACGGCCUGAACAAUCGGCUCCCAAUAGAAAGAAAGGCGCACCAAGGAUCCCCUCUUUAUGUUUCGGAGUCACUGGUUUCACAGAAUACGAAUUCAUUCCAAAUCUUCUCUCUUAUAGACUCCCAAUUGUCGCGAUAAGCAAACCAAUUGACGUGUGGGCUCCGUGUGGGCUCCAACUAGAUCUUUUGUUUAUCUGGCACUCAUUCGGCAGUCCUGAGCCGAAUCCAAAAACAAUCCCCACAUCGUAUUACUCCCCACGAAAUCCCAACACCUGCAUAAACUCUAAGUCGUCCCAGCAGUUAAUAUCUAACAUCUCCAAUUUCUUCAAGUUUGACAGACCUUUCAUCAUUCUUAAUGAACCGCACCUUUCAACAGUAAAUACUUCCAAUGAUUCCAACGGAGACACAAAAUCGAUAGCUCUUACCUCCUCGCAACUCCUCAUAUGGAACUCUCGAAGCAUCUUCAGGGGAGCUUAGGACAAGGAGUUUUUCAUCGAGAGGGCAGCCAUCAAGUCGCUCGUACACCUCUCUUUUUCUUAAUUCUUCCGACGGAGGUAGCCCACUGAGAUGUACAAGUUUCACUCCAGGGCAGGAGAGCUUUAAAACUAUCAAGGUUGACGGAAGUUGUAAGAGGGCUCUGAAGUUUAGUCCACGGAGAGUAAGUUCUUUUAGCAAAUAAAGGGAACCCAACUCCAUAGUUGGUGCACAGACAUACCAUAAGCACAAGUGCAACUUGCUCAAUUUGGAUAACAUCCCAAUCCACCUCAAGUCACCAGUUGGAAUUUCAUUCGAUGUGGAUAACCCACUGUCAGAGCCAUCAGAUACGAACAAUUCAACUAGAUUAGUAAGGUUUGAGAGUUUAGGGACACUCGGCAAUGAUUUAGAUAUCAAUCGUAGAGUAGUCAAAUUUCUGGGGAGCCCCGACCACUCUCUUAUCCUAUGACAAUAUUCCAAGUUCAAUGUUUGGAGGUGAAGCAAUUUGCCCGUUAUAUUGGGCAGUUCUACAAUUGGUGUGUGUGUGAUACUUUGGCAGAGGAUAAUCUCUGUUGUCUACCAAUGAAACCUAGUAAUCUUGUCGUGCAUGGUACAUCUAGCUUCUUCGACGACUCAGAUUUCGAAACUGAAUUCAGGAGCUCGCUCAAGCGAUUGCAUUUACAAACAGAGAGGUGUCGAAGAUUUCGUAGCUCUCCAAUUUCUUCAGGCAAUUUUUUAAGUUUCGGACAUGACUUAAUACGCAAGUCAAUCAACUGCCUCAGUUUUCCAAUAGAGCGGUCAAUUCCCUUCAAAGAUGGACAAUGACAAAUAGUCAACUUCUCUAAAACUAAGUACUCAAGAAAGGUUGGUGUCUCAUGUAUCAAGUAAUUACUUUCAAGAGUGAGAACCUUCAAUUUCGUUGCCCCCUACAAAAGCAAAUCAAACAUUAGGACAAACAAUUAGAUGUCUGUACAAGAAAUAAAUAUGAAAUUAGGCUCCCAACUGGGAUCAUAUGUCAUUUGAUCCUCUCACCAACUGAGAAAAUUAUACUACAAAUCCAUCAAACCGUGUCCUUCAUUGAUUGAGAUAAAUUAGAACAAGAGAGAAAGUCACGAACCUUGAUUAGGUAACUAACCUCAUCUUUGCUAAGGUCAGAGGAACGAAUAUUCAUCACAACCACGUUUUCUAGACCCAAAUUGGUUUGCAAAUCAAGUUCUCCAGAAUAACCUGUUUUGCCCGUCAAAAUGAUCCAUUUCAACUUGGGAAGACAGCCCGUGAAGUCACCUUCGCAGACUACAUCACUCAACCAAAGAAACUUGAGACGUGGAAACCGCCUAAGUUGCUCUGUUGUGAUAAUUGUACGAUUGCUAGAGGUCGUUUGCAAAUAGAGUGCUUGGACGCUUUCCUUCAUCUGCUAAUGACAUUGAAGAGCAGGAGCAAGAAUUUGUCAAUAAUGCCACAAUUUAAUUUGUCCAAGGGAAUAAAAAAAUUGAAUAGUAAAGUAGAUCCCAAUUCAAAAACGUGAGUAAAUCCUCAAUUGAGAACAUGGUAAGCAAUUUUCUAUUCAAAUUUGGUCAUACUUCACCUCUAUUGAUCUUAUUCGCAAAUUAUGUCAUCUUCAUUCCACAACCUGGUACGGUCUUGCAUAGCAAUUGCCCUUCCGAGAUCUCUACAUUGAUCAUGCAUCCAAAUUUCAUCAUUUUUUAAAACCUUUAUCAUGCACCUAUUAGUAAGGACAUGAAUAGCAUACUCCGCCUUAAGCCCACAAUAUUUCCACUGGUAGACUAGAUCAGCCUUUUUCCAACCGAUGAAAAAGCAUGCAGCAUCGAGAAAUAUGUGUUGUUGAUCCGGCUCUAAGGCAUCAUAACUAAUCCUUAGCUUUCCCAACACAUCCCUAUGAGGUGUUUCCCUUAGCUUCUCUAGCAUCUCUUCCCAUAUUGUUUCCUCUUUCUCACCAAAAAGCAAUGAACCUAUAGCUGUAAGAGCUAAAGGCAGUCCACCCGUAGUUGAGACAAUGCCUUUGGAAAGAGUGUAAUAAUUGGUAGGGGGAGAGCUAUCAUCAAAGGCAUGCCUACUAAAAAGCUGGAGUGCAUCUUUUUUGUUCAAACCCUCCAUUUCGUAACACAAGAUUUUACACUUAAAUCCCCUGAUUUUUAGAACACUUUUGUCCCUAGUGGUAACAAGUAUCCUAGUACCAGAACACAAAGAGUUCACUUCAUUUAGUUUUUGGAUUUGGUUGUCCUCAUCCAUGUCAUCCAAUACAAUUAGCAUCUUCUUGUUCCAAAUUGUUUGUCCAAUCAUAGUGAUCCCCUGAUCCAAGUUAUCAAUGUUAAGAUCCAAUCCAGAAUUGGAGAUAUCGGACAAUAAUUUUCUUUGCAACUUGACCAAUGAGCCCUUGGCUUUUGCCAUUUCCCUCACGUCUUCAAGAAAGCUACAGUUUUUCCCAAAGCGAGGACAUAAUUGGUUGAAGAUAAUAUUGGCAAGUGUUGUUUUACCAAUGCCACCCAUCCCGUAAAUUCCAAUGAGCCGAAUGUCACCGGAAUCGAUGUCUAAUAAAUUAUUUAUGACCAUUAUUCGAUCCUCCAUUCCAACUAAAUCUUUGGUCACUUGUCUUUGUCUUGUCUUGAGCCUAGUCAUCACCUCCUUAACAAUGGACUUUAUAAGAUCCCCAUGGCUGCCACAAAGUUGAACAGUUUGAAUUGAAAAGAGGCAACAAAUUUGCAUGUUGACCAACUAUCUACUAAGAAACCAAGUGGGAGCACGACCAAGUUUAGGAUAUCUACAAAUUCAACAUGACCCCCAAAAGCUUCGGGAACAUGAUGAAUUACAAACUUCAACGUCCAUUACAAGUUUAAGUUAAAGGAAUAGAAGAAGAGAUAUGUUUGAUCUUUAUAUCAAGUAGGAGAAUCAAAAUUGCUGGCAAAAAAAAGUGGAAGAAUAAAAAUAUAAACGUUUGAUAAACUAUUGUGAUAGCAAAUUUGCUCACUUCUUUCGACGUGGAAAAGAACUUUGCGAAGGCAAAGUUCCUAAUCAAAGCCAAAUUAGUAUGCAAUAAAAAUCUUAAGACAUACAUGGAUCAAAUUAGUAUAAAGAAAGAAGCAAAGCCAAAUUUUUAUAUGAGGAAUAUUAGGUGAAAAAUAAAAUCAUAACAACCCCAUUAGGUCAGUAAAAUUUGGAAAUCUCAUGACUUAAAACAGCAAAAGAAAAUUUUGAAACUUUUUGUUUAAAUUUAGGGAAAUUAGAGUCAGACUAUAAUUGGUGAAUUUUUAUGAGAACCAUGGCUUGAUUGUACAAAAUAAUUUUCAAAAUCAUGGUUAGAUUAUUACCCGGAAUAUUUCUCUAGUUCCCAUCCCUUGGUGCCACCAACUUCUUUAAGAGCUUGGCACCACGUCUCUACAUCCUUGGAGCUGAACUUCUUAUGAUCCUCCAUCUCUUGCUUUAAUUUCGAUAUGGCCUUUUCAUACAACAUGAUUUUCAGCUUCACGUCAUAUGGAUUCACAUCAUAAAAGAUGGGCAAUAUGACCUUCUCAUCUUCUUUAGAUUUAGAGGUGUUCUCCACCAUCUUCGCAAGCUCACGGAGGCACCAAUGACUUGAAGCAUAGUUUUUGGAAAAAAUAGGUAUGUAGAGCUUGGAAUCGUUGAUCGCUUGUAGAAGGUUGUCACUAAUUCUUUCACCCGGUCGAAGCUCUUCGUCAUCGAUGAAAACACAAAUCCCGGCAUCUACUAAGGCAUGAUAGAGGCUGCUGGUGAACCCACGACGAGUAUCUAGCCCUCUAAAACUCAGGAACACCUGAAACUCGUUUCCUGUAAUAUUGAUGGUGCUUGAGCCUUUCUCUGAGCUCGCCAUAGGAACUCAAUUCGCAAACGCCGCCAACUCUGUUGAAAUACUUCAAGGCAAUUUCGGAUAAAGCUUGCGGCUCUCAAUCAGAGGGCUUUCAAUCAGACCUUUUGGCAACAAUAAUAAUACAUUCAGUGAUGGAAAGAGCUUUUAUUACAUUAUUAAUGUGAAAAGUUUCUCCACCAGAUCAUCCUCCCUCAAAAAUUUACAAAAGGAGAACCCGUGCAUUACAUUAGAAAAAGGAAAAAUGAAUAUUUAAUUAUAUGAUAUAAAUGAUGAAGCCCGAUGCCACUUUCGUUAGUUAGAGAUACCAUUUUGGAGGUUUGUAUUGCGUGAUUCACGGAGUUUAAUUGAAAAUUUCACGGACAAAAACUCUUGAUUCCAUUCGACACAAAAAACACGUCAAGGCAACUUUGCAGCGGGUGCAACUUCCAAUUCAUAGUUACUAAAGUCGAUGGCUUUAUAAAAAAAUAAGGUGGAGACAAUAAUGAAUGUGUACCUUUUCUAUAGUUUCACAUAUUUAAAAUCCCAAUCCAAUAUUGUAAAAUAACAAUUUAUCUAUAUAAAUGCAUAAUAACAAAAUAUUUCCAAAGAAUCACCUCUCAUUUGAAAAAAAUGCUCCACCUAAGCGCUACCCAAGCAUAUACUUACUACUUAUUAUGAAAUAUUUAAUUUGAUCUCUUCAUAUUAAAGACUUACCUUUUAUUAUAAUUAAUUGCCUGUAACCACUCAAGUAUUCUCAUUAAAUGUGCCUUUAUAUUAAAUGGCAAAAGAUUGUGCAAAUCUUUUUCAACACCUUUUUAAACACUUAUUUCCUUAGUGAUAACUACUAGAAUGUGAACAUGGUUGUUGACAUCUAAAUUUUUGUGGUUAGAUUGUGCAUUCUUUUUUUUUUUAAAUUUAGGGACCAAAUUUGCCAAUAACGCUAUAAUUCAAUCCCUAACCAAGAACACCUAUCCCACACGAUUUUUGCAUUCGUUCCUCACAUUCGUGAUUAGAGGCAUGUUGAUUUUGAUACCUAGGGCCCGGCAUGAAAACAAUCUUGGACCGACAAAGAUGACAGGCACUUUUGAUUCCCUCCAAUCUCUGAAGAAAUAUUCAAGGCCACUCAACAUUACUCUAUUGAUUUUCUCCUUCUAAUUUGAUCCAUUUUUGUGCGUACCAUUAAACCUCAGCUAACCUGAUCGCUUUAGCCUUACUGGGGACAUGAAACUAAGUCAACAUAUGGGCCAUCUAGUCAACAAUCGACCAAGAGUUCCGCCAGGGACCACAGAGAGAGAGGGUGCGAAACAGAAAAGAAAAGAAAGCAGAGCAGAGGGCAGUCUUGGCAAUAGGAGGAAAUAGCAAGAGGAGGACCUGUUCAGACAGUUUAUCUCGCUGCAUAUUGAAAGUGAAUUAUUAGGUGAACAGCCCGAGGAUAGGAGAGGACAACAUGCAGGGAAUGUUUAUCACUCUCUCGCCUGUUCCUCCGUUAAUCUCGCGUGCUAACCAAUUAUUGCUGCCAUCAAAGCCAAUUCGUUUUGAAACCCCCCUUCACAAUAGUCGUUUUGACCCUGCACGGCCUAAACAAUCGUCUCCUCUCGAAUCUUCGGACUGAGCCAUCGCUCGAUGAGCUCAUCGCUUCCCCACCUGUCCAGAUAAAUCCCCGCCUUCCGUCAGCGGUGUGGUCGUUGCGUCACUCCGCGUUCCAUGGGUUACUCCUCUUGGCUGCUCUUCGCCAACACUAUGUUAGGAAAUCACGCGUCAAUUUAAAAAAAUAAAUAAAUAAUGCAAACGAAAGAGUCCACCAAGACUAAAUAUAAUAAUAAAAUAACAUAACGAAAAGAACACGACAUAAAAUUUAUUAUCGAAGUUCAUCCAAAGUUAGGCCAUGUUUUCGCGAAGAGACACUUUGCAAAUCUAUCAGACUUUGAAAAAGUUGAAAUAUAGCAUGAUCUUUCGUAAGAUUAGAGCACAAAUACAGUUCUCAAAGAAAAAAAGCUCACUUUUUUUUUUCUCUCUUUUUUCUUUUCUCUCUAUUUUCUUUUUCAGCCCUUUGAUGGCUAGCAUUUGACUAUCGCUGGCUUUUAAUCUAAAAGCAAAACUAAUAAAAAAAAAUGCCCCUAAAAGAAUUUGAUUUCACUUGCCAACAACCUCCCACUUGAAGAAAAAUAUACUAAUGCACCAAGUAACUUAGCAUUCAUUUACUUAAAAAUCUAGUAAUUGAAAUUUGUGCCUCAGCAAUAGUCCUCAUCAAUUAAGAUAAAAUAAUACAAAUUGUAGUGUUGACUCAUAAAUUUUUCCAAUUCAUAUAGGAUUUAAUUGUAUAGAAAUUUAGGAAAUAAUUUUGAACCCCUACACAAAAAUAGUUUUCACUAGAAUUGCAUAGCAUAUAGACAUUAGGGGCAUUUACAUUAGGAUGUAAAAAAUUAUUAUUUAUUUAAUUUAUAAGAAAAAUUUUUAAAAAUGGAAAAAAUAAAAAUAAAAAAUAAACUAAUUGAUUAAAAAAUUAUUAUGUAAAAAAGAAAGAAGAAGAAAAGAAAAAAGGAGAUCGGGCCAGGGUCAGGCCGGCCCAGCCUUCUUUCCCAUUCUUUUCUACCUUUUCUUUUUGCCUAGGCCCAGCCCGGCCCACUUUUCCUUUUCUUUUCCCCAAGCCCAGCCUCUUCCUUCAUCUUCUCCAUCACGCACUCCCACUCGCUCACGCUCUCGCGCGUUCUGCAAAAACCAAAAAGGAGGACGAAGGACGGAAGCAGAGGCGGGCAGGGGAGUGAGGAGCGCGCCUUUUGGGUCGGGAGCAAGUCGGCACGGCGAGCUGGCGGUGGCAGAGGCGAUGCGCGCCUGCCGGGCGUUAGAAGGGGAUUCGGGGGGCUCGGACAGAGGGAGAAAUGGACGGAGAGAGAAACAGGGAGAUAGAGGGAAUCCGGCCGAGAGGGAGACCGCGAGUGAGAGAGCAGAAAAUUCGCCCCGGCGGAGCGGCGUUCGGCCAUCCUCGACACAAACCAGCGCCCCCUAGCCGGUACCACCGAGCCUGGGCCCCCCAUCUUUCACGGCGUCCGAUUUUUGGUGAGUUGAGUUUCGGUUUCGAUCCGCCGUUUUCCCGUGGUUCCCGGCUUGGCAAAACUGAGAUGGCUGGCUAUUGUUCGAUUCGCAUCGAGACCGGCUUGCGGCCGUCGUCGUCAAGCCGGGUAAGGCCCCCACGGUCGCGCGCUCCGGCGCCCCUUUUUUGUCCUUUUAUUUACUGCUCUGUCUUUGCCCUAUUUCGGGCACGCCGGCCCGGAGCUCGCGGCCAUCCCGCUCACGCGAACUCCGGCUCCUUCGCCCCCGUGUUUUGAUAUUGUCGGUCUGGUGGGUCGUAUGUCGAGGGGACCGUGCGAGUUUGAGUCCCGGCAGAGCCGGGAGCCCCUCGUUCAGUGUCGCGCGUCACCCGCUCGAUGAGACGCCUCAACGAGAUCUAAUUUUCGUCUCCUCCUUUUUUUUGCCGAAAUCGACUCGUCCGCACUGUUGCGUUCUAUUGCUAUGUCCCUGUGAUGUUUGGCGUUACGGGCACGGCCGUUAGGUCGCUUUGCUGCCCCCGCCACCGCCGUUGUUUACUUAGUUUUGUGUUUCGGGCUUUGUGGCUGACGAUAAUGGAGGCUCGUUACUGUGGUUCGGCCAUGCUGGCCGUCGCCGAGAGUCCAGAGCCGUCGGAGUGAGAGCGUGGUCAGGCCGAGGGCGUCGGCUUACGGCCAUUUGGACAAAACGGUGGCAGCGGGAGGUCAGAAGCAAGUAGGUUAGAAGGCUUAAUUAGGUUUAAUUAGCAUGGGCUUAAGUUAGUUUAGUGGGUUUAGGUUCGUUUCUGUUUUCAUGGGAGUUAAUAAGUCUAUUGGUUUUGGGGUCAACUAGGAUUUAUUGAGUUUGGGUUUAGUUCUCGUUAUAUUUGGACCAGUGAUUUUUGGGCUUAAUUUGCUUUAGGGUGUGUUUGUUUAGCGAAAUCUUAAUGAUAUAGGAAAAAGCUUUCUAGUAAAAUAUUUCCUAGGAAUACAGUUAGUUUUUCCUUAUUUGAUAAUACAUAAUCGAAAAUGUUUUUCAAUGUUUGGAUACUAUUUCAAAAUGAUUUCAAUCUCAUUAUUUUAUUUUAAUAAAAAAAAAGUCGAAUUUUAAAAUUUUUAGAGAAAUUGAAAUUUUCAAUUAUUUUGUUUUUCUCUUUUUUUAUUUUUAUUUUAUUUUUUUUCUAAAAGUCGAAUUUUUAAUUUUCUGUAAUAAAGAGACAGUGGAUUCUUAUUAAAGUGACCAUUAUCAAAACCUUAGAAUAUACAUACAGAUAAACUCUUCAGGAGAAGAUGCACAACAUCCUUUGCACAUGAUCACACUCAAUCGAGCAGUCCACAAAAGCAUAGCAACAUAACUAGACUAGGCAUUCAAACAGUCAGACAAAUGCAAGAAAGCAGACCCUUAUACAAAUAUUACCAUAUGAAGCUUGAGUUCAUGCUCUACGCAAAAGAUAAAUCACACGAUUACAUUCAACCAAACACCAACUACUAGUCUGACCAAAAAGAAAAAAAAAAAAAAAACACACCAACUGCCACACCAUUCUUACCUGUUAUUUAGCAAUUGGCUAGUGAUCCAGAGCUUGAGUUCAAGCCCAUGACUCUUGGCACAGAUGAAGUUAAUGAAUGCAAUAAAUUCCUCCGGUUGUGCGGCACUGAAGAAGAAAAUGUGCGCGAGAGUGAAAAGUGGCAUUGGAGAAGGACUUGAAGCUCACGGACAUGCGAGCUUCAAGCUCACUGACGACGGAACCUGGGAAAAGAGAGAUGACAGCGAACGACAGACUUAAACUUGCAAGGAGCGAGCGAGGAUUGGGUGUGGAGUCACUGUGGAGCGAGCGACAAUGAUUUGCUUGAGUAGCGGGAGAAAGGAAGAACUCUAAUCCCAAUUCGAUUCGCAAUUUGAGACCGACUUACCACCUCGGUCCUAAAAUCCACUUCAGGCCCUUUUUCCCCUCUUUCUUUUUUCCUGUUCUUUUGCCGACUGUCUUGCUCUCUCUCUUCUUUCUGUUCAUUUUCCUGGUUCUGCACAAGGAAAUAAUAGGGUGAAACAAACGCACCCAAGCUUUUUGUUGAGGUUUUCUCCUCUUUCUUCUGCCUUCUUGUUUUGCCAACUCUGUCUCUCUCUUCCUUUUCUUCUCUUUAUUUUCCUGAUUCUGCAGAAAGAAAUAAUAAAGUGAGUUGAGGUCUCUUGUGCCUAAAUUUCUCUUAAGAAAGGCCCCUUCGUUGUGGAUGGUGAGGAAUGUAAGAUACCCAACGUCGCCACCGAAGUGGACACACACAACAUAUGGAGAUUCCCAGUAAGAUGGGGAAUUUUAAUAAGAUUUUCCUUGGUUGCGCGUUUUAGAAUCAGUUCACUGUCUCCCUUCAUUAGAAUAAAGCAGAAAUAGAAAGCGAGCAAAGCAGAAGAAACAACGAUGAUCUAUGAAUAGAAAGAACGCGCACCGUUUUCUGUUUCAGAGUCCGUUGUUUCAAUUUCAUAGCUCCACGCUUGCUUCGCUCCAUUCAGAAUCUUCUCUCUGUAAGACUUCCACCAGUCAUUCUGCACACCACCGUUAGUACGACUGUCGGGUAACUGCUCGCUAUUAUCUGUUAUGACUAUCCAGCAAUUAUCUGGUAUUUUGGAGCUCGAUGGAUCAAGAAUCCUUCCCACUGAUUUGCACCCAUAAAUCAACAAGCUAUCCAAAAACUCUAGUUCGUCAAUGCCCUCGACAACCUGUAGGCUCGGGCACUGGCUAAUCCAUAACGAUUUCAAGUUCUUUGAGUUUGACAAACCGCCUAAGCUUUUUAAAGAAGAGCACCCGUCAACAGAAAAUUCUUCCAAUGAUUCGAACGGAGUAACAAAUUGAAUAUCCAGUACCUCGAUGAACCCUGACAGACGAAAUUUUACAAGCAUCUUUUGGGAGCUUGGGAAAAGGAGCGCUCCCCUCCAAUGAUCAAUCAACUCGGGAGCUUGUAGUUCAUUGCACCCCUGCUCCUGCGGCUGACAAACCGAACUCUCGGAAGAUCUGCAAUCCUGAAUAUGUGAUCUUUCUGACGAUUCUAAGACAUUGAGAGAUUGAACAUCAAGUUGCUCGGACAGCUUGUUUUCUUUCGAUUUUCCCAAACUUGUUGGAAGGAAUGGAGUCUCCUUUUCCGAUGGAGGAAGCCCAUCGAGGUGUACUUGUUUCCCUCCAGUUUCGUAUAGCUCUAAAACUAUCAAAUUUGACGGGAGGUGUUUGAAAGUUGGCAAGUCUUGUCCCUGUAGAGUAAGUUCUUUUAGCAGAGAAAGGGAACCGAACUCUGUAGUUGGCAUGCGGACAUUUGUAAAGCAGACGUGCAGGUUGCUCAAUUUGGUUAAACUCCCUAUCCACCUCAAGUCGCCAGUUUGGAAUUUUUUUGAUGGGGUUCCAUAUAGACCGCUGCCAGAUAGGAGCAGUUGAACUAGGUUAGUGAGGUAUGAGAGGUUAGGGACAGUUUGCAGGGACUCAGAACGUAGCCGUAAAAUGGUCAAACUUAUGGGGAGCUUUGGCAACUCUUGUAUCUCAUGACAAUCUUCCAAGUCCAGUGUUUGGAGUUGACGAAACUUGCUCAUCGUACUGGGCAUUUCCGCAAUUUUUGUGUGUAAUACAUCCAGCUCCGUUAACAACUUUAUUUUCGAAACUGAGGUGGGGAGUUCAAUCAAGCUAGAACAACACUUAAGACAGAGGCACUGCAAAUUUUGUAACUCUCCAAUUUGUUCAGGUAAUUUUUCAAUUGACUGACAAUUCUCAAAACUCAAGUCAGUCAGCCACCUCAGUUUCCCAAUAGAACAAUCAAUUUCCCUUAAAGAUAUCAGUCGACAAAUAGUCAACUUCUUUAAAUUUGAGUACUCGGGAAAGGUUGGUGUCUCACUUAUAGUGAGAACCGUCUGAAUAGUGAGAUCCAUCUGAAUAGUGAGAACCGUCAAUUUCCUUGCCCCCUACAAAAGCCAAUAAAACAGUAGGACAUACAAGAAAUAAAUAUGGAUCUAGGCUACCAAUGAGAAAAUUAGAUAAUAAACUCAUCAAAUCUUGUCCUUCAUUGAAUGAGAAAAUUAGACUAAGAGGGAAACUAGCAUACCUUGAUUAGGCUAUCUAACACAUCUUUUGUGAUUUGAAGAUUAAAAAGAUUCGCCACAACCACGUUUUCUAGAUGCAACAAAUUGGUUGCCUCCAAAUGUUGAAGAUUAAUGUAUUGCAAAUCGAUCCAUUUCAACUCAGAAAGACAGCCCGUAAAGUCACCUCGGUAGGCUACAUUAGGCAACCAAAGAAACCGCAUAUGUGGAAACCGUUUAAUUUGCUCCGGAGUGACAGUCAUACCAUGAGAAAGAGCCCACGGCAAAUUGAGUGCUUGAACGCUUUCUUUGAUCUGCCAAUUCGUAGAAGAGAAGAGAAAAUGAAACAAAAGAGUAGCUUUCAAAUCAAAAAGUGAAUCUUGAAUUAAGAAGAGGGUAUAAGCAAUUUUCUAUUCAAUAUAGGCCAUACUUUACCUCCUCUGAUCUUAAUUCGCGAAUAAUGUCGUCAUCACACAAUCUGAUACGCUCUUCUCUGGCAAUUUUCCUUCCAAGGUCUCUAAAUUGAUCGUGCAUCCAAAGGCUAUUAUCGUCUAACUCCUUUAUCAUGCAUCUGUUAAUGAGGACAUCCAUGGCAUCCUCUGGGUACAAAUUACAAUCUUUCCACACGUACAUUGGAUUAGUCUUAUUCUCACCAGCGAAAUAGCAUGCAAUAUCAAGGAAUAUCUGCUUUUCAUUCUGAUGUAAGGCAUCAUAGCUAAUCUUUAGUUUUGCCAAGACAUCCUCAUGAGGUGUUUUCUUUAGCCUCUCUAGCCACUCUUCCCAUAGCUCUCUCUUUUUCCCAAAAAGUGAUGAACCAAUUGCUUGAAGAGCUAAAGGUAGUCCACAUGUAGUAUCGACGAUGCCCUUUGAAAAAGCGCAAUAAUCAGCUGGAGGAGAGUCUUCAUUGAAGGCAUGCCUACUAAAAAGUUUAAGUGCAUCUUUACUGAUCAACCCCAUCAUUUCAUAAUCCUUAAAUUCAUACUUAAGUUUCCUGUUAGUCAAAACGUUCUUGUCCCUGGUGGUAACAAGUAUUCUACUACCUCGAUGCAAAGAUUUCUCUCCGAUUAGUUGUAGGAUCUGGUUGGCCUCAUCAACAUCAUCCAAUACAAUUAGCACCUUCUUGUUGGAAAUUGUUGCUUCAAUCGUAUCAAUCCCUUCAUCAAUCUUAUUAAUUUUGUGAGCCACUCCAGAAUAAGAGAUAUCAGACAAUAAUUUUUUUUGUAGCUCGACUAUGUUCUUGUUUUUUGCCGUUUCCCUCACGUCAUCAAGAAAGCUGCAGUUUCUGCCAAAUCGAGGACAUAGUUCGUUGAAGAUAGUCUUGGCGAGUGUUGUUUUACCGAUGCCGCCCAUCCCGUAGAUUCCAAUGAACUGCACAUCAUCAGAAUCAAUGUCUAAUAAUUUCUUUAUGUUCGCUAUUUGAUCUUCCAUUCCAACGAAAUCUCCGGUUACGCGUCUCCGUUUUGUCUUGAGCUUGGCCACAACCUCGUCAACAAUAGCCUGGAUGAGUUUUAAAGGGCUGCCACAAAGUUGAACAGUUUCAAUUGAGCAAACGUGACAAAUUUGCAUAUUGACCAUCUACUAACCAACCGGGUGGGGACGCGAUCAAGUUCAAAAAUAUAGAAGAGAAAUGUUUGAUCUUUAUAUCAGGUAGAAGAAUCAGAAUUUCUGGCAAAAAAAGGUAGAAGAAUCAAAAUAUAAACAUCUAAUGAAUUGAUGUACUGGAAUAUUUACUUAAAUAAAAAAAUGGCAGCCCGAUUAUACAAAAUAAUUUUCACAAUCAUGGUUAGAUUAUUACCUUGAAUGUUUCUCCACCUCCCAUCCCUUGAUGCCACCAACUUCUAUGAGAGACUCCCGCCACGUCUUUAUAUUCUCGGAGCUGAACUUAUGCUCCUGAUCCUCCAUCUCUUGCUCCAAAUUCGAUAUGACAUCCUUGUAUAACGGUGUUUGCAGCUUCACAUCUUUGGGCUUCACAUCAUAGAAGAUGGGCAAUAUGACCUUCUCUUUCCCAUCUUCUUUAUGUUUAGAUGUGUUCUCCACCAUUUUCGCAAGCUCGUCAAGGCACCAGUGACUUGACGCGUAAUCUCUGGAGAAAAUGGGUAUGUAAAGCUUGCAACUGCCGAUCGCUUGCAAAAGGUUGCUAAUUUUUUCACCAUGUUGAAGCCCUUUGUCAUCGAUGAAACACGAAUCCCGGCAUCUACCAAGGCUUCGUGGAGGAUAUUGGUGAAUGAAAGACGAGUAUCAGGCCCUCUAAAACUCAGGAAAACCUGGUAUUCACCUCCUACCGUGUUGCUGGUGCUUGUCACUGUCUCUGAGUUUGCCAUAGGAGCUCACUUCGCACUUAACAACGUCAACCCUCUCACCUCGUCUCCGAGUUCGCAAUAUGACAUUUCACAUAUUUGAAUCCGAUCCCAUUUGCCAUCCAAAACGCGGAUAGGCAACUUCGUAGCAGGUGCUGUUUCUAGUUUACAGUCAAUCAAGUUGAUGACUUCAAAAAAUAAAAAUAAGGCGAAGGACAAUAAUGGAGAUUCACCUUUUUACACGCCCAAUGUCCUUCGAGUUUCUCCCUUGUCCUUUUCACUUUGUGCUUUUGAAAAAGAAAAAUACGGUGGAGGACAAUAAUGGAGGUGCACCUUUUUGCAUGCCCAAUGUCUUUCGAGUUUCUCCUUUUUGUUUUUUACUUUGUCUUGAUCUCUCCGCCUUGAAAACUUACCUUUAAUUAUAACCAACUUCCUUUAACAACUGAAUUAUUGUCGUAAAAUGUGCCUUUAUAUUAAAAAAUAAAUGAUCAUUUAUUUCCUACUAACAACCAUUAGAAUGUGAGCAUGGUGUAGUUAGUGCAGUUUGGAUGUCAAAUCAAGCCAAACUAUAUAAAUAUAUUUUGAGUUUGAGCACCUCGGAUGAAAUAGGAUCAGAUGAGAAUUAUAGGCGCUCGGCCACUGUUCAAAAUUGGUGAGAGGAAGUGCAGUGAUGGCUUGUCAAUGGCCAUGAUCCCAGUCCAUUGCGGUAUUGCUUUGAGCACGAAAGAAAGAAAGAGAAACCAUGAUGGUCCUGACCACAAGAGACGGCUUUUGCUCAGCUGAAGAAGGAGAAAACGAGAUCAAUGAUGGCCAUUGCCGAUAAUGGGCCGAAAGGGAAGAAGACGAAGAAAGUUGCAAGGACGGUGUCUUUUCAUGUUGGCCACUCAUUGUUUCCUUACUUCUUUAUUUGGUUCCGCUGAAUUUCCUCUUAAGUUCCAGGAGGAAGAGCUCUCGAAGUCAUAGAGAUUAGAGAGCUCUGAAGGCUGCACAAAGCAUAUCAAAAAGCGUGUCGAGAGUUCCUCUCGAUUACACCAAAUAUUUAUGUUCUAAAGAGGGUUAAAUCUUUCGUUAAGAUUUGCCACAUACUUUUAAGAGAUUGAGAAAUUUUUUCAAGAGAAAUUUUGAAGGCUAAACAUUUUAUGAAUUACUGAGUAUAACUAGGAUUUGAAAAUACCAAAGUAUUUAAAUGACUCACGUAUGAUUAUAAAUUUCGUCAUAUCUUUUAAUUUAUAAUUGAAUUUUGUACUACUCUAUCAUGAAUGUAAGUCAUAAACUGAAUCACGUAAAUUUAAUAUCUGAUUCAUUUCUUUGUUUUUUACAUUUUAUUCAUUUUUUUUUCCAAAAAUGAAUAUGGUUCGAAGGAAGUGAGACCCAACUAAAAGAUAUUCAAUAUGAUCAGUAUUAGGGGGUAUUGUUCUUUUAUUGCCAUUUUGUCCAUUGAAUCGCUCGAGGCCGUGUGUACCUUUCACUUUCCUUCCUUCAUUUUCCAUGAUUCUAUGGUCACAUAUAUUUUAUUUAUUUAGUUUUGGGCGCAACAUAUCAAUAAGUCUUUGCAUUAUUUGACAUAGAUUUUCAAGACGUUUGUUAGAGAUACAUUUUUUUAAUUAGCAUGUUUAACAUAAAUCAUUUUCAUAUUUCAUCUUUUAAUAAUUUUUCAUGAGAAAUUGAAAAUCAUUAGGAAUAUUAUCCUUCGAAAUUUGAAGUAACGAAGCUCAGAUAGAGCCAAGCCGCAAUUAUUUAUUUUUUGGCUUGUUUUAUUUAUAAAUGUCUUUCAUGGCGUUAUUGGUUGCUUUGACUUGUUGACUAAAUCGGUGCACUGUACGAAGUCUUCGAGAGGAUGGCUUGUCCACAUUUAUUUUAUCUCAUUCAUAACACUAGUAUCCAAAUCAUUGGACUCAAUUAACACCGAUUUAUAAACGCAAACCACUCCAUCCACAUACGUUAGAUUAGUUCCAUUCACAGGAUGGCUAGCAAGACACUCUAGCAAUGAGUAAGAGACACCAUGAUCAAAUUUGAACAAAAUAUUGUUUCAAGAAUAGCGUUCAAAAUACACGUAAUGCACUCAUGACGGUUUAUAGGAACUUAACUCUGCACAACAAUCCUUUCUAUCACAUGGCAAUCGGAUAUAAUAACUAUGGUCAUAUUCGAUGCACUACUUUGUUCAACUUAGUGACACCUUAUGAAAACGCUAUGGAAAUGUACAUCCUAUGCUUUCAAGCCAUUGCCUCAAACAAUUGAAAUACACGUGCAUGAUUACUUUUUAGUAAAUUGGAAGAUCACCAUAUUACAGAAUCCCCAAAAGAUGCCAAAAUGCCAUUCAUCAAAAUCACACUUUUACCUGUUUAUCAAUCACACAUGUUGCGCGCAACUUUAAUAAAUCCAAAAGGUUUUAGGCAUGUGAAAAUCGAUGUUAUCGAACAAUUAGCUUUUGGACUUAUUGCUUUGAGAGCUAAAGGUAGGCCAUCUGCUGUAGAAACAAUGCCUUAUGAAAGAAUGUAGUAAUUGAUCAAAGGAGAGUAGUCAUUGAAUGUGUUAGAGAUAGUUAGAUAUCUUCUAGAGAUAUUUAGGAAAUUCCCUUUGAUUUUCUAUAUCUACUUUGAUUAUGUAUUUGUGAUUUAAUUUCCUUGGAUAGUCAUCUAUUGAAGCCUAUAAAUAGGCUCUCCAUGUAUUCUUUUCUAUAUAUCCUAGCAUACACAAAUUCUCAUUUUCUCUCUUCCAAUUUUUAACAUUUAACUCGGUAUUAGAGCUGAUGCACCGAUGCUCCCUAAGCACUCUAAUGCACAUCGCACACCGCCACUCAACAAUCAACGGCAUCCCCAUUGUGUGCACAAGUCUAAUCUAGGGAAGCACUAAAUUGAAUCCAUUCCUUGAUGGCCAUGUUUGGACGUCAACCGUACUGGCCGCGUUGCCCAAUGGAGCCUUUAUCACAAAAGUGGCUUUUCUUUCGAUGGCAGCUGCAUAAGCCACAUCACUCGGUGGCAAUUUUCCAAGCUAGUCAUAUGCCGCAUCAUUUAAUUACUAUUUCGCAAGCUAGCCGCAUCGACCGCUUGCUAUGUCCCAGUCAAUUCUCGAACUUUCGCUCGUUGUUUCCACAAGUCAACACCACUAUCAAACCCGCCGUCCUCAAACUAGCUAGAUUUGAAAGUUAUUUCAAACUCAAGCCUUAUUCGCCGUGAGUUUGAUGGAGGAUGUUAAAGAUAGUUAAAUAUCUUCUAGAAACAUUUUGAUAUCUCCUCCGAUUCUCUAUAUCUAUUUUCAUUAUGCAUAUAUAAUUUGUUUUCCUUUAAUUUCUCUAGAUAGUCAUAUAUUAAGGUCUAUAAAUAGGCUCUCUAUGUACUAUUUUAUAUAUAUAUAUAUAUAUAUAUAUAUAUAUAUAUAUAUAUAUGUAAUACAUACAAAUUCCCAAUUUUCUCUAUUCCCUUUUUCAACAUUUAACUGAAAGCAUGCCUACACAAAGGUUUAAGUGCUUCUUCAUUGCUCAACCCACAAAUUCAUAAUUUUGAAUUUUUACUUAAGCCGCCUCGAAUUGGAAUGCUAUUGUCCCCAAUGGCAACAACUAGUGGCAACAAGUAUGCUGGUACCAAGAUACAAAGAAUUCACUCUGAUUAGUUUUUGGAUAUGGUUGUCCUCAUCGACAUCAUCUAAUACAAUUAGUAUCUAUUAAUGUUUAUCAAUGUCACCACUCUAGAAUAUCAAAUAGCAGAUAAUAAUUUUUCUUGCAACUGGACUAAUAAGCCCUUAGUUACCCGGGUUUCCCUCAUGUCAUCAAAGCCGUAGUUUUUCCCAAAGCGAGGACGUAGUUCUCUAUCCGAGUGGGACAGAAGAAAUGCAAUGGUGGCCUGUCCAUGACGGUGAUGCCAUCACAUCAUGGUGUUGCUUUGAGCGAGGAAAGAAAGAGAGACCGUGCUGGCCUUGACCAUUAGAGACGACUUUGCUCAGCUGAAGAAAGGUAAAAGAGAGAUUGACGGUGGCCACGGCUGAUAUGAGACAAAGGGCGAAGGAAAACGACGAAGAAAGUUGCAAUAAUGGGGUCUUUUAAUGAUGGCUCCUCAAUUGUUUCCUUUCUUCUUCUUUAUUUGCUUCUAGGGGAAAGCAAAACGACGAAGAAAGUUGCAAUGAUGGUGUCUUUUAAUGAUGGUGUCUUUUAAUGAUGGGCCCUCAUUGUUUCCUUUCUUUUUCUUUAUUUGCUUGUAGUGAAUUUUCUUCAUUUUUCUAUUUAAAUAUGAAGAGGAAAGAGCCCUUAAUGAGAGCUUUGAGAACUGCACAGAGGAGAUUGAAAAUUUCCUCUUAAAAGUUUUGAUUCAAAAAAGGUUUUUUUUCGUGAAAUUACACAAAAGGAAGCCAGUCAAAUCUUCAGGUCAUUCUUUUCUUUUAUGAGAUUAAGAGAUUAUUUCGAAAAAAAUUAUGAGAGUUAAACACAGAGUGAUUAAUCAUAUUUGAAGGAUGCCAAGAAUAAAACUUCUCAUAGAUUCUGCCGUUCAUACAACAGUUUGGGUUUUCAUAAGUCGAGUGCUUCAACUUAGAAAGAAUGUUUCGCCUCAAGUAUAUCGUUCUAGGAAAGACGAGGGAAUCCAAUCAGUCAUUGUUAACCUUUACAUGAGGAUAUUGUCUCAUUCUAGCUGUUUGACAUGGUACAUGAGAAAGGAAAUAAUUAAGUCAUAACUCUGGUUCUAAAAAAUACUUAUCAUCAGAAUUAAAAGUCUUUAUGCUAGAUAAGUUUUAUCAAUUUUUGAAAUCAAUUUGGGAGAUUUUCUCAACAAUCUCCAUUUUGUUUAUAAUGACAAAACUUUCCAAGCAGAACUUAAGAAAAGAUUUUAAAAAGAUUUAGUAAUCAAAUAGCUAUAUUGAAAGCAAUGUUUUAGAUAAGGCACAAUGCAAAUUCUAUAAGAACUUUGCUGAUUUUGUAAAGAUAAGUACAAACUUCUUACAAAAUAUUGAGCUAAUUAGAGUGAAUAAGAUUUGUAAAGAAAUUCCUUGAUUUGUGAAGAAAUUCCUUACUUUGAUUAGAAUAGAUUUCAGAAAACUUCCUUUUUUUAUAUAGCUCCUCAUAGCAAGAUCACAAAAGAUCUUCAUCUACAUAUGGUGUUUUGCUUUUCUUGCAUUUUCUCUUUCUUUUUGUCAACAUCACAAAAGAGACAAUAAUAUUGGAAGGAGUAUCACAUAGAGAAUAUGCUAUUCAGCUCAUCUUCACACACAAUCUUUCAAAACAUAUUUAGCAUGAAACGAAAUUUUCAUAAACAUCUUAUAGAUGCUAGUGUGAACAUAAAAUAAUUGCAAUAUAGCUCAUGUUAUUAUAGAAUCAAAUACCAUAUACAUCAAUAAAUAUAUAUCAAUGAUAACAUAUGCAAUAUAUAAAUUUCAUAUACAUUUUUUAUCAUAAUAAAACGAUAAUGGAAAUAUGAGAUUUAUAAUGACAAAAGGUAAGUGAAGUAAGAAAUAUACUAACCAGAUCAUGUAGAAUUUAGCAAGUUCUAAUAGACAUUAUAUUUUCUUCCAUAAUCAAUAGGAGGCAAAAAUUAAAUCGACUUAAUUAGGAUUUUCUCACACUUAAUUUACACUCCCUUUCAAUUUAAUGCAACUAUGAGAUGAUCGCGGUUCUUCUCCUUUACUGUGCAUCCACUUUCUCAUUCUUUAAUAAAUUUAACAAAUUUUGCACCUAGAGGAGAAUUUUCGCUCCUUCGAAAAUGGUUUGGAAUCUUCGCAAUUUUUCGGAUCAAAUUUUCAAAAUUUUAGAUGAAAAGAUUAUUUGCCACCUGCAAUUUCUUGUAAAAGAGAUAGCAAUAUUUGCAAAAUAUAGAGUAUAUCACGUACUUUCCAUCCUUGAAUUCGCGGAUUAAUUUUGCCAGUUAGAAGAUAUGCUUCUAACAUAUAAAACCACGCAUUAAUUUCUUUCAAGAUUAAAAAGAUUCUAAUGUUUAAAAGAAAAUCUGAUUUUCAAAUGUUUAAAUCAUUUAUAAUUAUUCUAUAGCCAUGGUUAAACAUAUUUAUAUAGAUACAAAUGGAAUUUAUCUAUAUAUAUGCAUAAUAAGAAAAUAGUCCUAUAGAAAAGUUUAAGUUUAAGUGCAUUUCAAGUGAAAAGUUCGUUGUUCGUCAAAUUUCGACUGUUUUUUUGGAUUGGACAUUUUAGCAAUAAUAACAUUACAUUCAUUAAUGGGAAGAGCUUUUAUUACAUUCUUAAUGUGAAAAGCUUCUCCACCAUAUCAUCCUCCCUUAGAAAUUUACAAAAGAAGAGCAAGCCCAUUACAUUAAGAAAAAGGAGAAAAGGCUGUUUAUUGUAAGAUAUGACCACAAAAUUCUUGAUUUGAACACCCGAAGUCCGAUGCCACUUUCGUUAAUGAGAGACGACGUUUGUAUCGCGUGACUCACGACUUAAUUGAAAGUGACAGACAGGCAACUUCCCAGAAGCUGCAGCUUUUAAUUAAUAGUGAAUGAAGGUAACUUCCCAGAAGUUGCAGCUUUUAAUUAAUAGUGAAUGAAGUUGAUGGCUUCAGAAAAAACCAGGUGAAGGACAAUUAUGGAGAUGUACCACUUUUUUUGGUCGGUCGAGAUGUACAAUUAUGGAGAUGUACCAUUUUACACGCCCACUAUCUUUUUCGCCUUUCUUCUCGGCGCCUUUGAACUUUUGAAUUAAAAAAAAAAAAAACUCGAAUUUUCAAACGUUUAAGUCAUUUAUAAUUAUUCUAUAGCUAUAUAUAUAGAUAAAAUCACAAUCUAUAUAAAUGUAUAAUACAAAAAAAUAUCUUAAAGGAUCUCUCUCGUUAUGACAUAUGAGACUUUNNNNNNNNNNNNNNNNNNNNNNNNNNNNNNNNNNNNNNNNNNNNNNNNNNNNNNNNNNNNNNNNNNNNNNNNNNNNNNNNNNNNNNNNNNNNNNNNNNNNNNNNNNNNNNNNNNNNNNNNNNNNNNNNNNNNNNNNNNNNNNNNNNNNNNNNNNNNNNNNNNNNNNNNNNNNNNNNNNNNNNNNNNNNNNNNNNNNNNNNNNNNNNNNNNNNNNNNNNNNNNNNNNNNNNNNNNNNNNNNNNNNNNNNNNNNNNNNNNNNNNNNNNNNNNNNNNNNNNNNNNNNNNNNNNNNNNNNNNNNNNNNNNNNNNNNNNNNNNNNNNNNNNNNNNNNNNNNNNNNNNNNNNNNNNNNNNNNNNNNNNNNNNNNNNNNNNNNNNNNNNNNNNNNNNNNNNNNNNNNNNNNNNNNNNNNNNNNNNNNNNNNNNNNNNNNNNNNNNNNNNNNNNNNNNNNNNNNNNNNNNNNNNNNNNNNNNNNNNNNNNNNNNNNNNNNNNNNNNNNNNNNNNNNNNNNNNNNNNNNNNNNNNNNNNNNNNNNNNNNNNNNNNNNNNNNNNNNNNNNNNNNNNNNNNNNNNNNNNNNNNNNNNNNNNNNNNNNNNNNNNNNNNNNNNNNNNNNNNNNNNNNNNNNNNNNNNNNNNNNNNNNNNNNNNNNNNNNNNNNNNNNNNNNNNNNNNNNNNNNNNNNNNNNNNNNNNNNNNNNNNNNNNNNNNNNNNNNNNNNNNNNNNNNNNNNNNNNNNNNNNNNNNNNNNNNNNNNNNNNNNNNNNNNNNNNNNNNNNNNNNNNNNNNNNNNNNNNNNNNNNNNNNNNNNNNNNUUAUGAAGGUUAAAUAUAGAGUUAUUAGUGUAUUUGAGGGAUAAAAAACACAAAUUAUAUUUGAGUAACUCAAGUAUUAUUAUAAUCUCCAUUGCAUGUAAUUUCAUGGUUUUCAUUUCGUCGUGGACGUAGGUCACGUAACCGAACCACAUAUAUUUAGUGUUUGAUUUAUUUCCUUAUUUUGCAUUUUUAUUCAAGCACUUGUUUUAUUUCCAACAAUAAAUAUGGUUUGAAGAAAAGUGAAACCAAAUUAAACCAUAUUAUAGUCAAGAUCAAACCAAGCCAAACCAUUUUAUGUGGCUUGAUUCGGCUUAAUGGUUCUUUCUGCUUUUAUUUUACCUCUUCAUCAUAUGUAACCAAUUUUAUUUUACCUCUAAUGCUAUGAAUUAGAGCCAAACUAAUCCACAUUAUGCGAAAAUCAACGGUAGAUGAAUAAAUCUAUACGAAUAACCAAUUUUUUUCUCUACCGCUUUUUUUAGGGUGCAGUUUAGCUAACCGUCCUCUGUCAAAUGAUGGAGUGACAGUCAACUAAUAACCACACAAUUCGCAUGGAUUCCAUCUUUUACCCUUUUUUUUUAAUUUUAUGUUUUCUUAUUGCAAGCUUAAAUUGAGAGAUAAAAUCAUAAGAGGGCCCAUGCAAUCAAUUUUCAUGAAUAUUAUGAAAGAAAAAAUAAAUUAGAUAUCGAAAUAUAAAUAAUUAGAAGUAAAAAACAUUGUCAUCCACUAAAAAGAAAUCUUUCAUUUGAAUAACAUAUAUCGAACAAUAAUUUUUCUUGUGACAUGACUAGACCCUUGGUUUUUAGCAUUUCCCUUGUGUCAACAAGAAAGUUGCAGUUUUUCCCAAAGCGAGGACAUAGCUAGUUGAAGAUAACCUUGGCGAGUGUUGUUUUGCCGAUGCUACCCAACCCACAGAUUCCAAUGAACCGCAUACCGUCAAAAGCGAUGUUUGAUAAAUUGUCUAUCGUUGCUAUUUGAUCCUCCAUUCCAACUAAAUCUUUGGUCACUUGCCAUUGUCUUGUCUUCACCUUGACCACAAUCUCAUUAACAACCGACAUGAUAAGAUUCCCAUAGCUGCCACAAUGACAAACAAUAUUAAUUGAGAAAAGGUGACAAAUUUCCAUGUUGACAAACAAUUUACAUAUAUCAGAUCUUGAAUCAGCCUCAAUUCAUUUUGAAUGCGCAGCACUUAUAUUUCUAUUAGAUUGCACAUUUCAAAAACGAUAAUGACAAUACAUUCGUUAAUGGGAAGAGCUUUUGUUACAUUCUUAAUGCGAAAAGCUUCUCCACGAUAAUCCUUCUUGAAAAAUUUACAAAAGAAGAACCAAUGCAUAACAUUAGAAAAGGAGAAAAGGAUGUUUAUUAUGAUAAAUAAAUAAUGAAAUUCUUGAUUUGAAAGCCCGAAGUCCGGUGCCACUUUCUUUAGUGAGAGACAUCAUUUUGGACAUUUGUACCGUGGGACUCACGUAAUUCAAUUGAUUGAAACUGACGCCCCCCACAACUUCACAACAGUUGCAGCUUUCAAUUUAUGGUCAAUAAAGUGGAAGGCUUCAGAGAAAAUGAGAUGAAGGACAAUUAUGGAGGUCUACCUUUUCACAAGCCCAAUUUCUUUGGAGUUUCUUCUUAGUGCAUUUGAACUUUUGAAUUUAUGACCAUUUUUUAAUUUAAAAAAUCUGAUUUUCAAACGUUUAAAUCAUUUAUAAUUAGUUUAUAGCUAUAUCUAUGGUUAAACAUAUUUAUAUAGAUAAAAACGGAAUUUAUCCAUAUAAAUGCAUAAUAAAAAAUAUUCCUAAAGAAAAGUUUAAGUUAAAUGCAUUUAUUUCAAGUGAGUGAUUCAUUGUUAGUCAAAUUUCCGCUGUUUUUUUUUGUGUGGACAUUUUAACAAUAAUAACAUUACAUUUCAUUAAUGAAAAAGAGCUUCUCCACCAUAUCAUCGUCCAGAAAUUUACAAAAGAAGAGCAAGCACAUUACAUUNNNNNNNNNNNNNNNNNNNNNNNNNNNNNNNNNNNNNNNNNNNNNNNNNNNNNNNNNNNNNNNNNNNNNNNNNNNNNNNNNNNNNNNNNNNNNNNNNNNNAAGUCCGAUGCCACUGCCGGUAGUGAUAGACAUCAUUUUGGAUUUUUGUAUUGCGUGACCCAUGAGAUUUAAUUGAAAGUUACGGACAGGCAACUUGACAGUAGCCGUAGCUUUCAUAAAAAAUCAGAUGGAGGACAAUUAUGGAGAUGUACCAGUAUUUUGGUCGGUUGAAUACAAUUAUGGAGAUGUACCAUUUCACACGCCCUUUCGCCUUUCUUCUUGGUGCCUUUGAACUUUUGAAUUAAAAAAAAAAAAUCUGAUUUUGGGCGUGGAAAGAAAGAGAGGCCGUGCUGGUCUUGACCAUAAGAGGACGACUUUGCUUGGCCGAAGAAAGGGAAAAAGACAGACUGAUAAUGGCCACAGCUGACAUCGGACAGUACAGAAGGGAAACGAAAACGACGAAGAAAGUUGCAGUAAUGGUGUCUUUUAACGAUGGCCAGUCAUUGUUUCCUUUCUUCUUCUUUAUUUUCUUCUAGUGAAUUUUCUCUUUAAAUUCGAAGAGGAAGGGCUCUUAAUGAGAGAGCUCCGAGGACUGCACUGAGGAGAUUGAAAAUUUCCUCUUAAGGGUUUGAUUCAAAAAAGUUUUCUUCGUGAAGUUAGUCAAAAUUAAAGCUGAUUAAAUCUUGUGUUAAUAUGCAAAUUGAGAUAUUAUUUCGAAAUAAAUUAUGAGGGUAAAAAAAAUAGAGUUAUUAGUUGUACUUAAGAGAUAAAAACACCAAGGGUAUCUGAAUGACUUGAAUAAAAUUAUAAUCUUCGUUGCAUUGUAAUUUUAUCUAUAAUGGAAUUGUGUGCUCCUUUCCUCGUGAACGUAGAUCACACAACUAAAUCACGUAAAUUUGAUAUCCGUUCUAUUUUCUUAUUUUGUAUAUUUUUAUUCACUCGCUUGUUUUAUUUUCAAUAAUAAAUACGGUUUGAAGAAAAGAGGAACCAAGCUAGACUGUAUUAUAGUUAAAGAUCAAACCAAGCCAGACCAUUUUUUUUUUGGGGGUUUGAUUUGGCUUAAUCGUUCUUUCUUCUUUAGUUUUCCUCUUCAUCUUUUGUAAUUUUAUGAGAAAAAAACCAAAUUCCAUGUCACGAAACUUCCAAAGCGAGAUCCCCGAGGAAGUUGCUGGAUCACCAAGCAAGCACAAAUGGCCCCUCUCGCGAGGUGAUGCUUGCUCUUGGCACGAUCAAUCUCAACUUGUUUCAAUUAAUUAUUUCACUUGAUUGAGAGUCACCACUAACUUUUUAUGAACCAAUUAGGAGUCAAGUAAAAUGCGGGAGUCCGUCUUACUUCUGCAAACAUGAGAUUUGUGAGUCUAGAAACUUGAUUAGGCAAGAUAUAUCUCAAGCCCAAUAUUGCAUACUUUCUCUUUCUAUUAAAACAAUUAUUCAUGUGCUCUUCCCAAUCUUAGUUACCCAUUUUAUUCUCAAUGUUGAGAAAGGCAGGCGAUCAUGCAUAAAUUCACUCAAGCAAACACGUAUAAAAUCCACUAAUACUGAGACAAAUAGAGCAAAUAAAAGGUAGGAAAAUAAAGGACCCAACCCGUAUCAGGAAAAAAAAAUCAAUAAAAGCCUUGUUAUAAGUUCCGGGACAUGCCCCUUGAGCUAUUAACAGAAACACUGUAAAAUCUCCAAAAUAAACUAUGGCUUUAAACAGAAAGUAAAUAACUGAUACUUCAUGAAUNNNNNNNNNNNNNNNNNNNNNNNNNNNNNNNNNNNNNNNNNNNNNNNNNNNNNNNNNNNNNNNNNNNNNNNNNNNNNNNNNNNNNNNNNNNNNNNNNNNNUAAGAAAACAAAAUAUAUUUAUGAUUAUGCAUGAUUCCUAAAUUAUUCCUCCUAGAUGUAUAUUUUUAAAAUAAAAUCUAUCUGUUUUUUUUGCUUUUUCACAUCAACCCCCUCCCUAUAUAUAUUGUAGUGAAAACGAAAUUAAACUAAAAAAUAACUAAGUGCUGAGAUAAAUUUGAACUAGAAACUAGAUACCAAAAUAAUAUGUUAUAUAAACCCAGAUUUUCGUGAAAAUUUGCACUAUGUUGCGUUGGAAUUUCAACCUAAACUUCUUGUGGGAACGAGUUAAUAAACACCAGAAAAUAAAGAGAACUAAAGCGAUAAUGCUAUGAAUUAAAGCAAAACCAUUCCACAAUAUGCGAAAUCAAGGGUGGAUGAGUACAUCUAUACUAAUUGCCAAAAUUAAAUAUUUAUUAAAAAUAAAAAUAUUUUUCUACGCUGUUACAGGUCUGAAGUGUUCAAAUUGAAUCGCAUCAUGUAGAUUAUUUAUAUUUCCAUGUUUAUGUUUGCUGAGACACGAGGAACAAUCAACAUGAACUAACACAAAAAUCCACGCAGGUUCUUGAUUUUAUUUCCUUUCUUCUUUCGUCUUUCUUUUCAGACCUGCAGCAUAAUUCCUUUUCACUUGUGCUGGUCGGAUAAGUCUGUCGCAUAUUUCCCUCUUGGUCGAGCCCAUGAAAGGGAGCCAGGGUCGUGCGGGCUUGGACUCGGAAGUUCAGAUGAAUUCAUGGCACAUUUUGCGUGUUGGGGCACAUUUUGCGUGUUGGGAUCCACUCAAAUUCAAUUCUCAAAGCGGACUAAUUUAAAUGAAAUUCGUAGUCAGGUUUCGCGUUUUCUUUGGUGCGAAUGCAUUAUUCCUAACAAAGUGUUGGUACUAUCUAAAUACCGUAAAUGAGGAUGCAAAAAGUGUGCAAUCUCAAAAAAUUUAGGUAUUAGCAUUUCGCGUUGACAACAAUUCAUAAAUUCACACAAAGUGAAAAUCAAACCUAUUUAAAUAGCUAUUUCAUGUAUAAAUGGUAAAAAUAAUUAGCAAUAUCAAUCAUUUAUACAAUGCGGUGUUGUGGUUUUGGUUUGGUUUCAAAAAAGUUGAAACCAAGCCAAACCACAAAAAACGAUUUGUUUCAUGGAUGGCAUGGAUAUUGUUAAGAGGGACCCUCGAGCUUGAAGGGAAGGUGUUUUGGGGGUGCAUGAUAACCAAAAUUUCUGUUCUAGAAAUAAUUUUUCUAUUCCAUACCUGUUUCUGGAAUAGAAACCUGAUUGAUAAACCCAUUCAGUUUUUCUAUUUCUGGAAUAGAUUUCUAUGAGAAAUCAGAAAUAAUUUCUCCCACUAAACCCUAAUUUCGGUGAGUCUUCCCUCAUCUCCUCUACGUCUCUGCCUCCUCCUCCUCCUCAGCUUCUCCUCAUUUUAUUAAAAAUAAAAAUAAAUAAAAAUAAAUAUAUUCAUUUUAUUCAUUUAAAAAUAAAAAUAAAUUUAUUAAAAUAAAAUUAUUAAAAAUAAAUAAAUUAUUUUUAUUUAUCAUUUUAUUUUUAGUUUAUUAAAAAUAAAUUUAUUAAAUUUAUUAAAAAUAAUUUAUUUAUGAUAAACAAAAAUAAAUUAUUUUUAUUAAAAAUAAAUUUAAAUAAUUUAUUUUUAUUUGCCUUGAGUGUUUUGCCAAAUAAAUUUAUUUUUAUUCUUAAUUCUUAUUCAUUUUAAAAUAAAUUUAUUCGUAAAAAAAUAAAAUAGAAUAAAUAAAAUAAAUUUAUUUAAGGAUAUUUUUAUUUUAAAAAUAAAAUGAUAUUUUUAUUUUAUUUUUUAUGAUUUAUUUUAUUUUAUUUUAUUCUUUAUUUUUUGUUACUAAAUCAAUUUUUAUUUUUAUUUUUUAUAUUAAAGGUCAUCGGUCGUCGCCGCCACCGUCCGAAAGGAAAAAAAUUUGUGUCGUUAUUGAACGAAUUUCUAUUUUUAGAAUAGAAAUUUUGUAUCGUUAUCAAACGGUUAUUUUUGCUUAAAAACUCUUCUAGAAAUAGAAAUAGAAAAAUCUAUUUCUGUUCCAGAAACUAUUUCUAGAGCAUAAUGGUUGUCAUGCGCGCCCUUGGUUGCCAGCAACAUCGUGGAGCUUGGAUUAAGGCAAAGCUGCCUCCAUCAAGAUGGAUAGGGUAAGCAACGCUAUCAACCCGUAGAUCCAAAUGCCAUGAGAAUCGAUCAAGGCAAACUGGUUCGAGACUAAGGCCCCCCAAUUGUGAACUGAAGCCUCAUGGAUAUCAUGAUUUUCUAGAAAACUUUCAAAAAAGAUUAGACUUUCAAGCAGAUUUUUACACAUUAUUGCAUACUUUCAAGCACAAACGGACAUGGCACAUGUAGUCAUGCCAGAGCAUAAAAUGACAAAGGAAUUUCCCUGACGACGUCUCCAAAAAUAUCAAAAGUCGCAUAAGUAAUGUUAGGAAUUAUUUGAGAAUUGAAUUUAGAGGACGAAAUUGGAAAAUGUGGUACUGAAAGAGCGUUGUGGGAAGUCUAACCCCUCCGCACACAUAAAUGAAUCCUUCGACAACAAGUUUCAUUGGCUUUCGCAAAUGAUCAAUAUUAAACGUGGACCUAGUUUCCAAUCAGCCUAAUUUUUUAAAUCGAUUGGCAGUUACUCCAUCUCAUACUUUAUAGAAAACUUUGGAGUUGGCCCAAAACUUCCAAAACUCCUUUUCCAACGACAUAUUUGCUCCUUGCCGAGUAAAACCUUUGAUCUCAAGACCGUUGGGCAAGGCGCGACAUGACCUAUAUGAAGACUCCAACGUAUUUGUUGGAGGGUUGGCCGAGAAAGUGAUUUUUGAAGGCUUUAUUGCAUCAAAGUGAUUGUUGAAAGUUGGCCGAGAAGAUCAAAACGCGAUCAAAGCUUUUUUUUUUUUUUUUUACGUAUAUAUAUAUAUAUAUAUAUAUAUAUAUAUAUAUAUAUAUAUAUAUAUAUAUAAAAAUAUAAAAAUAAAAAUAAAAAUGUAUGUAUGUUUUUCUACUCUUAUUUCUCUAAGAGAAUGUUUAUGUCAUUAUUGUAAAGAGUCACACACUCACUCACCCCCCCCCCCAGGUACUCGGCGAGGGAGCGUUCGUACACAUAUAAAAAAGGAAAUUCCGUUCAUAAUUAGAGGAUUCAGUCUUGUUCUUAGAUAGGAAAAUCAUUCAAAAAGUCAUAAACCUAUUGUGUGGCAGUCAAUUUAGUCUUAAACUUUUCAAUUUGACAAAUUUAGUCUUCAACUCUUUAACGAUUUUCUAAUGUAAAUCAUCUGGUCAAUUUUGGUCGGAAAUCGUUAAUACGACAGUCCAAUAAGCACUAGCCAUUCUAUGUGUAAUGGCCAGGCUAUUGACGAUUGAUGCAAACUAUUUUUAAUUUUUUUUUAAUAUUUUUCUUCUUUUUCUUUUCCUUCAUCCAAAUAGAAUUGAAGUAUGAGGCGCUUGCCUUGUGAAUCCACCUAUAAAUUGAUUUGUGGUCUCUUCUUUCUAUCGCUCGUUACAUUUCUGAUGAUGGAAGAUAUUUUCUAUACGUAGCAUAUUUUGUCUACAAAUAUUGUUUCAUCCUCUACACAUUGUUUUGCAAGAAAAAAUUGUCAAAAAUCCUACAAUAACCUAUUCAUUCUCUCUUGAUUGUUUAAUUAAGUCCAUUUCACACAUAAGCAUUUUAUUUGUAUAAAUAUUAAGUGAAAUGGCACCAAUUGUCCGUUUAUUCUUGCCGAAAAUUCAAGAACGUCCUUGUAUCUUCUUUUUUUUUGUCCAAAAUCAUCCCUAUACUCUUUAAAAGGGUCAUUGCUCGUCCUCCUAUUAUGUCACUACUUUUUUCAGUUGAUUUACACUAAUAUGGAUAAUCGGAACAUUGAGUAGAAGCCAUAUGGCAGCAAUGGCCGCUCAAGCAUUAAGCUCACAACCAUGGUCAUUUGAGCUCGAAGCUUGCCACCACCAUGGUUGCUUGAGCUCGAGCUCAAAGCUAGUGGCCAUGGUCAUUUGAGCUCGAACCUUGUGACGACUAUUGCCAAAUCUGGAUUCGAAGUUCACAGCAGUCAUAGCUACUUGAGCUUGAAGCUUGCGGCUGCUAUGAUCAAAUAUGGCAUCGAAGGUUGUGGCUGUCAUGGCCAAAUUUGGCCACCAUGGCCGCUCGAGCUCCAAACUCAUGGCCAUGUUCGUUUGAGAUCAAAGCUUGCAAUUUGCUGCUAGAUCUACUUCAAAGCUCAUAACCACCAUGAUCACCUGAGCUCGAGCUUGAGACUUGCGGCCAUCAUGGUUUUUCGAGCUAGUGGCCAAGGUGGAGCUUGAGUGGCCAUGAGUGUAAGAUCUUAAAGGUCGUAGAUCUUGAGCUUGCGAUCGCCAUGGCUGCUCAAGCAUUUGAGCUGUGGGCAUUAUAAGCAAUAAAGUAAUUCUUUUAUGUGGAAAUACAAAAUAUGAGAUCUUUGAUCUUUAUAAUUUUCACGAUAAGAAGGAUGGAGAGAUACCUUUAUUCAUAGUAAUACACUUGAAAGUAUUUAUCGCGGAAAAACCGAAGAGAAGAAGAAAUUUGAUUUCUCUCCAUUAACCCAUGCUUUUCUUUAACGUAUUCUAUUUGAUAGAGGAUAGAGUACAAUGUUAUUUUUUAUGUUGUAGGUGAAAAGAGGAUCAGACUCUUAUUUAUAUAUGCUAUCAUAGGUGCCUUCUAUCAAAGCGUCUUUUCACUUCUACGAGAGUCACACCUCUGUUGAAGAAUAGUAACUUCUCAAUGAGGAUUGUACCAUUUUAUUAGCGUCGUAAUUUCUCAUAACCAAUACAUUUUAGCAUUAAAUAUUUAUUAAACCAUUAAUCAAUAAUAUCAUGCGGGCCACAAUAAUUCUUACAUUCUCCUGCUUGACCCAUAUGACCUUCUUUUCAUGGUUUAAUAAAGAUCAUAAGGUGCACAAUAACAUUAUGCUAAAACCUUUCAUAAGUUGGCUAUCGUAUAUAAUCACAAUUAAGUAAAAAAAAAAAACUAAGGCGAGUCAUGGCAGUUGUAUGUCAUUGAUCGAGAUAGUUCCUUUGGUGUACAACAACAUAGCUCUUUACUUAAUAUAAUCAUAAAUGAUAAGUACCGUAAUGGUCCAACCAUAAUGUCUCUAUUAGAGACUAACCUAUUUAACAUUCGUCUAUUUUCAUAAAGUAUACUAAAUAGAAACAAGAAAUAUCAAAGAUGCAUGAUUGAGCUUAGAGUGUCAAAUACAUAAACUUAAUGCAAUCAUAAUACAAUAAUUAAUGAUGUCCAAUAAUGUCCAUCCUUUCAAUAUGCUCAUUAUAUGUUUUGGGUGACAAUCCUUUUGUUAAAGAUUCUAUGUCGCGACCUGAUCUCACCGCCCAUCCCUCAUGAGGAGAGGAAGGGGAAAUGUCAGAUUUAUGUGUACGUGAUCACAAAAGUUCCCCCACAGUUCUCAACCACAGGGAUGUCAUCACCUUACCAUCCAAAUGAACCUCAUGUGAGUUCAGUUAAUCGUAAUCGUGAGUUCUCCCAAACUUGUACCCCACAUGAUAGCAGACUGCCGCAACCCUACCUCAACACCACGGUAUGUCUUGACCAACGGUUUUAAGGUCAAAAGGAAUCCGGAUGUGAAUGUGAGUUUAGGGGUGCCUUUACCACGAUAACCCUCUUGAUAGGACAUUUUGCCCAUAAGGAUGACAUCACUUUAUUCUUUAAGGGUACAACCAAUAUUGAAUAUGUUAAAUCGCGGUGAGUCUUAUCAAGACCCAUACCCCAUGCGACAGGUUCAUUUAUAACAUCUAGUUAUUUAAGACAACCUAAAAAUAAGACGAAAGUUGCCACUAGCCUUAUUUUUAGGGGGUCGGCCAGAAAACCCAAUUGAGUGUUGGAAGUGUUUCCUCGUUUUCUAUGCAAUCAAAUAUCUAGGCUCGAGGACAUGGGUUACGCUAAUAAUACUAUCAGCGCCCUUUCAGUACCUAACAGUACGUUAUGUUUACCUAAGGUGUCCAUGCAUUUCUUCUUUAAUUUUUUUGGAUCGUUUAUCCUAACUAGGCGAUCAUGUGUGGUUGGUCAUUUACAUGCUAUUCCAUUUCUAGAAAAUGUGAAAAGAAAGCAAUCAACUAAAUUGAAAUUGUGAAACGUUAUAUAAACAACCAAUGAAAGAAGUAAAUCUAUCAUGCAAUCCUAAGGAAGAUAAAAAGAGAAACGGAAUUAAAGGACAAGAGAGAGAAGAACCUGCAACUUGUUGGGCUUUAAUACAGAUAAUAAAAAACCCUAGACAUAUGUUGGGAAUGGAUGGUAUAGAAUAAUGGUUAGAAUGGACAUCGACCUCCACCGUUGUCGUGUCCUUUCCAUCUUCAAUAUCCUAAUUUAGAAAAUUAGAAGUAGGUACCUACAAUAGAAAGAAACAAGCAUACACGUCAAAACAACCAAAAGCAAAAUAUUAUGCCAAAGUUAAUCAAUCAAAUGAAGUUCAAUUCACAAGUCAUAUUUGGGCCUCGGGAUCGGUUUUUAUAGUUCAUGCAUAGAUCCCUCUAAGACACCCAUCCAACUCAUUUUAUGACUUACAAUCAUUAUUGACCAAUUGUGUUCUUGCAUGGAUAAUAACACUUAUAAACCUCCUAACAAGUGAUCUAUAUGAAUCUAGGGUUUUCCCUCGAUAUCAUGCAUCGGCCCUAACAUACAUCAAGAAACUAGACGCAUUGCACGAAUUAAACACACAUCAGGUCUUUUGACCUUAUUUCUCAACCAAUCAAACAAGAAAGUGAAUCGAUGGCGGGUCACUUAGGCAUGCGUUAAUCACGAACGCGGACAUUUCUAAUUAAUGACGUGAUUAUAUACACAAUGGUACAUGUGAUGUUUUAAAGANNNNNNNNNNNNNNNNNNNNNNNNNNNNNNNNNNNNNNNNNNNNNNNNNNNNNNNNNNNNNNNNNNNNNNNNNNNNNNNNNNNNNNNNNNNNNNNNNNNNNNNNNNNNNNNNNNNNNNNNNNNNNNNNNGGUUCGGCAUUAAAAUGUAUAUUAUAAAGCUUCACCAGACAUUUUUAAAUAUAGUUCAAAACCAUGACUUUUAUUAAUGUAAAAAUCGGGAUUCAAAGAGAUUUGAGGGAUUACCUUUGAACGAUCUUUGUGAUUUUACAUGAUCGGACGAAGCCUUGAACCCCUGGAACUUUGAUUGGGCCUCGGGGAUCAAGUUCGGACCGCCACAGAACACUAAGGAGAUCGGAUCAAAGCUAGUUGGACCACUUACAACAACAAACGUGGGAACCGAUUCCAAAAUAGGAGUGGUCUUCGAACACCGGUAAAGAUCGGACCACCGGAGGUGAUCCGACAGCCAAUUCGCCUGCCCUUGACAACGGUGAGGUCAAGGACCUCUUGGACUAACGAUCGCCGACAAUCGAGGAUGCCUGGGAGUGCUGGGAACCUCCGAUUCAAGCUGGAACAGAACUGGUCCUGCUUGGACUGGUUUUAGAGUCUCCGGAGAAACCAAAUCAUCGGAAGUGUUCCGAUGGCUGGUUUGCUGGUUCUUGACCUUGCUAUGGUCGGGAAUAGGUCUAGGGAGAGAUAGACAGGGUUUGCUCUGCCGAUCUUGGCCACCAGACCGAUGAUCAAGCCAAUGAACUAAAAAUCGACUUGGUCGCCGAUUUACUUUAACCAAAGGAUGAUCAACCAAUCCCGAUUAAUCCAACAACCAUUGGAGAUGGAGGGGCUUGCUAGAGGAUUGAGGUGAGUGAGGGAAACCACCGGGGGCUGGGUGUCGUCCAAUGAGACACCGACUUAAGGCCGUCAAGCUUGAAUUGGGGAAUCACCCAUUCGAUUUAGAGAGAGAGAAGAGAGAGAGGUAGUUGGCGCCAAGAUCCAGAGAGAAGAAAGAGAGAAAGGGAUCCGAGGAGAGAGAGUCAAUUUCAUGCAUAAUGAGCCCCCCCUAAAAAUGGACGGAAAAUGGGUAUAUAUACCCUCUCUAAAUAAAGUAAUCUUGACUGUCGAUUUGAUCCAACGGUCGAAAUUGUAAUCCAAUGGUCAAAAUUCGAUUUUGAAGGUUUCAUUACGAUCUUGAGGUGUCGAGUUAUUGAUUUAAUGGGUUUGAUUUGCGAAAACCCGAGCCAAAAUCGAGAAUUAUGUAAAAAUGUCUAAUUAGAUAUCAAAUUGCAAUUUGAUGAGAUUCAAAGGCCAAUCUACAAAACUUUCAAAAAAUUGAAGUGCAGAUGUGAAAUUGACAUUGAGAGCAACCUGGAACCAAUUACCAGAGGUCUAGAACGAGCUAGCAAGCGGCCAAACCGGCUUGCAUUGCCGGCGGUUGGUUAGUCCGGUCAGACCGGUUCACUUGAGUUUGGCUAGUUUUUGAUCGGUUUUUGAUAGGUUUGGUCCGGUUUUGGAUAUUUCGCUUGCUUGGGACCUCUGUGGACCCAAAAUUUAUGCAAUUUGGUUCCUAAAUGAUCAAAUUGAAAAGAAAAUUUACUCUAUUUGAAAGGAAGUUGCAAAAUUGCGAUCCAAUUAAGCUAAUCAAAUCUCAUGAAUACGAUUUAAGGAUCUUUUAUUGACUUAAUUUGAUGGUUAUUAUGAAAGACAACAAGUCAAAAUCAUGGAUACUUUGAAUUGAGCAUAAAGGGCUAAAACGAUCAAAUUUGCAAUUCAAUGAAUAAAAUUAAAAACCGAUUGAAAUUGAAUUCAAUUAGCGCCACAAAUGAAUCUAGGUUUAAUUCAAAAUUGGACCUAGAUUUAUGGAAUUAAAUCAUAACCUUGAAUGAANNNNNNNNNNNNNNNNNNNNNNNNNNNNNNNNNNNNNNNNNNNNNNNNNNNNNNNNNNNNNNNNNNNNNNNNNNNNNNNNNNNNNNNNNNNNNNNNNNNNACAUGCGUUGAUGAUUAACUAAUUCACUAAUCCAUUUUAACUAACAACCUAGUCCUAGCUUAGUCUAAAAUAAUCCACCCUUAACCGUCAUUAACUUACUACGCCGGGAUUAGUGAGUUAAACUCACUUGAUUAACGAUCCCCUUGAACCUCCACCGCGGCUACCGGGAGACGGGCCAAAAACUCUAAUAUGAGGGCACCAACCAGGGCUAGGACGGGCCCAAAAUUGGCCACACAAGGCCCACAGUUGCUGGACUGAUUUUGAGAGGCUGCUGGCCUCGGCUCAACGGGCUGGUUUAUGCUUGUUUCCAAGCUGGAUCGGGGGCUGACCUAACCUGCUCGGAGAAGCGUCACUAGCUUCGGUAGCUGAUGUUGGGGCUGCUCGGUUUGACUUCGUGAGAAGGAUGAUGAAGCUGAAACUUGCGUGGGCUGCAGCAGGGCUGUCUCGGUGAAAUACAUGCGGAUGUGCUGAUAGCGGGCUGGCGUGAACUCGGUGGACUAUCUAGCGCACAAAGAACCUGUUGGAGUUGACCGAAGUCGCUGGGGAGGCGUCACGGAUGAAGGGAAUCGUGGAGAUGCAACUGGAUGAAAUAGAGAGAGCAAGCUGGUGGCUUUGCAUGGCGACAGAAGCUAAGUGGCACUGAAGAACUUGAAGCACACUGACAUCAUACUUGAACCCCACGGACGACGACCUUCUAACUGGUGGAUGGCGGAACCUGGGAAAGGAGAGACGACAGCAAACGGCAGACUUAAGCUUGCGAGGAGCGAAUGAGGAUUGGGCGUGGUGUCACCGAGGAUUGAGCAACAGCGAUUUGCUUGAGAACAUCACUCUCUAAGGAUAAAUGCCCUCGAGGAAUGCCACGAGGGUUCCAUGAUCACUCCACAAAUGAAGUGCCCUGUCCAUUGCCAAUUACACGUGUUGAGUAUGUCGCUUAAGAAUGGACCUAACUUUUAGCAGCUUCCUCCAUGCUCAGAUGAGUUACUUUUAGGAGUAACAGGAACAUAUAGAAAUCUGUUUCAGCAAGCAUAACCCAGUAACCCAAAUGGACCCUGCUUUUAGCAACUUCUCUAUAUUCCUGAGAAUGCAAGCUUCAUUCCAUGUUUCCAGCUUCUUCUAGCCUAAACCACCCUCACAUUUUGGAGCGCAAACAUUAUCCUGAGAAACCUUAGGACCCUCUGCUUUCUCAACAUUUCCUUUCCACUAAGUGACAUGAUGAGGCUCUUCAACAAGCUCGACUAUGUUCUUUGGUAAAACAAAUAUUCAAUUUGAAAAGUUGACCAGGCUAUAGAUUUCAGCCUUGAUUAACUAAGUCUUCCUGCAUAGGGAGGAUGUCUCUCAGUCUGAUCCAAAGUUUUCUUCUUCUGAACUACUCGGUUAGUUCCAUAGCCUGCCAAAAACAGCUCAGUUUUCAGGGAACCGAACUCCAAAAGUAAAAGCUCUUCGAAUUCUGGAAACAAGGACAAGAUUUCUUGCCAGGACUUCUCAUCCCAUUAUAGAAAAUCAUCAGCAAAACUUCUCACUUUCUCCAGAAAAUAACUAAGGUCAUGUUAUACCUAAGUUUGUGUUAGUGUUAAAACUCACUACCUGUGCGCUUGAACGCACAAGUGAUUUCCCUUUUCAAAAAGGUGAAAAUACGACAUUGAAAUGGAGAGACCAGUUCCCCUAUGUCUUGUUUAAUUUGUUGGAAAUCCAUAAAUGGUGGAAGCUAGAUCAAUGUAAGUCACGUGCCACUAGAAUAUGUGUGUUUACAGCAUUGUCUAUUUCAUUAUCUAAUCAUUUGUUUUGAUAGGGUGUUGUUCAAAAGAUUGAAAAAGGCAGAAAUGACACUAAUGUACAACAUCAUAUUUGGAACUCUGAUUCUUUCAAUAUGAUCAUUGAACUUUUCCUAAAUAUUUAAUGUAGUCCCUAAAUUUUUAAUUUGUUCAAUAUAAUCUCUCAACUUUCCAACAAACUCAAAUCAGCCCUUUAGUACUAUUCAUAAGUUUUCAUGAUUACAUUGUUAUCCGAAUUUUGGAAUCUCAUUUCAUUUCAAUCAUUUUCCUAAAUCAACAAAAAAACAUGUUAUCUUUUUAUUACAUUUUUUUGGUCUUCACAACUAUUACGAUAGUUCACUUUAAGGAAAAGUAGAACUUCAUUUAGAGUUAAAUCAGAUUGAUAAUUCUGUUAUGUUAUGUUUAAGUAGUUUCAUUAGGACAUCUAGAAACAACAUUAGUUAAUUUAUAGAUAUUCGUAGUUAUAUUGAUCCUGAUUGUUCAGAAAGUACAAAACACAAAACGUCAAAAAUUUAUCGACCUCAAAAAGUUAGGAAUGGGAUUUAGAUUACAGAAAAUUUUAUCAACCUUAAAAACUAAGGAACGAGAUCUAGAUUGACGAAAGAAUGAAUGCGGAUAAAUAAAUUAACAUCGUGUACACGCCCUUAUUAAAGCACUUAAAACUCUUUUUAUUUUGGAGACCAUAAGCUGAAAUUAACUUAUUUCGUAAGAGUCGGAAUCUUCGGUGAGCGUUUUAGGGUUCUGAAUCGAACCCAAAUCUUCCUUUUCACUCAGACUCAUCUUUGAUGGAUCGACUGGUAAGGUCUUCCCCCAACUUCUGCAUAAUUUUCACUCUUGAUCAUCUCGCCCCUGCUUCUGUUCUUCAAUUUGAUUUUUUUUUUCCUGUUUUUAUGUUAUUUUGCGAGAAUUUUCGUUGAGAUUGCGACUGUUUAUGCUGAUUAGAUGAUGGUCUUUAACCUGAAGUUGUGGGGUUAAAUUGUUCUCGCCCACUUCUCACCCAAUCCUUGGCCACUCCAUGCCCACUCCUUGCGAGCUUCAGUCUGUCGUCUCCUUCUUUCCCGGGUUCCAUCUCACGUUCAACCGAGCUUCGAUCAUGCACUUGCCAUUUUCUUUUAUGGAGCGGCAUUGGAGGGUGGGUAUAGUAAAAGCUUCGAGUAUUAUGUUAAUGUGUGUUUACUGUCACAUGUAAGUUUCAGUAGCUCCGAGAAUGUCAUCAAAACCGAGUCGCUACUGUUUUAAGACAUUCCUCAAGACUCAUCUUACACGUGAGAAAGUAGGAAGGAAUUGCUGAUUCCGGAGGAGAAUUAGGCAUUAAAAUAAAUAAAUAAAAGAAGCACUAAAGAAGUAAAUUGAGAUGCACAACUGCCUGACCAAGCACCUUGCUACAAAGUGGCUCACUUUUCUCUCAUCUUUCAGUUCAAACCAGAAGAUAGAUGCAAAACAGAGAACACGAACAUGGGAGCGGUAACAUGGGAGUAAUCAAGAAGCAACGAGAUCUGGUGUUUAUGCUCUCAACAGAUAACAAAGCUGCGUGUACUUUGUAGCAGUAAUUUGACCUGUGGAAUCAUCAAAACUCUUGGCUGACCCAUGAAACAGAUAUUGUCCCCUCAACUUGAUCUAUUAUGCCCUCGAUAAGAUGAACCUGAGUUAAGAUUUCAAUGGUAAGACUACCAUAAAAUAAGGUAAAUGCUUGAAUAUUGGUUUUCCAUUAUGUAUGCUAGAGCAGCGAAGGUGCAAGCAAUUAUAACACCGAAGUAUUUGCCAUGAUGGCUUAUGCAAAAGAGGAAACUGUAGUCUAGAUUUUUAGCAACAGCAUACUGACGCCAUAUCCGAAGCUCUUCUAUUCUUACACCAGAAAUAGUGGCAGAGGACAAUGUACGAGCAUGAAACAUAGCAUCAACAUUAAAGGAAUAAAAAAAAAUGCUGAUUCACAUCAGCCCCCACUUGUCGUAUGAAGAUAUUUAUGGUUGAUUAAUACUAGCUAAGUCUCUUAAUAGUGUGCAUGUUCACAGCAGUCACUUGAGGCACAUUCUGUGCAACCAAUCCCUUCAACCAUAUGCAGCAGACCUCAAAUUACCAAUGGAAAAUACAACUGCUCAAGAAGAGAACCAAGAAGAGAAGCACUGUUUGCUUCAUUUUCGAUCAUUAAAGCCCCUCACAGGUAAUAAAGAGACAGUGGAUAUUCAGUAAGAUGAUCAUUAUUCAAACCUUAGAAUAUACUUAACAAACUCUUCAUGAUAAGAUGCUCAACAUCAUAUGUGCAGAAAGUUCUGUGCGCUCUACCAUAACAAUCAUAGGAAUGGCUCGAUCCUCAGAUGGUUGACUGCAAAAAUCUGCGUUGCCGUUUUCCAACAAAGCUGUAAAUUCAGUUUCCCAAAUUUUGUAACUCUCUAAUCUUUAGUCAGCUCACCAAACACCCAUAAUUCUUGUAAUACCCCAACUAACAAAUGCGCAACAUGUGGGCACAUGAUUCCAGUCAAUCCAGCAGUCCACAGAAGCAUACCAACAUAAAUAAACUAUGAAGCUAUUGCCCUAUGAAGCUAGAGCUCGAACUCAUGCUUAACUACGCAAAGAUAAAUCACACGAUCACAUUCAACUAAACACCAUCUGCCACACCGCCUGUACCUGUUCUUCAGCGAUUAGCUGGUAAUCCGGAGCUUGAGUUGAGGUCCAUGCCUCCCGCCACCGAUGGAGUUAAUGAACGCAACCAUCGGAGCCUCAUAAAACUUCAUGCUCCAGCCGAGCGGCGCUGAAGAAGAAAGACUUGAAGCUCGCGGACAUGGAACUUAAAGCUUGCGACGGAACCUGGGAAAAAUGAGAGAGCGGACGACGGACUGAAGCUCGCGGGGAGCAAGCGAACAGCGGCGAGGACUGGGUGAUAGCAAUUUGCUUGAGCAGCGGGAAGAGAGGAGGAAGAAGAAAACGUAAAAGAGAACCCCUCUUAAUCGCUGGUGCGCAAUUUAGAAUUUGUCUGUUGUCUCUGUUUACUAGAAGAAAGCAGAAAUGGAAAGCAAAUAAAGCAGAACAGCGAUGAUCUAAGAAUAGAAAGAAGGCGCACCAAGGAUCACUUUAUGUUUCAGAUUCGCUGGUUUCAUAGAAUGCUAAUUCAGUUGACGCGUCCCGCAAUUUCCUCUUCAUCAUUCCGAAUCUUCUCUCUAAAAGACUCCCAAUUGCCGUGAUAAGUAUCACAUUUGCCGCUGAGAUUGCAAUUAGAUGUCAUGUCCGUCUGGCACUCAUUCGGAACUUUUGAGCUCGAUGCAUCAAAAAUCCCUCUAAAGUAUAUAUUCCCAUGAACUCUCAACAGCCGCAAAAACUCUAAUUCGUGAAUGCCCUCCAUGCUCAGCAACCUCCAGCAGGAUUCAAUAUGUAACCUCUUUAAUUUCUUCAAGUUUGACAAACCUUUUAUCCUUCGUAAUGAACAGCAAAAUUCGACGGUAAAUGCUUCCAAUGAUUCCAACGGAGAAACAAAAUCGAUAACUUCUACCUUCCGGCACCUCCCCAUGUGGAAUUCUCGAAGCAUCUUCAGAGAGCUUAGGACAAGGAAAUUUCCCCUCCAGGGUUCAAUCAACUCGGGAGCUUGUAGCUCGUUGUACCCUGGCUCCUCUGGCACAAAACGCCUGCUCUUGACACAUAAGAUGUCAUGAAGACUUGGUUCGUCCAACGAGUCAAAGACAUCGAGAGAUUGACCAUCGAGUUGCCCGUACACCUCGUUUUCUCUUGAUUUUUCCAACGGAGUAAGCCCACUGAGAUGUACGUGUUUCACUCGAGUGUGGUCAAUCUUUAAAAUUAUCAAGUUUGGGGGAAAUUGCUUGAGGGUUCGGAAGUCUAGUCCAGAUAGAGUAAGUUCUUUCAGCAGAGAAAGGGAACCCAACUUUGUAGUUGGUGCGUGGACAUUUAAUAAGCAAAAGUGCAGCUUGCUUAGUUUGGAUAACCUCCCAAUCCACCUCAAUUCACCAGUUGGAAUUACACUUGAUUUGCACAGCCUAUCGUCAAAGUCAUCGGAUAGGAACAAUUCAACUAGAUUAGUAAGGUUUGAGAGAUUAGGGACAGUUAGCAACGAAGUAGAUAUUAGCCGUAGAGUGGUCAAACUUCUAGGGAGCUCCAGCCACUCUUUUAUACUAUGACCAUGUUCCAAGUUCAGUAUUUGGAGGUGAAGCAAUUUGCUCAUUGUACUAGGCAUUUCUACAAUCGGUGCGUUUAAUACAUUGGCAAAUGACAGGUUUCCUAGUCUACCAAUGGAAUCUAGUAAUCUUGUAAUUCUCGUGCGUGAUAUAUCUAGCUUUGUCAACAACUCUAAUUUCGAAAUUGAGUCAGGGAGCUCGCUCAAGCUAUCACAUUUACUAAGAGAGAGGUGCUGAAGAUUCUUUAGCUCUCCAAUUUGUUCAGGCAAUUUUUCAAGUUUCAAACGUAACUCAAUACUCAAGUUAGUCAACCACCUCAGUUUCCCAAUAGAGCGGUCAAUUUUCUUCAAAGAUGGACAAUGAUAAAUCGUCAACUUCUCUAAAACUAAGUAUUUGCGAAAGGUUGGUGUCCCAUGAAUGAAGUUAUUAUAUUCAAGAGUGGGAAUCUUCAAUUUCGUUGCCCCCUACAAAAGCCAAUGAAACAUCAAGACAAACAAUUAGAAGUCUCCCAAGUUGGACCUUAUGUCAUCCAAUCCUCUCACUAACUAAGAAAAUUAGGCAAUAAAUCUAUCAAAUUCUGUCCUUCAUUGAAUGAGAAAAUUAGACCAAGAGGGAAAGUCACGUACCUUGAUUACGUAACUGAUCUCAUCUUCAUUGAGUCUAGAGAAACAAAUAUUAAUCAGGACCACGCUUUCUAGACCGAAAUUGGUUAGCGAAUCACGUUUUCCAUAAUAACUUUUAGUGCCCCAAAAAAUUAUCCAUUUCAACUUGGCAAGAUAGCCCGUGAAGUCACCUUGGCAGACUACAUUACUCAACCAAAGAAACUUGAGAUGUGGGAACCGUCUAAGUUGCUCCGCCGUGAUAGUUGUAGGGUUGCUGGAGGUCGAUCGCAAACAGAGUGCUUGAACGCUUUCCUUGAUCUGCCAAUGACAUUGAGGAGCAGCGACAGGAAUUUGUCAAUACUCCCACAAUUUAAUUUGUCGAAGGGAAGAAAAAAGAAAUCAAACGGUAAAGUAGCUCCCAAUACAGAAACGCGAUUAAAUCCUCAAUUAAGAACAGGGUAAGCAAUUUUCUAUUCAAAUUUGGUCAUACUUUACCUCUAUUGAUCGUAAUUUGCAAAUAAUGUCAUCUUUAUCCCACAACCUAGUAUGCUCUUGUAUAGCAAUUGCCCUUCCGAGAUCUCUAAACUGAUCAUGCAUCCAAAUUUCAUCAUCUUCUAAAAACUUUAUCAUGCACCUAUUAAUAAGGACUUGAAUAGCAUACUCCACCUUAAACCCACAAUAUUUCCACUGGUAGAUUAGAUUAGUCUUCUUCCAACUGAUGAAAAAGCAUGCAACAUCAAGAAAUAUGUGUUGUUGAUCCGGUUCUAAGGCAUCAUAGCUAAUCCUUAACUUUCCCAACACAUCCCUAUGAGGUGUUUCCCUUAGCUUCUCUAGCGUCUCUUCCCAUAUUGUUUCCUCUUUCUGACCAAAAAGCAAUGAACCUAUAGCUUCAAGAGCUAAAGGUAGUCCACCUGUAGUUGAGACAAUGCCUUUGGAAAGAGUGUAAUAAUUGGUAGGAGGCGAACCAUCAUCAAAGGAAUGCCUACUAAAAAGCCGGAGUGCAUCUUUUUUGCUCAACUCCUCCAUUUCGUAAUGCAGGAUUUUAUAUUUAAAACCCCUUAUUUUUAGAAUGCUUUUAUCCCUAGAGAUAACAAGUAUCCUAGUACCAGAACACAAAGAAUUCACUUCAAUUAGUUUUAGGAUUUGGUUGCCCUCAUCGACAUCAUCCAAUACAAUUAGCAUUUUCUUGUUGCAAAUUGUUUGUCCAAUCAUAGUGAUCCCCUGAUCCAUGUUAUCAAUGUGAGGAGCCACUCCAAAAUUGGAGAUAUCGGACAAUGAUUUUCUUUGCAACUCAACCAAUGAGCCCUUGGUUUUUGCCAUUUCCCUUAUAUCAUCAAGAAAGCUACAAUUUUUCCCAAAGCGAGGACAUAACUGGUUGAAGAUAAUCUUGGCAAGUGUUGUUUUACCAAUGCCACCCAUCCCGUAAAUUCCAAUGAGCCGCACACCAAUGGAGUCGAUGUCUAAUAAAUUAUUUACGGUUGCCGUUCGAUCUUCCAUUCCAACUAAAUCUACAGUCACCUGUCUUUGUCUUGUCUUGAGCCUGACUAUAAUCUCGUUGACAACCGACUUGAUAAGAUCCCCGUGGCUGCCACAAAUUUGAACAAUUUCAAUUGAGAAAAGGCAACAAAUUUGCAUGUUGACCAACCAUCGACUAAGCAACUGAGCGGGAAUGCGACCAAGUUUAGGAUAUAUAAAAAUUCAAUGUUACCCCCAAAGCUUGGGGAACAUGAUGAAUGACAAAAUUGAAAAUCCAUUACAAAUUAAAGUUAAAAGGAAUAGAGGAAGAGAUAUGUUUGAUCAUUAUUUCAAGUAGAAGAAUCAAAAUUUCUGGCCAGAAAAAGGUAGAAGAAUCAAAAUAUAAACAUCUGAUGACUAGUGUUAUAGUAGAUUUACUCAAUUCUUUCAAUGUGAAAAGGAACUUUGCAAAGGCAACCGUUCCUUAAUCAAGUUCUCCAGCGUACAACAGGAAUCUUAAGACAUUCACGGAUGAAAUUAGUAUAAAAAAGAUGAAGCAAAGCUAAACUUUUAUACGAUGGAAAUUAGGUGAAAGCAAAAUUAUAAUAAAUCUAUUAGAUCAGAAAAAAUUGGAAAUCUCAUGAUUUAGAAAAAAUAAAAAAGAAUUUGAAACUUUCUGUUUAAAUUUAGGGUAAUUAGAGUUGAAAAGUAAUUAACGAAUUUUCAUAAGAACUAUGGCCUGAUUGUACAAAAUAAGUUUCUCGAUCAUGGUUAGAUUGUUACCCUGAAUAUUUCUCCAGCUCCCAUCCCUUGGUGCCAUCAACUUCUUUGAGAGCCUGCUGCCACAUCUCUACAUCCUCAGAGCUAAACUUCUUCUUCUGAUCCUCCACUUUUUUCUCCAAAUUCAUUAUGGCCUUACUAUACAACGUGGUUUUCAGCAUCACGUCAUCGGGUUUCGCAUCAUAGAAGAUGGGCAAUAUGGCCUUCUUCUUCCCAUCUUCUUUUGAUGUAGAGGUGUUCUCCACCAUCUUUGCAAGCUCGCGAAGGCACCAAUGACUUGAAGCGUAAUUUUUGGAAAAGAUAGGUAUAUAUAUCUUGGAAUUGUUGAUCGCUUGCAGAAGGCUGUCACUAAUUCUUUCACCCGAUCGAAGCUCUUCAUCAUCAAUGAAAACAUCAAUCCCGGCAUCCACCAGAGCAUGAUAAAGGCUGUUGGUGAAUCCACAACGAGUAUCAGGCCCUCUAAAACUCAGGAAGACAUGGUACUCACCUCCUAAUGUAUUCAUGGUGCUUGUCCCUAUCUUUGAGUUUGCCAUAGGAGCCCACUUCGCACUUAGAGGGAAUUUUUCACAAAGCCGAAGAUGUUUUGCAUUUCUCAAAUGCAAGUCACGAUGAAGAGCUUUGAGACUUAUGGGGGACAAUUAAAAUAGUAUGUGGAUGUUCAAUUUAACCGAUGCCUGUAGGAAACUUGUCAGUAAGAUCCUUGUUGAAAAAACAUCACAUUUCCUUGUUGAAUAAAUGCAUACAGGCAACUUCGCAGCAGGUGCAACUUCCAAUGAUAUUCAAUAAAGUUGAUGGCUUUACAAAAAAUAAGGUGGAGGACAAUGACGUAGUGCACCUUUUCGCACGUCCAAUUUCUUUCCAGUUUCUUCCGUGUUUUUAAACUUUUGCAUUAAAAAAAAAUUAACUCUCAAACUUCUAAAUCAUUUAUGAUUAACCUUUUGCUAUAUCUAUAGUUGGACAUAUUUAAAAUUCCAAUCCAAUUUUGUAAAUUCACAAUUUAUCUACAUAAAUGCAUAAUAACAAAUAUUUCUAAAGAAUCCUCUCUCAUUAUGACACAUGGGACUCUAGAUACCCUUUCAUUUCCUGUACCUUGACCCGGUAUUUCAUAGGGAUGAGGCGUCGCAGGAUCUAGGGUGGGACCUUGCUCCCCCCCCGGAAGGGGGGUUUGGGUUGUUGCGGAGAGCCUUGUGGGGAGGGGUUUUAGGGAAACCCUUCCCAAGAAACCAUGUGAGUAGUUUAAAAACCUGCUUAGGUCUAUAUCUGCUUCAUCCUAUAGAGAAUUGGAUUUUUUGCUUUCACUAUAAAAAGUGCUCCCCCUAAGCACUACCUAAAGCAUAUGCUUCCCACUCCCUAUAUAAUAUUUGUUUUGAUCACUUCACUUUAAAGACUUACGUUUUAUUAUAAUUAAUUACCUUUUAACAACUCAAUUAUCCUCAUAAAAUGUGCAUUUAUAUUAAAAAGCAAAUGAUUGCUCAAAUCUUUUACUUUUGCGCCAAUGGACUAUAUAUUGAUGUAGAAAAUAUUAGGUAUGAGUCUAAUCCGAGCAUGUGAAAAUUUUAGUGCACUCAUCAAGCAACACGUAUCGCUUAGGCCUCACUGUUGGCAAAACCUCUAACACCCUCACCUCUCUCCUCACUCUGAAAGGUGUUUUUUUUUUUUUUUUGAAUUUUUUAUUGAUUUUUCUAUUUUUCUUUCCUUUCUUUUCCUUUCUUUUUCUUUUUCCUCUUCAUCUUAAACCUUGAGCUUUCUUCUCCCCGAACAUGAACACCUCUAGUGUCACGCCCCGAUCCUCAGGCACGCACACAUCCCUUACUUUUGGUCGAUUUUAAAAUGCGAUAUCCCAGGACUAUGUAUCGCCGACCCUUUCAUUUAUAUAUGCACAUGCGGAAGCAGUUAUAAAUCCCCAAAUAAUAAAGCAAUGGGAUAGAAAAGCAUGCCAUAUAUUUUUCUUACUGAAAAUUCACAACUACAUCUUUUUACAUGCAUCUCAUAGUAUUCUACAAUACUAUAUAUACGCAACUCUGGUCUAACGUCUAUUCACAUGCAAACAAGGUCUAACAAGACAGGACAGGAUCUCGGUCCUCAUCUGGGUCGUACUUGAUGUCAUACUCGGGGUCCUCCUCCACGUACUCCUCUUCGGGUUCCUCAACAAGGAUCUCCUCGUUAGAUUCAUGCUCCUUAGGCUCCUCAUCCAGGUCCUGAAAUGGUUAUUCAAUAACCACUGAGACAACGUCUUAGCAAGUUCUACCUCCUAAGACCCGAUUAGCAAACUAAUACACCUUAGGGCUGCCUACGCACAACAUGAGUCAGAGAACUUACCUUAACCUCAGAUUCCACCUGCAUAUUAGUACAGAUCGAAUAGGUACAUAAGCAAUCACAUCACAGAUAAAAACAUCGAUCUAAUUGACUUAGUCGAUUUCAUAUCAGGAAGACCACUCACGAUCAUCUUCCUUCAAUCAUUCAAUUCACAACAUCAAACCAAGGCAAUGAAUCACAUCAAGUCACACUCAGAUCGAAUCAUCGAUCAAUCGACCUAGUCGAUACAAGCUAGUCGAAUCAUUUCUAGGUCAUUCAUCCCACACCAAGCAAUUUCUUAGAUUUAGUGGCUUUACGGUCCCACCUGACCCUCUCAAGAUCUAGUGGCUUUACGGUCCCACUCGACCCUCUCGAGAUUUAGUGGCUUUAUGGUCCCACCCGACCCUUUCAUGAUCUAGUGGCUUUACGGUCUCACCUGACCUUUCCAAGAUUUAGUGGCUUUAUGGUCCCACCCAACCUUUUUACAAUGCCAUACUAUGUCACCGAGCCACGUGCAUUCUCCAGGAAGACAUACCGAGUCUCCGAGCCACGUGCAUUCUCUAAGGCUACCUUCGCCAAGAUGACCAUAUCUAAUUCACCGAGCCACGGGUCUUUCCCCAAGUAACAAUUCCAAUUCACUGGGCCACGGUGCAUUCUCCAAGGUGGAUUAACCAAUUCACUUUCGAUACUAACAACCGAUACCCAACCAAUUCUUCAAUCACAAGGCCAAAAUUUCAUUAUUUAAUAACAUACUUAAAAAUGCACCAUUAAAUCAAUUCGACACGAAUUAAAGCUCAAAUAAAUAAAUGGAUUGCUCCACGAAAAUCAGCACAAAAUUCCAAUCACUGGCCAUCCCAGUUGAAUUUCCGGAAAAUAAAUAAUUAAAUAAAUCAUUUCGAAAAUUAAAUAAAUAAAUACAAUAAAUUCAAUUUAGCACAAUAUAAAGCUCAAUUAAAUAAACGGAUUGCACCACGAUCAUCAGCAUAAAAUCCUGAUCACUGGCCAUCCCAGUUGAAUUUCCGGGAAAUAAAUAAUUAAAUAAUUAAUUUCGAAAAUUAAUAUUUAAUUCCUAAAAAUACCACCUAGGCCCGAUUUGCUUAAUUAACACCCGAUAAGGGACGGGAAAAAUCCCAAGAAGCAUCCAAUAAAUACUAUAGGCAAUUCUCUAUCUAAUCACACUAAUCACACAAUUAAUAAGCAAAGCAAUUAACUAAUAAUCACUAAUAAGUUCUAAUUUAACAACCUAAUUACACUUAAUUAACCCUAAUCAACCUUUAAGUGCAAUUAGCAGACUAAGAAGGCAUUAGUGAGUAAAACUCACUUGAUUAAAUAUUUGCUCGGAUCAAAUCAAUGAGCACGCGACAAAGCUCGAUCUUCUCCAAGGUGAGUCCUCAAACCGGGGCCCGGAACGGCCCGAAAUCGGUCCCGCAAACUCACGGAGAGGCUGGGCUCUCUGAUCUUGCGUUGCUGGCCUUGCUAGUCGGUCCGAAUGGGUUGACCUCAGCUCGGUUCGGGGCUGAGAUGCGGCCAAACUGGAUGCGGGGAGGACUGCUUGAUUGAUGCUGCGCUGAUCUGGACUUGAGGAGCACCGCAAGGGACAAAUCCGGGCUGGCUUUGCUGCUGGAAAGGAAAGCGAAAUGGAGCCAUUUCGUGGAGGAGCCGGUGGUCAACAAAACAGCCAAAGAAACAGCUUCGGCCUUGCUGGGUUGACGGAAGAAGGUUGGGCUGCAGACGCGUGGCCACGAGCUGCUGAGCUUGCUCGAUGAAAACGGCCGCCAAGGAGAGAAAAAUUAAGGAGCAAGCUCCCUCGACCGAACCAAGGAGGAGCAGCAGAACAGAAACUGCGCUCGGCGAAGGAAAAGAAGAGAAAAGCGGGAUCGUGGGGGCAGCUGGCGGCUUGGUCGUAUACCGAGAGAAGAGAAGAGAUAAGAAUGCAGGGGGAGUUGUCGGCUGAAGAUUUAAGGAACGUGCAAAACAUCGAGAAAAAGAGAGGGAGAGAUGUGAUCGUAAAUGGAUAGGAAGGAAUGGGGGUCCCAUGGGUCAACACUUAAACAAAUGAAAGACCAAAGCAAUUUCAAAGAGGAUACGUGUAUGGGACCGUCGGUCAUGGGGUGUGCGCAAAAUAAAGAAAGAAAAGGGAGGGAAAAAGCAAAACAAAAUUUAUAACUUUGCUCAACUUCAACACAAGAAUAAUUGGUCAUCCUAGGCCAAUUUCAACCUCAAUUUGCUCCAUUGAAGUUCAAAAUAAGACGGUCCUUUAGUCUCACGAAUUUCCUUUGAAAUCGACUUUUAUUUCAUUUUUCUCGGCAUCCGACUUUUUGAACAAAUAAUUUCGUUUGAGGUCCAAUUCAAAUGCAGAAAAAGCUCAAACAACUUCCAUUCACCGAUUCACUUACACCAGAUAUCAAAAGUCUCUUCAAAUCGGCCAAUCUUAAUUUCCGUUCNNNNNNNNNNNNNNNNNNNNNNNNNNNNNNNNNNNNNNNNNNNNNNNNNNNNNNNNNNNNNNNNNNNNNNNNNNNNNNNNNNNNNNNNNNNNNNNNNNNNNNNNNNNNNNNNNNNNNNNNNNNNNNNNNNNNNNNNNNNNNNNNNNNNNNNNNNNNNNNNNNNNNNNNNNNNNNNNNNNNNNUAGUUUUCAGAACUUUUAGACAAUGACCCGUGUCGAUUUUCUUCGAGCACAAUGACCCACUCGACACAUGGCGACUUUCGAUUAUCGUGAGAUCUCGAGAAUCAAGUACGGACACAUGGUACCAAAACGACAGUAAAAUCAAAUUAGUGCCGGUCGACGAGAGUUUUCCAAUUUAGUGGAGUCACCCACGAUCGGUCAUUCAUCUCAGUCAAACCAACCUAUUUCUAAAGAUUAGCACGGUCGAGAAAUCGAUUCAUGGUCGAAUUCUCAGUCUAUUUGCCUUAAAGUCCUUAAUAGCCUACCCAGCUAGUCUAGUUAUCUUGUGAGUGGCCAACUCAGAGAAAAACAUGUAGUCGCGUCGAUGAAAUGCCCAAUUGAUCUAAUCGAAAUCCGAACCCGAAAAUCUAGAUGUCACAUCUAGCGCCUGUAGCCAGCCGAAGCAAGGAUUGCUUAGUGUCAUGACUCUAGCUACCAACUGCCAUCCUUCACCGUCGCAAAAACACGACCACCCGCCAAUUAUCUACUCGACUAGCGUCAGUCACCGCCAUCUUUUUUCCUUUGUUUUUUCUUCUUCUUCCCUUUCACUCUAAUGAGGACGACAACAUCUCCUUCCACUACCACCCCACCGCCAUCUCUGUCCACCACCUCUCCGUCGUUUUAGCCCUCCAUUGUCAAGCUCAAGCUCAGUUGGCGAACUUGAGCCUCAGAUAUUGUGAUCUAGAUUUCAACUCGACCUAGAAUCUGAGUUGAUUCACAGUCGAUCGAGUUUUGCUUAGACAAUAAAUAUGACAUCAUAAAUUUCUCAACCUGUUUUCUAUUGAAUUAAUCGGACAUUUCAUUGACACGUUUAUAGGGUUAUUCUCAGAGNNNNNNNNNNNNNNNNNNNNNNNNNNNNNNNNNNNNNNNNNNNNNNNNNNNNNNNNNNNNNNNNNNNNNNNNNNNNNNNNNNNNNNNNNNNNNNNNNNNNNNNNNNNNNNNNNNNNNNNNNNNNNNNNNNNNNNNNNNNNNNNNNNNNNNNNNNNNNNNNNNNNNNNNNNNNNNNNNNNNNNNNNNNNNNNNNNNNNNNNNNNNNNNNNNNNNNNNNNNNNNNNNNNNNNNNNNNNNNNNNNNNNNNNNNNNNNNNNNNNNNNNNNNNNNNNNNNNNNNNNNNNNNNNNNNNNNNNNNNNNNNNNNNNNNNNNNNNNNNNNNNNNNNNNNNNNNNNNNNNNNNNNNNNNNNNNNNNNNNNNNNNNNNNNNNNNNNNNNNNNNNNNNNNNNNNNNNNNNNNNNNNNGAAAGGGAAACGAGAUCAAUGAUGGCCAUUGCCAAUAAUGGGUGGAAAGGGAAGAAGUCCAAGAAAGUGACGAGGACGAUGUCUUUUCAUGUUGGCCACUCGUCGUUUCCUUUCUUCUCUAUUUGGUUCUGCUGAAUUUCCCCUUUAGAUGCCAAGGGGAAGAGUUCUUAAUGUCAUAGAGAGCUCCGAAGGCUGCACCGAGCAUAUUGAAAAGCGUGCUGAAAGUUCCUCUUGAUCACACCAAAUAUUUCUUUUCUGAAGCCUAUUAAAUCUUUUGUUGAGAUUUGUAUCAUUUCGUUAAGAGAUUGAAAAAAUUAUUUUGAGAGAAAUUUUAAAAACUAAACACUGUAUAGUUAUUGAGUAUAAUUAGAAAUUGGAAAUCACCGAGAGUAUUUAAAUGACUUGAGUGUGAUUAUAACUUUCUUUAUAUAUAUUUUUAUAUCUAUAAUGGAAUCUUGUGCUGCUCUCCUUAUAGACAUAUACCACACGAUUGAAUCACAUAAAUAUAAAUCUAGUGUCCGAUUCAUUUUCUUGUUUUGUACAUUUUAUUCAAUUGCUUUUUCUUUUCUUUUUUUCAAAAGGGAAUAUGGUUUGAAGAAAAGUGAAACCAAAGUAAAAGAUAUUCAAUAGGACCCGCAUUAGGCAUUCAUGAACAAAUGCAUGAAAAUGUAUCUUUUAUUUUCUUAAGAUAUCGAUAAAUAUUUAUAACCUUAAACUUGUGGUUAGUGAUAGAAUUUGUCCCAUCGCCUGCUUAACAUUAACUCUGAUCGUGAGUACGAGAUUCAAUGCAAUCUACACGACCCGUUUCUUCUAAUGUCCCUUUGACAAUGCAUAGUGAUGUUCUUUUAUUGCCAUUUGCUCCUUUAAAUUGUGUUAGCCCGUGUGUUUCAGUUUGACUCCUUCAUUUUCCACGACUUUAUGGUCAAAUAUAUUUUAUUUAUUUAGUUUUGAAUGCGAUAUAUCAAGAAAAUCAUAAAUUUGCAGCUACAUCUUGACAUAUUAAGUAUGUCUAUUUUGCAUGAUUUGACAUAGAUUCUCACGACAUUUAUUAGUGAUACAUUUUUUUGUAGCAUGAUUUACCUAAUCAUUUUCAUAUUUCAUCUCUAAAUAAGUUUUUGGUGGAAAGAAAUUGAAAAUCAUUAUGAACAUUAUUCNNNNNNNNNNNNNNNNNNNNNNNNNNNNNNNNNNNNNNNNNNNNNNNNNNNNNNNNNNNNNNNNNNNNNNNNNNNNNNNNNNNNNNNNNNNNNNNNNNNNNNNNNNNNNNNNNNNNNNNNNNNNNNNNNNNNNNNNNNNNNNNNNNNNNNNNNNNNNNNNNNNNNNNNNNNNNNNNNNNNNNNNNNNNNNNNNNNNNNNNNNNNNNNNNNNNNNNNNNNNNNNNNNNNNNNNNNNNNNNNNNNNNNNNNNNNNNNNNNNNCAUUCGGUUAGCUCCAUUCACAGAUGUAAGGAGACGCCGGGGUAAUGAGUAAAGACACUGUGAUCAAAUUUGAACAAAACGUCGUUUCAAAAAUAGCAUUCAAAAUACACAUAAUGCAUUCAUGACAGUUUUUAUGAACCCAACAUUUCACAAAUUAUGUAUAAAACAACAAUCCUUCCAAAGAUAUGGCAAUCGGAUCAUGACUAUGGUCAUCUUUGAUGCGCAACUUUCUACAACUCAGCAACACCUUUUGAAAAUGCUAUGAACAUGUGCAUCUUAUGUAGGGGUGAGCGGUUCUAGGUUCCGAUUUGGUUCCGUCUGGAACCUGGAACCUACCCUCGAGUACAGGUUCCAAAAGAUUUGGAAUCUGGAACCUACCCGUCAGAACCAAGAACCUGAAACCUACCCUAUCACAGGUUUCAGGGUCGGUUCUAGGUUCCAACAAUUUUUUUUUUGUUUUUUUUUUUUUCAGAUUUGAACUAUAACGUACACGCAUAUUAUGGGAAUCUUCAGCAUAGUCAAGAUGCUGGCUGUCACCAAUCUUUCUUCUCAAAUCAUAUGUUUUUAUCAAAACAUAGAAAUCCUUUUUGUAAGUCCGCGAAGAAGUUCUGCUAUGCUUAACCUGUUAACCGCAAGUUCAUAUUAGGAGCAAAUCUACCAAAAAUCAUGCUGGUGCAUAUUUCUGUUUUCAAGCAUUUAAAAUAUCCCUAUGAACACAAAAAAACCUAAUCCAAUCCUUAGAACAAAAGAAAACAACAAACUCACAGAAAAACGUAGAUUGGAGCGGUAGAAUGAUGUAAGCACAAUCUUUGUCUCCUUUGACAUGCAAAGGCAUCGAAUAACAUCUUCUCGAACACAGUUAGUAGCAGUAGCAGUCAAAGCCAUCAGUGGGAUGUCAAAUUUCAAGAACUUCAUCUUGGAGGUGCUGAAGUUCUCUCUUAACACAGAUAGUUUCCUGAAACGUGAAAAAACUUCAAUCAGGAAAGAAUCCUUACCAUAAUCUUUAAUCAUCAUAAUUGUCCCCUCUAUCAACUAGGAUAAUUAACAUGCAAAGCUGAACCAAUGGUCAAAGUCAUGGUAAAUAACCGAGCAACAAGUAAGAAAAAGAGAGAAGAAAUGACUGUAACGAAAAUCAAAUUUUAUUACAGAAAUGAAAGAUAGAUAUAUAUGAGGUAAAAUGACAGGUUUACCAUCGUGUCUAUGAUUAACAUAUGUGACACUUUUAGCAAGUCAGGUCUAAGAUGGUUAAUCACCUGCCAAACAAAUUAGGUAGUGCACAGAGAAAGAUCGGAUCAGAAGAAAAGGGUUAACCUGUAGUCAGGCUGAAAAUCAUGGCCCCAUUUCGAAACACAGUGGACUUCAUCAAUUGCAAAUAAUGCGAUUCCUCGGCCUGCUGCUAGACUUUGUAGUGGCUUUAUAGCCUGUAGGAAGAUCCAUAUCACUCGGUAAAAAAAAUGACAAGAGAUAACACCACUGCACAUGACAAUUAACUUUUGCUAGAUGCUAAUAAUCUGUAUAUUUUGAUAGAUGAUAACUCGUGCGCAAAUGACACAACCUAAAAGGAGUCCAUUUGAUCAUGCAUAUAUCCAUUAUGCGGCACAUUGUUAUCCUUGUCCUAUAUUGCCUCUACAAUUAAGGACCAGUAAUUCAUAAGAGCCACUUUGUAUAAGAGAACAUAACAUUCACCGUGCACACAAAGCACCACAUUCUAUGUUGACAAAAUUCACCCAGAUCACAGAGCCAGAUCACAUUCAUUGAGAACAGAACAUUCAUCCUCAGCACACCUUCAUUAUCAUCAACAAGAAGAACAACAUCGACAUGCGCUAAAAACGUCGCGUUAAGAACAACAUCGUCGCACUACAGGCAAUGAGAUGCACGCUAAGAACAACAUCGUGGCACUACAGGCAAUGAGACGUUCCAGGUGAUUCGCAAUCAUCAUCAGACGCGCAAAACGAUCGGCGGAAAGCGAGAUUAGAUGAGGACUGUACCUUGAUUAAUCUCAGCAAAUGCCGAAUUUAAGAGAAGGCAAAUCGUGCAAUGUUUCCAGAACAGGCACCCUCAGGCUUCGCGAUAAACAAGUCCAGCGACUAGCGUCGAGUGGUGGUAGCGUGGCUUGUGACGUUUGGCGGCGGCCUCAAGGGUGAGCGGCGUUGGUGACAGGCAAAGCGGCCUCGGCGACAGGCAAAGCACGGGAGAGACUGGUGUCGAGCGGCGAGGGUUCGGGCGAGUGGCGUUGGCGACUGGCAUCCAUGGCGUCUAGCGAUGGCGGCCUUGAGGGUGAGUGGUGUCUGGUGGUGAGAGUCAAAGUGGCGUCGGCGACAAGCAAAGGUAGAGUAUGGCAACAACUGGCGUCGAGCUGAGAGGGUUCGCGCAAGCGGCAUCGGUGACUGGCAUCUAGUGGUGUUCGGCGGCAGCGACCUUGAGGGCGAGCGGCGUCUGGCGGUGAGAGUCAAAGCGGCGUCGGUGAUGGGCAAAGGCAGCAUGGCAGCGACGGGGCGUUGAGUGGUGAGGGUUCACGCGAGCAACGUCAGCGACUAGCAUCCAGCGACGUCCGGCGACAACGGCCUUGAGGGCGAGCGGCGUCCGACGGUGUGAGUUCCAGGUCUGAAAUGAAAUCUGAAUAGGGAGCGCCAAGGAGGGGAGGGGGGCUCCUUUUGGAGCCUUAACCAGUUCCGCAACUGGUUCCGGUUCCGUUUUUGAAACCGAAACCGGAAUUGCCGAUUCCCGGAAAAGAGGAACCGGGCAUCGGAACCGGUCCCUUAAGAACCGGGAACCGAAUCGGAACCUCCUGUUCGGUUCUCCGGUUCCUGAUUCUACCCGAGAACCGUGCUCACCCCUAAUUUUAUGCUUUCAAGCCAUUGCCUCAAACGAUUGGAAUACAUAAAAGACGUUAGUGCUUGCUUUUUAGUAAAUCGAAAGGUCAUGCGAUACCAUAUUACAAGAUCCCCAAAAGAUGCCAACAUGCCAUCCUUUGAAAUCAUGUUUUUACCUUUUAAUUAAUCACGCAUGUUGCAUACAGCUUCAAUAAAUCCGAAAGGUUUUAGGCAUGUGUAAAUUGAUGUUAUCGGACGAUUAGUUUUUGGACCUAUUUCUUCAAUAGCUAAAGGUAGUCAAUAUGUGGUAUAGACAACGCCUCUAAGAGUGAGUAGUAACUAGCCGGAGGAGAGUUCUCAUCGAAGGCAUUUUGUCGCGACCAAUUUUUCGAGGGUAUGAACCACCUAGGGUUUGGCUAAUGGAUUGUUAAGCCUAGACUUAACUUGGGCUCUCCCAAGCCCAUACCAAUUCGCGACUUAGGUUUGAAUUGUUAACAUGCAAUUUUUUAAUUAGGAGUCGCCACUAAUCUAUUUUUGGUGGGUCGAUUAGAAACCCUAGUAAAGUAAUGGGAGAUUUACUUUACUCCUACGAACCAGAGACUAAGGGUACGGGGACUUGGUUACGUUAGAUUUCUCUAACGCCCUUACGGUACCUUUCUUUUUAUUUUGAAAAAUGUUUGGCAGGCAGCUUGAAUUGAUUUUGAACUAUCUCCCUAACAUGUGAGGUGUUCAUACAGGUGCGCAAACCACCAAUUUAAUACCCAAGAAAGCAAUUAAAUCAUGUAGAACUUACCUCAAAGCAACGAAAGCAUCUGCAGUGUUAAAUUAAAAUCCACAUCAACAAUCCUAGAUAUGGUUUCUAAUUAACACGCAAUUUCUUUCUUUUUGUUUUCACUUAUUAAGUGAAAAUAUAGUCAAUAUGCAAUGCAAUGCUAUUAAUUUAACAUGAAAUGAUAUAGCAUGGCGACAUAACCUAGACUAUAUAACAUAAAAAUUUUAUGAUCUCUUAAUGAGCAUGUAAUUGUUAAAUAUGCAAUGCAAAUUAACCAAAAUGACUUAAUUCUAAUGACGUGCAAUGCAAUGCAAUGACGUACAAAAUUAUUUCAUCUAAAUGACAUGCGACAUUGCAAUUUAAUAUGCGAACUAUAUGUCACGCGACAUUUAUUAAAUGACCUAAUCUGAUGACGGUCAAUUUCUAAUUAGAAAUAAACCUUAACAAUAAUCACUAAAUGACGUGCAUUGUAUGAAACUAAUUUUAUAUGACGUGCACAUGAUUUUUAUUUUCCUAAUAAGCAUGCAAUCUAUUUAGGAGAAAUUAUCUAAACCUAUAAUAUGCAAUCUUAGCCUGCAAUGACGUGCAAAGAAUGCUCUAAUUCUACAUGACAUAUGCAUAUGACAUUUUUUAUUAAAAAAAUGCAAUCUAUCUUAGAAAUUGCAACUAAUUUAUCCUAAGAAAAAUUUUAUGAAAUCUCAAAUGAUCUAUAGCUAGAUUAAGAUUCUAUCUAAUUUAAACUAGGGAUUAAGUCAUAUUAAAUCCUAAUUUAAACCAAAACAUUAUCUAAAUCUAAAAUGCCAUUUAUCUGAAAAAGAUGAUCUAAAAUGAAACAUGCAAUUCUAAUCUAAUAUGCACAAUGAUUUUUUUUUUUGUGUUUUUCUUUAAUCUCGAAAUUAAAAUUAAUACAUAAUUAACAUGCAAUUCAAAUAAAAAAAACUAAUAACCUAAAUGAAUGCACUUUCUUUUUUUGGAUUUUUUUUAUUUAAAAAAUUCAUAAUAAGAUUGCAUUCCUAAAUAUGCAAGAUGACAACAAACCUAAUCCUAAUUAAGAUUUUUUUGAUUUUUUAUUUUACGAAAAUAAGAUUUCACUCAACCAACUUGAUGAUAGCAAAUCAAACAAAAGAUAAGAUUGAUAUCCAAAAAUUGGCGAACCAUAUCUCGCGCAUGAGAUCGGGUUGACCAAUUUUAAUUUUAAAUCGCGAAUCAAAUCUCGGGCUUGAGAUUUGAUUGUUGAUUUUUAUAAGGGAUUGCGAGUCGGAUUUCAGGCGCGAAAAUCGGACUAUCAAUCCCUAGCUUGAGGGCACUUUCAUGUUGGAAUCUCAAUCAAACAUUUAAGAGGAACAAUUCCACUAAACAAAACCAAAUAUAAAGGAAAAUAAAUAAAAAAACUAUAACUGGAUAAGCAAUAAUAAUAAAAUAAAAGAAACUACAUAAAUCCCUUUUCCCUUUUUUUUUUUGUUUUUUUUCUUCUUUCCUUUUCCACGUGGAACCGUGGGUCUUCGAGGAGGUCCACCAGGAGUUAAUCGUCGGAGCUCCGACGAUGAGGACCAGCAGCGAGCGGAUUGGCGGCGAGCGGUGGCGUCGCGAGGAGCAGCGGUAGGCGAGAUCUCGGCCGGCGUCGCGGGUGCAGGUGCUCGGCUCCGACGGCACGGCAGCGAAUGGGACUGCAACUCGGGGAAUCUGGUCACAGUGUUGCGGUGGGCUCAGAUCUGCAGGCGAAGCGGCUGGCGUUCGGGCAGCGGUGAGGGGGGUGAGUAGCGGCGUCGAGCAGCAGCGAGGGGGUUGAGCAGCGGCGUCGGGCAGCAGCUCCGUUACGGCAGAUCAGGGACAGAGAUCGGCUGAGGCGCGAAGGGCUUUAUCUGGCCGGUGGAACGGAUCGACAAGGCAGCAGCAGUUUCGCAGGGGCGAUGGAGCUGGAACGCGGAUCCUGGGUCGUCGGGUUGGUAGGCGAAGCAGCAGCUCGGCCAGGAGGCGCGGCUCGUCGAAGGAGCAGCAAGGACCCGUGGAGCAAGGGCGCCCGGGCGGAGUGCGGUUACAGAUCUGUUCGGGUCUUGCUCCGGAUAGAGGGGAACGUUAGGCGUCGGACCAGAAGCGGCACAGCGAUGGCUUCAAGCGGGGGCGGCGGGAGCAGAGGCGAUCGGAGCAGGAGCAGCGUCAGUGGUGCUUGGUGAUGGCGAGCGAGAGAUCUACAGGUUGUGGGCUUCGGAGGCGCGGUGGAGGUGGGGCAAGGCGGCGACGUCCGAAGUGCAGCGAGCGCGGGCAGCAGUCGAUCCCACCGGAGAAGAAGAACAGUGUUUUUUUUCCUUUUUUUUUUAUUUCUUUCUCUCUCUUCCUGUCUCUCUCACGUUCUUUUCCUCUGCCCUGUGUACUUUCUGCAGCUUCUCCCUUUCUUUUCUUUUUCUGAAAUUUUUUUAGAGAAGCCCCCCCCCCAAACCCCUCGCACGCACGGCCUUUUAUAGGGGAGGGAAUUGGAUUUUCAAAUUCUUCAUCGAAUCAACCUUCGCAAAUCUUUUUAACAAAAUUCAUCUCAUAUUGAUAAGGAUUCGAGAUCAAGAUGAAAUUUUUUCUAAAUCCAAAUCUUUUAAAGACAAAUCGCAAUAUUUUUUACCCAUCUGCCCUAUCCAAAAAAGAUUCAUAUCUCGGAAAAAUUUUAAAAUAUUAUAUUCCCACAAGAUAAUUUUUAAUUAUUAAAAAGCACGGGCUUGGGCCAACCUGUUCGCUUCACGGGCCUGAUCCAUCUAAUUUGAAUAUAUCCGCCACUGGUCCAAUAAAAUGCAAAAAAUGCAAAUAACAAAAUAAAUGCAACUUAAAUCUAUAUGCUAUGCAAUUAAUAAAAUUAACCCCUAAUUUCCUAUGCAAUAAUAAAUUAAUUAAAUUAUCAAAAUUUAUGUGUCAACAGCUGCCCCUCUUUGAAGGUGAGCUCGUAGAUGUUGCAUUCAAAGACAAAUUGAAACCGAAAUUUUGACCAUGCACAUGCACUGAAUGACUUGAUCUUUGAUUUUUGAUUUUUUUUCUUUCCGGAAGAUGAAUUCCAUUUUAAAAUGCAAUUAAUAUGAUGCUUGAAAAUGCUAAUGCAAAUGCAUGAUGUGAAAGGAAAAUACGUACUUGCAAUUUCUUGCCAGUCAGUGCGGUAAAGCAUCUUGAGGUACAUGAUAAAUCCCCAUUUACUCUGUAAGUACCUAACUCUCACUCAGGUUCCUUGAAGAGUGUAACAGGUAAUAGGUUGAGACAUUGAGAUCGAGAAGACCAUUCACGUCCAAAGUGAAAUGUUCAAAGAAUUGAGACAUCCAGAUCCAGACUGAGAUGCCAAGAUUUCUGAACUCUAAAUACCUAGAUCCAGACUAAGGUAUAAUGAGAAGGAUCGAAAAACAUUCACAUCCAGAGUGAAAUGUUCAACGAAAAGAAUUAAGACAUCCAGAUCCAGACUGAGAUGUCAAGAGUUCUGAAUUCGAAAUACCUAGAUCCAGACUAAGGUAUAACGAGAAAUGUUGAAAAAAACAUUCACAUCCAGAGUGAAAUGUUUAGACAAAAAUAACUAAGACAUCCAGAUCCAAACUGAGAUGUCGAAAUUUUGGAAAUUGAAAUACCUAGAUCCAAACUAGGUAUAACAAGAAUAGUUGAAAAACAUUCACAUCCAGAGUGAAAUGUUGAAUGAAAAUAAUCAAGACAUCCGGGCCCAGACUGAGAUGUCAAGAGUUUGGGACUCGAAACUAAGGUAUGACGAGGAAGAUCGAAGAACAUUCACAUCCAGAGUGAAAUGCUCUAACGAAAAGAAUCAAGACAUCCGAGUCCAGACAGAGAUGUCAUGAUUUUUGAAAACUCGAAAUACCUAGAUCCAGACUAAGAUAUAACGAGGAAGAUUGAAGAACAUUCACAUCCAAAGUGAAAUGUUCAACAAAAAGAAUGGAGACAUCCAGAUCCAAACUGAGAUGUCUAAUUUUUGGAAAAUGGUAAAGAAACUUACCUGGAAUAUCUUACCUUCAAGGAGGGUAGAGUGAUCCAAAGUAGUUGAUGUUACAUAUCCAGGACUCGUACUUUUCUACGGUCACCUAACAUUGCAACAUUGAUUAUCUGACCAGGACUCAAACCUUUUCUCGAUCGCCUGAAUCUGAGGAAAACUUCUAGGGGACAACUCCGUCGAUUCUAGUGUCGGUGCAUUUGAGAGGGAAAUACCUGUGUAACGACGAGUAUUCGAGUAUUUAAGGUAUGGAUAGAGAUAUACUUACCUAGUAACAUCUCUAAUCCUGGGGGAUAUGUCUCCUGCAAAACAUGGUCAUAGGAGAGGUAAUAUGCAUUUAUGAUCACAAACAUGCAUUGAUUUAAGGGCGGUUCAUGCGCUGUGAUUUAUAUCAAGCAUGCAUCACCUAACUUCUAUUGGGAAGGAUUUCACAAAGAAUGUUCCAAUCUGAACACAUGAGUGUCAUGGAUGUACCAAAUGGGGGACCUCUUGGUCUGAAAGGACUUUUCACUCAUCCUCAUUAAAAUGGGUUGUUUUAUCCUGACUUUUGAUGCAGGAUUUUUGACAAUCACUCUAUCUCACUGUCAUCAUGCCAAACAAGGGUCUUGAGCAAUCUCGCAAGUGGUACGACCUUACCAAUCUGAGAGGACUUUAACAGGGACCGCAAUGUGAGGUUGGUCAACGGCUUAACAAAGGGGACUCUUUGAGUCGAGGCUAUUAAAAAAAUGAAUGAUAUUUCGCAAUCAUCCUAGGGUUUACAAGCCAAGAAACAUGAGAAAUGAAGCAGAAAUUAUCUUACUCGCACUUCUUUAAGCGGUGCUUUCAAACAUAUGAACUUUUACGUUAAUUCAAGUGCCCUAAUCUAAAGAGACUUUGCGAGGGACGUAACGUAGGCUAAGUUCAUGGGUUGAGAAACAAAAAGAUGAUUAUGCUCAAAAAGUGUUUAUGGGGUCAAAGUUGGUGACCAUCUUGACAUUUCCACCAAUUUUCCUCCUCAUCGUCGAAGAUUUUCUUCACUUCACAACUCCACUGAUUGCAAUAUCUCAACAUUUGAGUUUUUUUUUUUUAGGUACCCAUUUGUUAGGGAUACGACUCACUUCAUCAAGUGUUUGAUUUUUUCUUUGGGCAUUGGCUUUGCUUUUACCAGGCACACUGCUUUUUCAUGCCCCAUUUUUGCACUCUUUUUUUUUUUACAAAGUCUUCAUUUUUAUCAGCAUUGUAAACCAUGCUACUUGAGUGGUUUGAUUUUUCCUUGCCCCAAUGUGGGGGAUAAUCACCAACUAGGCUUAAUAUGAAACGAAUUCAUAGGCUCAAAUGGGCUAUGCAAUGGAUAAUAUAGUGUGGAUAGAGAAAGAACUGCUCUUCGUCAUUCUAAGGCACUUCAAAUUAUCGUACAAGUUACACUGCGAAAACAAUACUCGAAGAUUGAUGCAAGUUUGAGUAAGAAAAUUCCUACGAUUUCAUUUCAAACUUUGUCCCAGUAUGGGAUGAUCCUUGACAGGGAUAACUUUAGAAGCUUUUCUGUGUGUGGGCUCAAAGGGCUGAACAAUGGAUAUAUUUGUAAUGUUUCGGGUAGCAGAAGAAACUGCCUCUCAUCACCUUAGUUGACGUACCCUUUGCGAGAUCACCCUUUUCCUCAUAGGCAUGGAAUUUUUCACACAACUCACUGGGGGUUUGUGUAUGGAAUGGGUUUGCCUUUCAUCAUUCCAAAGUAUCCCAUUUCACACAUUCAAUCCAUCUCACACAAUUCAUCAAGGAAGAAAAAUGUAAGAUUUGCAGCAAAUUUGAACGAUUCAAUUCACUGAGAAAAUUUACUCAUCGUAGAAAUGCUUGCAGCUCAAAUCAUGACAUAGCAAAUUCUAUCAUGGAUAAUACUUCUUGAAAGCAUUAGAAUUUACUAGAGUUUGAAAACUCAUGACCAUCCAUUUUUGCUAGGAUGGCACCUCUUGAAAGUACCUUCCUUACCACAUAUAGGCUGUAAUUUGGAGCAAACUUACCCCCAGGAUCUUCCACCGAAGAAUGAUGGUUCUCAUUUACUUGCCCCAAAUCUUUUUUCAUUGCAAGUGCGCUCUAAAUCUAUUGAUCACAAGUUAAGUAUAUGAUCAUUGAAACUUGAUACGUUAUUCUCAGAUGUCCCUUGUCAUAACAAGUUAUAGAAUUAUGCUCUGAGACAAGAAGCAAAUGAGUUAGAUAAACAAACAGGUUUAAUCUGCUACAAGUUUUGGGAAUUUUUUUUUAGCAGUGAAAUGCUUUUGUUUUUGAAAAGGUUUUUGGGAAGAAACAUGAAAGAGUCCAGCCCUCAGGAUUUCUCCGUGGAUGAUAUUUUCUUUUUCAUGGUUGGAUAUCAUCAUUGGACUGGUUUGGAGUACCCCAUCAUGUCCUCAAAAUUGGAAAUAAAAUUGUAAUUUCAUUGAAUAGAAUCAAAUGAAUUACAUUAUUAGAAUGGAAAUUGUGAUUCCUAACCCCUAAAAAGAGAAAACAUCAAAAAUGAUUCCUAAAAAGCGGAAACCAAUCCCAAAAAGUGAUAAACAUUCCUAGAAAGCGAUAAAAAUUCCUGCGCAGGGGAAUGUGCAACAGUAACAAGUUACUAUUGCAGGCUAACGUCCAUGUCUUCCGAAGGUCCUUCGUCAUUGGUUCCUAUGAAGAGGUCAUCGAACAGACUUGUGAUUCCUUCCAGGGCAUCAUCAGAGUUCUCUGUCUUUGGAGACGUCGGAUCGUCCAUGUCAUCCCAUCCACUUGGAACUAUGUUGCGGGAGUCAAAGUAAAAGCUGGGAGGAGCCGAACACUUCACUAAGUAAUCAAACUUGCCACUAGACUGCCCUAGAGUGUCCAUCACUUCCACUUCAUCCUGCCCCAUCUUAGGGACAUUGUCAGGUUUAGGUUUUUCAGCAGUGACCAACAGUGGGUCAUCUUCCAGGUCAAGCAUGUCACCAUUGCCCAUUUGGGUCUUACCUGACUGCUUCAGGACUACUGUCUCAGGGAGAGUAGGUGCAAGAGUCAAAUCCGUUUGGAGGGAUUGGAUUUGAGCUGUCAUGAAUUGCAUAGAGGUGAGCAACUGUCGGAGUUGGUCUUCCAUAGCGGAGAUACGAUCACGCAUUUCGGUUUGGUCGGCCAUUCUAGCUCUCGAUCGCGUAAUACGCGGAGGAUUCGUUAUCACCUAAUUCAAAUGAAAAAUAUAUAAGUAUGAGGUGCAAAUAAAGAAUCAAUCCAUGACAAUGAUCUAUCAACUUUUUUUCAUCAUUUUUUUUUCAUAAAAAAACUCUUACAAGGAGGGAAUUUCCUAAAGAGAGCUAGAAAAAUAGACAUCCUAGUAAAAUCAAAUUUCCUAGACAUGAAUUGAAAACAAAUUCUCCAAAGUUUUUUUUUAUUUUCCAAAUGAUUUAUUGCAUUACAAUUUCCUCAUUUCAUUAUUGAAAGGAAUUAGAUCAAAUGACUAUCUUAGAUUGUCAUGGAUAGACCAAAAGCAUGACAAAAUAAAUUGCAUGGUAUAGGGAUAGAAAACUUACUUUACCAAGAAAAUUCGACGGCAAUCACAUAGACAUGCGCAUGGUGAGUGGCUCGAUUUCUAAUCUAUAAGGCUUAUCAAGGUGGAGCCACAAGGAUGAUCAGACUAGCCACGGGCUUGUGGACUAUGUCGGGUCCUCAUGACUUCGGCUUGGUCGAAGAGCCGACCUGGGUCGCGGGCAUGCGGACUGAGGUGGGUACUCUUGACACCAUGAAAGAAACUUCGGGAUUGAGAUGGGCGACUCGUACCGCGAGCAUGCGGUCGAAGUGGUAUCCAUCUCAAUACCAUCCUAAAUGAUCCUGUGCGGCCCAGGUCCGGCAGCAGGUUGUGUGUGCAAAGUGUAGUGAUUUAUGCAAAGCAUGCAUAGCAAUUUAAAUCAAACAACACUUCAAUAUAAAAAUAAACCAUACAUUUCUUACACCUCCCUGCAAGGCAAGGGUUAGUAAUCACUUCCCCUUAUACCUCCCAAUCUGCAAGAACAUUUAACACCUAAAUGUUAGGGACGUACCUGGGAUCCUUGCUGCCAAACAAAAAUAUUUUUCAAAAAAAGAAAAUUGGCCUAAGUCCACUAAGAGUUUCAACUCAAGUCCCCAGCGGAGUCGCCAAGCUGUCGCGACCAAUUUUUCGAGGGUAUGAACCACCUAGGGUUUGGCUAAUGGAUUGUUAAGCCUAGACUUAACUUGGGCUCUCCCAAGCCCAUACCAAUUCGCGACUUAGGUUUGAAUUGUUAACAUGCAAUUUUUUAAUUAGGAGUCGCCACUAAUCUAUUUUUGGUGGGUCGAUUAGAAACCCUAGUAAAGUAAUGGGAGAUUUACUUUACUCCUACGAACCAGAGACUAAGGGUACGGGGACUUGGUUACGUUAGAUUUCUCUAACGCCCUUUCGGUACCUUUCUUUUUAUUUUGAAAAAUGUUUGGCAGGUAGCUUGAAUUGAUUUUAAACUAUCUCCCUAACAUGUGAGGUGUUCAUACAGGUGCGCAAACCACCAAUUUAAUACCCAAGAAAGCAAUUAAAUCAUGUAGAACUUACAUCAAAGCAACGAAAGCAUCUGCAGUGUUAAAUUAAAAUCCACAUCAACAAUCCUAGAUAUGGUUUCUAAUUAACACGCAAUUUCUUUCUUUUUGUUUUCACUUAUUAAGUGAAAAUAUAGUCAAUAUGCAAUGCAAUGCUAUUAAUUUAACAUGAAAUGAUAUAGCAUGGCGACAUAACCUAGACUAUAUAACAUAAAAAUUUUAUGAUCUCUUAAUGAGCAUGCAAUUGUUAAAUAUGCAAUGCAAAUUAACCAAAAUGACUUAAUUCUAAUGACGUGCAAUGCAAUGCAAUGACGUACAAAAUUAUUUCAUCUAAAAUGACAUGCGACAUUGCAAUUUAAUAUGCGAACUAUAUGUCACGCGACAUUUAUUAAAUGACCUAAUCUGAUGACGGUCAAUUUCUAAUUAGAAAUAAACCUAACAAUAAUCACUAAAUGACGUGCAUUGUAUGAAACUAAUUUUAUAUGAUGUGCACAUGAUUUUUAUUUUCCUAAUAAGCAUGCAAUCUAUUUAGGAGAAAUUAUCUAAACCUAUAAUAUGCAAUCUUAGCCUGCAAUGACGUGCAAAGAAUGCUCUAAUUCUACAUGACAUAUGCAUAUGACAUUUUUUAUUAAAAAAAUGCAAUCUAUCUUAGAAAUUGCUUAGAAAUUGCAACUAAUUUAUCCUAAGAAAAAUUUUAUGAAAUCUCAAAUGAUCUAUAGCUAGAUUAAGAUUCUAUCUAAUUUAAACUAGGGAUUAAGUCAUAUUAAAUCCUAAUUUAAACCAAAACAUUAUCUAAAUCUAAAAUGCCAUUUAUCUGAAAAAGAUGAUCUAAAAUGAAACAUGCAAUUCUAAUCUAAUAUGCACAAUGAUUUUUUUUUUGUGUUUUUCUUUAAUCUCGAAAUUAAAAUUAAUACAUAAUUAACAUGCAAUUCAAAUAAAAAAAACUAAUAACCUAAAUGAAUGCACUUUCUUUUUUUGGAUUUUUUUUAUUUAAAAAAUUCAUAAUAAGAUUGCAUUCCUAAAUAUGCAAGAUGACAACAAACCUAAUCCUAAUUAAGAUUUUUUUGAUUUUUUAUUUUACGAAAAUAAGAUUUCACUCAACCAACUUGAUGAUAGCAAAUCAAACAAAAGAUAAGAUUGAUAUCCAAAAAUUGGCGAACCAUAUCUCGCGCAUGAGAUCGGGUUGACCAAUUUUAAUUUUAAAUCGCGAAUCAAAUCUCGGGCUUGAGAUUUGAUUGUUGAUUUUUAUAAGGGAUUGCGAGUCGGAUUUCAGGCACGAAAAUCGGACUAUCAAUCCCUAGCUUGAGGGCACCUUCAUGUUGGAAUCUCAAUCAAACAUUUAAGAGGAACAAUUCCACUGAACAAAACCAAAUAUAAAGGAAAAUAAAUAAAAAAACUAUAACUGGAUAAGCAAUAAUAAUAAAAUAAAAGAAACUACCUAAAUCCCUUUUCCUUUUUUUUUUUGUUUUUUUUUCUUCUUUCCUUUUCCACGUGGAACCGUGGGUCUUCGAGGAGGUCCACCAGGAGUUAAUCGUCGGAGCUCCGGCGAUGAGGACCAGCAGCUAGCGGAUCGGCGGUGAGCGGUGGCGUCGCGAGGAGCAGCGGCAGGCGAGAUCUCGACCGGCGUCGUGGGUGCAGGUGCUCGGCUCCGACGGCACGGCAGCGAAUGGGACUGCAACUCGGGGAAUCUGGUCACAGUGUUGCGGUGGGCUCGGAUCUGCAGGCGAAGCGGCUGGCGUUCGGGCAGCGGCGAGGGGGGUGAGCAGCGACGUCGGGCAGCGGCGAGGGGGGUGAGCAGCGGCAUCGGGCAGCAGCGAGGGGGUUGAGCAGCGGCGUCGGGCAGCAGCGAGGGGGUUGAGCAGCGGCGUCGGGCAGCAGCGAGGGGGUUGAGCAGCGGCGUAGGGCAGCAGCUUCGUUACGGCAGAUCAGGGACAGAGAUCGGCUGAGGCGCGAAGGGCUUUGUCUGGCCGGUGGAACGGAUCGACAAGGCAGCAGCAGUUUCGCAGGGGCGACGGAGCUGGAACGCGGAUCCUGGGUCGUCGGGUUGGUAGGCGAAGCAGCAGCUCGGCCAGGAGGCGCGGCUCGUCGAAGGAGCAGCAGCGGCGCUCGAGCAGCAAGGACCCGUGGAGCAAGGGCGCCCGGGCGGAGUGCGGUUACAGAUCUGUUCGGGUCUUGCUCCGGAUAGAGGGGAACGUUAGGCGUCGGACCAGAAGCGGCACAGCGGUGGCUUCAAGCGGCGGCGGCGGGAGCAGAGGCGACCGGAGCAGGAGCAACGUCAGUGGUGCUUGGUGAUGGCGAGCGAGAGACCUGCAGGUUGCGGGCUUCGGAGGUGCGGCGGAGGUGGGGCAAGGCGGCGUCGUCCGAAGUGCAGCGAGCGCGGGCAGCAGUCGAUCCCACCGGAGAAGAAGAAUAGUGCUUUUUUUCCUUUCUUUUUAUUUCUUUCUCUCUCUUCCUAUCUCUCUCACGUUCUUUUCCUCUGCCCGGUGUACUUUUGCAGCUUCUCCCUUUCUUUUCUUUUUCUGAAUUUUUUUAGAGAAGCCCCCCCCCCAAACCCCUCGCACGCACGGCCUUUUAUAGGGGAGGGAAUUGGAUUUUCAAAUUCUUCAUCGAAUCAACCUUCGCAAAUCUUUUUAACAAAAUUCAUCUCAUAUUGAUAAGCAUUCGAGAUCAAGAUGAAAUUUUUUCUAAAUCCAAAUCUUUUAAAGACAAAUCGCAAUAUUUUUUACCCAUCUGCCCAAUCCAAAAAAGAUUCAUAUCUCGGAAAAAUUUUAAAAUAUUAUAUUCCCACAAGAUAAUUUUUAAUUAUUAAAAAGCACGGGCUUGGGCCAACCUGUUCGCUUCACGGGCCUGAUCCAUCUAAUUUGAAUAUAUCCGCCACCGGUCCAAUAAAAUGCAAAAAAUGCAAAAAACAAAAUAAAUGCAACUUAAAUCUAUAUGCUAUGCAAUUAAUAAAAUUAAUCCCUAAUUUCCUAUGCAAUAAAUAAAUAAUUAAAUCAUUAAAAUUUAGGUGUCAACACAUUUCUACAAAAAAGUUUAGAUGUGUUUAUUUUGAGUGCAUGCCUCAUUGUUCGUCAAAUUUCUGCCAUUCUUUUGUAUUGGACAAUUCAGUAAUAAUAACAUUACAUUCAUUAAAACAUUACAUUCAUUAAUGGGAGCUUUAAUUACAUUCUUAAUGCGAAAAGCUUCUCCACCGUGUCAUCCUUCUUUGGAAACUUACAGAAGAAGAAUUAAGGCGUUGCAUGAGAAAAGGAGAAAAGAACGUCUAUUAUGAGAAAUAAACAAAGAAAUUCUUGAUUUGAAUGCCUGACGUCCGAUGCCACUUUCUUUAGCGAGAGACAUCAUUUUGGACGUUUGUAUCGCGUGACUCACACGAUUCAAUUGAAACUUAUGAACGACAACUUCACAGCAGUUGCAGCUUUCAAUUUAUAGUCAAUAAAGUUAAUGGCUUUAGAAAAAAAUGAAAUGGAGGAGAAUAAUGGAGGUGAACCUUUUUCCAAACCCAAUUUCUUUCGAGUUUCUUUGUUAGAGCUAACAUUAUCACUUAAAAAUGGGUGAAUAGGUGAUUAUAAACAAUUAAAGCGGAGUUUAAAACAACCAAGUUCGAUAUCAUGAAAAACAAAAUUUGAUGAAAAACUUUGUAGUGAUCAGAUUUUCUGCAACGUCUAAUGAAAAACUACACAAUAAUCAGACUUUACUAUGUGCAAUAAAUAGAAUAAAUGAGAGAUUAAAGAAUAGAGAAAAUCGCACACAACAAUUAUAGUGGUUCGGCUUAUGAUAAGCCUACAUUCACUCUUCCAUGCUAUAGCCUAUUGGUUGGAUUCCACUAUGAAGAACUAAUAAGAGCUUACAAGAUAUGAGCUCUAAACACUCAAGUUCAUGUGUAUGACUCCUCACACACUCUCAAAUUAUACAAUGAUACUCAUAGAGAUGAAUGUAUUUGACCACAAAACACUCUUUAGACUUUGGAAUUAUAAGUUUCGAUUUUCUUGUGUUGCGUUUUUCCUUUUAGCUUUCAGACCUCCUUUUAUACUUCUCCCAAACCAAGCUAACCAUUGGACAUAUAUCCAAAAAGAUUAUCCAGCCAAUCUACUUGUUGGCCUGGAUCUCAUUAAGAAUGUUUGAUCACUUCAAGGAUGCUGAGAAUAAAGCUUCCCAUAGAUUUUGCUUCUCAUACAGCAGUUUGGGUUUUCAUAAGUCGAGUGCUUCAAUUUAAAAAGAAUGUUUCGCCUCAAGUAUAUCGUUCUAGGAAAGACAAGGAAUCCAAUCAAUCGCCACUAACCUUUACAUGAGGAUAUUGUCUCCUUCCUAGCUGUUUGAUAGAGUACAUAAGAAAUGAAAUAAUUAAGUCAUAACUCUGGUUCUAAUUGACAUCAUCUGGUCAUAUUCCAUUAGAUUUUGCACUUGAAAAAUACUUAUCAUCACUUCCCAUGCUGAACCUUCUUGACUAGCUCAACGCUCUCUCUCUCUCCAUGCAUACGUGUCUGACAUCCAAUCGAGGUUGAGACAAGACAUGUGACCUCCAUUGGUGGAGGCGCUCAAGUUCAUAUCUGGAUCGCCCAACUUGUCCUCCUAUCUAGUCUAAAUUGAAUUAGCUAGUUAAUCGUAUCCACGUAGGUAUCCUCAUUGACGUAUUAAAUGGCUAGUUAAUAUUAUUAAUUGCCUCAUCAGCAAUUUUUGUUAGUCAACUUAAUGAAAAUAUUGAAUGAAAUUCAUGAAGUACAAGUACCAUUAUAUUGCCAGAUAUUUUUGGGGCAGCAUUGAAAAAUAGGGAAAAGUUUAGGGAGCAUAAUUAAAUGAAUGCGUGGUUUAAUAUUUAAAUAUUCUUACACCCAUACUAUUACUGAAAAACAAAAGAAGAUAAUACAAAUCAUCAAGAUCUUUAAUCGGGUACCUAAGCGAGAGAGCUUGAUUAAUAGAGAAAGGUCUUUAAUGGGAAUCAUAUUUGCAGAGAAGGGACGUGAAUAAUGUAUGUUUUACCUCUAGCUAGAUCAUUCAAUGCAACUGAGUGAUGUGAAGAUGCUAUUCUGUUAAUUUGUUUCAAUCUCCCUUAUGGAAACUAGUAGAAACGUUUUCUUGUAGAUUACAAGAACCAAUCCUCGGCUUUCACUUAAAAUACUAACUUCAUAUCCACUAAUUCCGAAAUCUAUCCACACUUUGCAACAAGAGGUUUCAAAAAAAAAAAAAAUGUACAGUUCGCACGAUCUAAUUUCCACAAUUUUUUAGACUCAAAAAGAUAUUAAAUCUGACCUUUUUUUUUACAUCAAGGCGCAAAAUGCAUGCUCAAAAUAAUAGCAGACGCAAAAUAAAUCAUAAUAAAAAGUUGAUAAUGAUUUUUGUGUUUUCCAUGCAUAAUGAAAAAUGUAGUUGAGCCACAUAGGCAAAUAAAAGAUUAAUGGAAAAAUUGUCUAAUUGGUAUUAAACCUAUUGUAAGGACAUUAAUUCAAUUAUAAAUUAUCCAUUUUUACCAAUUUAGCGUUAAAAUUUUACCCCAAAUUCUAGAUUUCUAUUUAAAAUUGGCCAGAAUGACUAUAUUGAAAUUUUGCGUAAAAGUUGAAGACUAAAUUAUAAAAUUGAAAGGUUUAUGACCAAAGUGACAUCCGUUAAAUAAGUUUAGGACUGAUUGGAUAAUUUUUUGAAGGAUUAACCGCUCCGUUAUUUUCUCUACUCUUAUAGCCCGUUUGGAUAAGAAAAUAAAUAAUAUAUAAAAAACACACACAUUUAUAUAAAUUAAAAAAGAAGUAUAUAUUUUUGUCUUACAAAAAAGAGAUGUGUGAUAUCUUUCACCCAGAUGGUUUUCAUUAAGUUUAGGGCGCGAAUGGUAACGUUUCUGUUCUUUUUUUGUUCAAGGGAAAAGAAACAAAAAAAAGUGUUUCUAUUCCGGGGAACAAUUUUUGAACAAAAGAACACGUUUGGUAACGUUUGGUCCGGGAAUAAAAAAUGAACAGAAACACGUUUGGUAAAUUUUAUUCUUUUUUUAUUUCUUUUAAUUUUUUAAACAUUUUUAUUUUAUUUUUUAUUUUUUCCUUUCUUUUUAUUUUUUCUUUUUUCCGGCCGGUCCCCGGCCUCCGGCGACCGGCCGACGAGGCCGGCAGCCUCGCCCAGCCACGGCGAGGCUCGCCGGCCCUCGCCGUGGUUGGGCGAGGCUNNNNNNNNNNNNNNNNNNNNNNNNNNNNNNNNNNNNNNNNNNNNNNNNNNNNNNNNNNNNNNNNNNNNNNNNNNNNNNNNNNNNNNNNNNNNNNNNNNNNAUAUGGCUUUGAGCUCAUGGCCAUGGCCAUAUAAGUUCAAAGCUUGCAAAGCUUGAGGCAGCCAUGGCUGUCAAGCUUCGGAGCUUGCUUGCGGUUGACAUUGCUACUCAAGCUCGAAGCCUGUGACCAUCAUGGCCAAAUUUGGCUUCAAAGCUCUAGAUCUGGCCUUGAAGUUUACGGUCCAUAUCCGUUUGAGCUAGAAGCUUGCGAUUUGCCAUGGUUAGAUCUACUUCAAAGUUCACAACUGCCAUGACCACUUGAACUUAAGCUUGAAACACGUGGUUGUCAUGACUUCUUGAGCUUGAAGCUCGUGGCCAGGGUAGAGAUCGAGCGGCCACGGGGUUGAGAUCUAAAGGUCGUAGAUCUCAUCUACGAGCUCUCAAUCGCCAUGGCUGCUCGAGCAUUUGAGCUGCAGCCAAGGCUACAGGAAGAAUCCAGGUCAAAAAUAGAGUCAAUUUUUGAAUAUAAAGAAAAAAUAUAUAAUAUAGAGAAAUUAACGACGUUUCCACCACAUCAACAAAUAUUCACAACGGCCCCAAAAUAUAUAGCAACAUUUGAGUUAAGGCUUAGCUUCAAAGCCAUUUGAGUUUUAAAAGCCCAAAAAAUGAAAAAGUACCAAAUUCCAAUGUUAAAUUAAACGAAAAUUCACAACAGACCCAAAAUCUACUUAAAACAAAAAAGCAUGAAUGAAAAAUAAAAUAGAAGGCCAAGGAACGCUGCAGCUUCUUCGGUAAAUAGUCCUACAGAUGGUUUGAGUUCUUUCGUUUGAUUAAUUUCUUUGAUAAAGUUAUUUUUUUUUCAGGUGAUUUUUUUUCAGGUGAUUUUUUUUCAGGUGAUUUUUUUUUCAGCUUCAAUGAGAGCUUGCAUUCCGAGAAGAGCAGGUUCUGCACUGGCUGGCACUCACUGCGGAACUCACCACCUAUGUAGCACCGACACGUACACGCGACACGACAUAUCGACACAUCAUUUCUUAAAAAUAGAUAAUUUUGACACAUUCCGAUACAUUAUAUAUUAAAUAUAUUUUUAAUAAUAGAAUUAAUUUACACGAAAAAUAUUAAAUAAUAUUAUUCAUUAUUUUAAUUUGAUACAAUAAUACACAAAACUUAAAGGAAAAAAAUUAUUUAAAGAAAAAUGCUGAAAUGAUAUUUUUAAAUUUAUUUAUUUAUAGCAUUUUUUUUAUUACUUCUUUCAUAGUAAAAGACUUUAAAAAAAAUAAAACAAUUCUAAAAAAACAAAACUGAAAAAAAAAAUUGACCCCGUGUGUGUAUAUUUAUAACAAUUUUAUUACUUCUUUUGAUCCCUCAAGUAUUAGAAAUUUUUAAAAUUGACCCCGUGUGUGUCGGAAUCGCAUGUCGAAAUUCUGGACUCGCGUGUCGGAGCGUGUCGGAGAGAGUUUAUCACGUGUCGGAUUUUUCGACACUCAUUGACCGCGUGUUGGAGCGUGUCGGAACGUGUCGAAGUGUGUCGGACAUGUGUCAGAGUGUCGGACACGACACAAAAGCUUCCGGAGAGUGUCCGUGCUACAUAGCUCACCACUAGCUGACUUGAGCAGCCUCUUCAUUUCGCCAGCCCUCGUCUCGUACCGCACAGUGUAGGCCUUGAUUCCUGGGUGUUUCUGCUCAAACUUCGAGACGAGGUUCUCAUUCUCGUGCAGGAAGAUGGUGCGACCGUCAAAGUUGAGAACUUUGUACAGGAGGGCCUCGCGGUAAGGCCGAAAACUAAAAGGUUGCAGUGGGAGGCAGCAGCGGCACAACGGGCGACUGCGGCGGUUACGGUGGCAAGCUCAGCGGACAUCAUUAUGUGGGUGGACUUGGCAGUGGCGGCAUAGUGGAGGAGGGUGGCGGAUAUGGAAAGUGGAAGCGGGACUGAAGAGGUGGCACAACCCGUGGGAGUGCUUGUGUAGUGUAGGUGGUGAGUAGGGUUAGAAUGAAGGCGUUGGUGAAGAGCGUGCUGAUGAAGAUGAACCACCAGCUAUUGGUGUUUGAAGAUGAUUGCUUUUGGAUCGUGGGAUGGAGCAGGCCAUAAGGUCCAAAGACCAAAUCUACAUGAAUGAGGAGCAUACGGCCCAAAUCUGAACAAACAAUUCUGAGGUCAUCAAUUAAGACGGUUUGUAUGGUCCGCAGAAAACAUUGAUUGAUUGCGCGACCAGUCUCUGCAAACCCCAGUCUAGUUCACCUGAAAUUAAUCGUCCUAACCCCGGAAUUCGAAUCCCAGGGGAUGGAGUAUUAACUUUGUGCUUUUCUUCUCUUAAAAUCUCUCUCUCUCUCUCUCUCUCUAAGUAAUUUGUUCAUUUCAUUUAACAUAGUCAGAGAAUUGCAGCGGGCACUGUAUAUAUUAGUGUGACUAGAUAAUGGGGAAAUCACUACGAUGGAAGAAUUCUUGCCCAAAGAAAAACAACAAACGGAACAAAACAGAUAAAACUAAAAUAAGCCUACCUUCCAUAUUGACCUCUUAUCGAUGGGUAGUACUUCAUCUCCUGCACAAGUCUAGUUUAUAGCAUUAAAAGAAAAAUAGCUCGAAUGUGAUUGAUGCAGGUAGAAGGACAAAUUAAUGAACAAAAAUUUAGGGGCUUGUUUUGCACAAAAUUAAGAAUCAAUGAAAAAUAUGAACGAAAAUGUAUAGAGCUUUGUUAAUAACGAAAAUAAUCUUCUGUUGACUAAUUAUUUUAAACAAUACAGACAAUCAUUUCUUGGAAAAAAAAUAAUUUUGAAAUCAUCAAUUUCCCAUAAAACAAACGCACCAUUGACAAAUGAAAAUCACGUCACAUAAUUCUCAUGGUGCAAAAAUAUCUAACUAGAUAAUUACUAAAUAUUGAAAUGAAUCACCUAAAAUCCCAACAAAAUUUCUAAAAUACAAUGAUUAUAAAGAAAUAAACUUAAUUAUAAUCCUAGAAAAUAUUUGCCAGAUAGACAUUUCAUUCUUUUGCAAAACAUAUUUUUACUUUGAAUUGAUGAAAGAAUUAUGAGAGAUCUUUCUUCUUCUUCUUUUUAUUUCUUUUAGAAAUUUGCACACGCAAGUGUGUUUGCAUUUGUACCUAUAUUUGUGGAUCUAAUUAUCCGUGUUUUUAUCGUUUCUACCAUGUAAUGCCAUUUCUUUUGUAAGCAUUUUCAAUUAAAGGAAUUAAGGAACCGCAUCAUACCGAUGAAAACAAAAUUGGGCCUUUUGAAGUUAUCCUAAAAAUUUGAUCAUAGUGAUGAAACAGUAAAGAGAUGAAUAAAGGUGGGGCAUCACUGUCAUUUGACUUCACUCACUCGUGCGCACCAUUAACUCCAUUAUUGGGGCCGCAAGAAGGUCUGAUUGAUUCAAUCAUGGAGGGAUUUGCUGUUGGACAUGGACAUCAGGCCAUGUCAUGUCUUUUGGGGUUCGUUGAUGUCGGUGGCAAAUAAUACAAAUCGUCUCCUAACUAAAGACCAAGGUAAUAGUAGCAUCCGAUUUUGCUCGGUAUUCAAGGCUGGCCAAUACCGCUGGUGUAAUCACCACUGGUGUGGUCCUGUUGUGCCUCACCGCCGUCGCUCCUCAUGCUGAACCUCCGGGCCUAGCUCAAACCACCCCCCCAACCCUCCUCUCUCUGACUUCUGAUGGAGACUGAGGCUAGGCACAUAACCUCCAUUGAUGAUGGUGCUCAACUUCAUAUCUAGGUCGCACGACCUGAUGUCAUAACCAGUCUAAAUUGAACAACCAGCCUUCGAUGUCCAUGCAGGUGUCCUCGUCAACAUAUUAGACGUCUAGUUAAUGGUAUUAAUUGCCAUAUCAGCAAUUUUUGUUAGUCUUCAGGAAGUAAUGAUCAUAUCGAGUCAAAUUCAAAAUAUGCAAAUACUAUGGAAUUGCAAAAUAUUUCCAGCACAACAUUGUCAUGACAGGGAAAAGUUUAGGUACCGCCCAUACUAUUACCCAAAACAAUAGAAGAUAAUAUAAAUCAUCAACAUUGUCAAUUGGGUAUAUUAAUGAGAAAAGUUAAUUUACAGAGAAAGGUCCUUUAUGGGAAUCAUAUUUGCAGAUGGAAGUGAAUAAUGUAUGUUUUACCCCUACAUUCAGUCAUCCAAUACAAUUGAGUGAUUGUUUUAAUCUCCCUUAUGAAAAAUAGUGUAAACGUUUUCUUGUAAAUUACAAAAACCAAUCUUGGAUUUUCACCUCAAUUACUAACUUUGCAUUUGCUAAUUCCGAAUUCUACCCACACUUUCGAACAAGAGGUUUCAGAAAAUCUACACUUCGCACAAUCUAAUUUCCAUAGUCUGUUAGACUCAAAGAUCUAAAAUUUAGACCUUUUUCAACAUCAAGGCGCAAAACACAUGUUCGAAAUAAUAGAAGAUGAGAAAUAAAUUAUAAUAAAAAGCCAAGAAUGAUUUUUGUUAUUUUUUCUACAUGAUGAAAAAUGUAGUUGAGCCACAAAGGAAGUACAAACAAAAGGAUUAACAAAAAAAAAAUCAAUCAAUCCUAAACCUAUUUUAUGGAUGCUAGUUCAUAACUAACUUUCCAAUUUUGUCAAUUUAGUAUUAAACAUUUACGUGAAAUUCUAAUAUAGCUCUUUUAAUCACGUCAGCAAUUUCUAACUAAAAUUUUUCGGAAGGACUACAUUAGAAGUCUGCGUAAAGGUUCAGGAUCAAAUUAGUAAAAUUGAAACAUUUAUAACUGAAUUAAUAUUCAUACAAUAUUUAGGAUUGAUUAGGAAAUUUUUUUGAGGAUUAACUAUUCCAUUAUUUUCUUUUCUCUAAUAGUCCGUUUAAAUAGGGGAAUUAAAAAAUAUAUACUCAUAUAUAAAUUAAAAGAAAGUAUACAACUAACGGAAAAGAGAUGUGAUAUCUUAUGCCCAAUUGGUUUUCAUUUUGUUAGUAGCUCGAAAUUUGCGAUGUUGAUCAUCACGUUUGUCCCCCAAAAGUCAUAAAGUCAAGUUUCCCGUUUGCCCCAUCAAUUCAGUAUCUAGGAUAAUUCCAAGUUCUAUUCUCACGACCGCGCUGCUUAAUCAUAAUCUUCUGUCCAGGGAAAAGAACCAAAAAAAUUAUAAACCUUUUGUAUUUGUACCAAUUUAGUCCUAAAUUUUUUUAAUUAGACCAAUUUAGUUCUAAACAUUUUUAUAUUUGUACCAAUUCAGUCCAUCCAGCUAAUUUAAACCGGAAAUUGCUGACGUGGCCACGACAGUCUUAUUUGGUGCCAUGUGGACAAAUUUUACAAUUUUUGAUAUUUUUUUUAGAUAUUUUCAAUUAUUAUUUUUUUUUUCAUUUUUUCCUUUUUUUCUCUCUCUUUUUUUUUUUUCCUGUUUUCCUUUCUCCUUACCCCUCGCCAGUCGACUGUCGUCAGCCCCAAGCUAGUUGGGGAGAGGGCCCUCGCACCCUCGUUGGCCAAAACUGAGGGCGUCAACCCCCGCCCAGAUCUAGGCGAGGGCGUGGCACCCUCGCUCGUGGUGGGUGAGGGUGUCGUGCCCUCACCUAGAUCAUUAGGAUCAUUAGGCCCUCGCCUAGAUCCAGGUGAGGGCCACGACAGCCUCCCUUGAGGCGUCGCGGCUCUCCCACCAUGAGCUUGGGCCUUUGUGCCCUCACCUGUGGCUGACGAGGGCACGGAGGCCCUCGCCCUUGCUAGCUAAUGGGCAAGGGUUUUGGCCCUCGCCUAUGGCCGGCAAAGGGGCAGCGACCCUUGCUAGUGGCCAACGAGGGCACAGGGGCCCUCGCCUCGACUAGCCUGUGGUCAAUGAUGGUCAGCCAGCAAACUCAUUGGUCAAAGGAUAAAGAGAAAGGAAAAAGAAAAAAAUUAAUUAAAAAAUCUGAAAAAAUAUAAAAAAAAUUAUAAAAUUUGUCCAUGCAGCCCCACAUAAGACUGCCGGGGGCCACGUCAGCAAUUUCUGACUUAAAUUAAUCAGAUGGAUUAAACUGGUAUUAAUAUGAUAAUGUUUAUGACUAAAUUGAUCCAAUUGAAAAGCUUAGAUUUAAAUUGGUAUCAAUCAAAUAGGUUUAUGAUUUUUUUAGUACUUUUCCCAUUCUAUUCAAGUCCAAACGUGUCUUUAGUUAUUGCUUUGCCCAAGCUUUUGUAUUAUUGACAUAAUCAGAUCAAUGAUUGUGCCCUCCACGUAGCAAAAUGACGUCAAUGUACGGGAUAUAUAAUCCAUCUCUUAGGCAUCGAGAGAAAUGUUUCAUAGCGAUGUUAAAGUCUAGAUGACAAAUGCCAAAAGCUUCCCACUUUUUUUUGGGAAUUUAUCAUCUUGAUAUGGAAUAACACUACAUGAUACCCCUAAACUUUAUCGGCUUGUGUAAUAUCGUAUUUGAAUUUAUUUUUUUGCAAUCAGAUUCUUGAACUAUGAUUCAUUCGUUCACAUUGGAUCUUCCAUUAAAAGACCCAAAAAAAAAAAAAUGCUUAUGUGACCGUUAAAUGCCAGGUUGACUCAAUGUGGCUCCUACGUCCUCAUUAGAAAGAUUAAAGAAAUAAAAAUAAAAAAAUAGAUUUCUUCAUCGAAGGAAAUUUGGAGCGACAACACCAUCUUGAGCCGGAGCCCACAGGCAAUUUGUCGAUAGUGUUCGAGUUUAAUGAGGUGAGCGAGGAUGGGUCGGAACACUUUUCAAUAGAGGCCCGCCCGAUCGGCUUCGACUUUUUUGGCAAAGGCGGUGGCAUCCAGAGUGAGGUGGUGAUGGCUCGGAACUAGAGGCUCCCCUUCGGCGUCCCCUGGCUUUCUAAAAGGUGUCGCGUCGAUUUCCAACAACGUUGAAGAGAUUGGAGAUGACUGGAAAUUCCUCUGUCUUUUUUUUUCUUCUCAUUUUUUAAGUCAGUCAUAUUUCAGGCCUAACCCAGCCCAAAAUUAAAUUAAUGCCAAUCCAAGAGGACUUGUUUAGGCCCCAACCUUUUAACCGGGCCUGAAGUUGAUCGGGUGGGGCAUAUUUUUCAAUAAAUAAGCCACCCAUUUGCAACUAUGCUUCCCAUUACUAGACACCAUUUGGAACUCGCGAACUCAUUGCUAAUUUAAUCUUUAUCUGCAAAAGACAAACAAGCAUUCCUAUUCUGUAACAUAGAAAUGGCAACAAUUUAUUGCUUAUCCCUGUUCAGGAUCAAUAUUUUUCCCAAAAAUCAACCAACUAUUAUUAAAUUAACCCCAACAGCAGCCAGUCACGCUAUUUUGGCAAUAUUAACCCUAAAGCAAUGAAGAUAGUGCUGAAUAUUAAAGCAAGGGGAAACCAACCCUCACGAAUUUUACAUGAAAAUCUCAAUAUAGGAAAAAUCACGGGAUCACUCAAAGACUUAUACUAAUAACCAAGAAUAGUAGGAUACGCAAUAGUUUAUCCUUAAUAACACGGCCAGAGGCUCUUUAGAUUAGCAAAAUAUCAGCACCACAGAGGUGGAUUAACACAGAAGCAAGAAAGGUAUAACUGCUGCCAAAGAAAAUUAUGAGACAAUUUGGAGAGGAUUAACAAACAAAACCAAUCAAUUUAUAGAUCUUACCCUUCACGAACAACCUAUUGAAAUUUCCGCCAAUUCUAACAAAGUUUCACUAUCGAAUCUAGAUUACAACUUCUCUUCAAAGCAAAGCUUUCUGCCUCCUUUUCUUUGUGAAAACAAAUUGCUUGUCUCUCUCUCUCUUUCUCUCUCUCUUCUAAAUCAACAACAUUUAGCCCUAUCUUUUUAAUUAUUUUUUUUUUUAAGAUGAUGAGAUGGGCAAGUCUCCCCCUUCACCUCAUGAGGGAAGUUUCAUUAUACCCGCUUUAUCUAUACAAGAAUCAAGUUUCACCAUUGGUAAGACUUUAGUCGUCAUAUCAUAUCUAUUAUCAGCAGUGUAGACUUUCUCAAAUAAAAAGAGUUUCUCUUCUAAUUUAUCUUGGAUCCAAUGACAAGGAUAAGGCAUUAGUCUGGGUAAAGCAACCAAAUGCAUUUGAACAUCACUCUACCUUUCAGCAAUAUGACAAGGAUAAAGCAUCCCUGCAUAAUGAUGUCUUGUAUUUGCACGAAUGGAUUUGGUCUUGUUGGAGGCAAGACCACUUAUCUCAGCAGCUACCAAAGAGUUGAUAUAUCUAGAGCACUAUCAUGAAUCACUCUCUGAGGAUAAACACCCUCUAGGAAUGCCACGAGGGUGCCCUGAUGACGCCACGGACGAAGUGCCCUGUCCAUCGUCAAUCGCAUGUUGCCUAAGAAUGGACCUAACUAUUAGCAGUAACAAACCAAAUAGAAAUCUGUUACAGCAAGUAAGCAUUAACCCAGGUAACCAAAGUGGACUCUGCUUUUAGCAACAACUUCUGCAGAUUCCUGAGAACGCACGCUUGAUUUUUUGUUUGUCGCUUGUUCAAGCCUAAACCACCUUCACAUGUCAUAACUAAGGGUCAUGUUAUAACAAGUUUGUACUGGUGUUUAAUAUCCCUUCUCAAACGGCGAAAAUGCAACAUUGAAAUGGAGAGAUCAGUUUCCCUAUAUGUUGUCUAAUUUGCUUGCAAACCAUAAAUGGUGGAAGUUGAGAUCAAUGGUGUAACUUGACAAGCCUAAGUUUCAAACCACUAAAACAUGUGUGUUUACAGUAUUGUCUCUGUUAUCAUUUGAUCUUUUGUUUUGAUAGGGAAUUUUUUGGAAACAUACUAAAACUGACAUCAAAGGCACUUUAACGGCAAUAAUAUUAGGUUAUAUUAGUGUCGUGUUUGUCCAAGACUACUGGUACAUAGCUUCGAGGAAAUUUAACAUGAUAUCGACCGACUAAAUUAAAGAUCAACGCAGCCAAAUGCUAGACUCUUAAGAAAUACUGCCCAGUAGAGAGAUUUGUCAAUUAAGAAAUUUAGCCGAAGCUCUCUCUGUUUUUCUUUUACACAUUGACGGCCAGCAUAAUAAUAAUAUAAUGUUUCAUUUAAUCAUACCAUGUUAGAUAUUAUCUCUUGGCCACCAAAUGCACUUGGUCAAAUUCAGAUUUAGCAUUUGAUAAUAAUUAUGUUCUAUUUGUUUCACGGAAAAUGAAUGAUCCGAAAGACAUUUUUUAGAAAAUGAUCUCUUAUAUUGCUUAGAAAUAAUUAAUCGAUGAACAAUAUUUUCAUUGUCGAUAACGAUUUAUGUUUAAAUAUUUUGAUAAAAAGAAUUUCUUGAUCAUUAUAAUAUCUUUUUGAAAAUAUUUUUCUAGUCAUUCGUUGUGAAACAAACUGCACAAAAUGAAAAAAUAUUCAACCAAAGAAAAUGGACUAUUAGGCCCAGUUUUCAUUGGCCCAAAAAGCCUCUUGGGCUUAAUUAAACCUUCGUUCCUUUUUUUUUUUUUUUGAGCGAAAACCUUCGUUUCUUAGAAAAGCGAAAGAAAGUCACAUCUUUCAGUCGACCUCGAGAGCAUAUUUGGUUCUGAAAAGCGAAAGAAAAUAAUGGAGAUCUCUUGUGGUGAUCGAGAUAGAUAGUAGUGUAAGAAGGUGAGAUGAAGAUUUCAGAAAUGUUGUGCCGUAGUUGUGUUCAAGCCGUAAUUGCUGAUGGGUGUCUGUGGAAUUACUUCUGUUGGACGUGCUUGUUUGUAUAAACGGCGGUGCUUUCUUUGAAAUGGAGAUUAUUUUGUGCUUGAGGCAGAAAUUGGGAGUGCAAGAAAUUUGAGCAUGGACCCAUCUUCUUCAACUGGAAAGAGAGAUGUGCUUCAUUCCCUUUUUUCCAUGUUAAUAUGCAUGCGAUUGUUCAAAACGAAGUUGAACACAAUCUUUUGUUAAAUUUAAAGGAUCGUUACGAUCCUCGAUUACCUCACGAAAUUUCAUAAUUAUAUACUUUUUGCGCUCGAGUUGCUGAGUUCUUAUGGGGCAUGCUUAAGAUUUGAUUCCAUGUUCAUUGAUAUGUGGCGUCUCACUAGCAGAUGGGGGAGCUUGCCGGCGAUGAACAUGUCAAGUACAUACUGUUGUGAAAAUAUUGCUUCGAAAUGGGUUAAAUAAUGAAAUCGGAUCGAGUAAAACAACUCGGACUUUGAGGCAUGAUAUCACUUUCUUUAAGGAUUUAUUUGCCCCACAACGUUGCUAAUGGUCACCGGCAAAAAUCCUCCAGGAUACAACAAAGUCUCGGAUGAGAAUACUAAAUAGCAAUUAUAGUAUUUCUCCAGGGUCUCUCUAAGAAACAAUCGAAAAAUUGGCUGCAGUUUUUUCAGAAAGAAGACUCGAAAAAUGACCACACUUUUCUUUCCGAAAAAUGACAAGUAUAUAUAUGAAACAGUCUUGCAACUUUUCGUGAAAAUUGCGAACAAACACGUCUUUAGAAAAUUGUUUGGAUAAACAAAUGCGACUCUUCGGAAGAAGUCGAAAAACGAACAAUUACAAUCCUUCGGGAAAGUUAAAAACCGAAUAGGUAAUUUUCCAAAGGUUGUCUUGAAAAGACACAAACAAAAUUCGGAAUAAUUUUGUUAAUAAUAAUUUUUUUAAAAAUUUUUUAAAUAGAAUUUCGAAUUUUCAUUUAUAUUUCAUUUCUAGAAUUCUCAAAUUAAAAGGCAACCUUUGAACUAAAGAUAAAAAAUAAAAAAUAAAUAGGGCGCGCAGGCGUGCUAAGUGCGCCAAAUAAUCGCGCACCCGCACGCGGGUAUGAUGGGGUCUACCUCCACCUAAUCACUCCUUUAGGUACAAAAGGAAAUCCCACAUAUUUAAACUAACCCACUUGCUCCCACCUUUUCUAUGUGGGACAAAGUAAAAGGCACUCAUUUUGUUUUAACAAACAAAAUUCCAACACAUACUGUAUGUUGAAAACGUAGGUAUGACAUUUUUACAAUUCUCUUCUUGUUCUCUUGUCCACUUCCUGCCAGUUACUGGAAAUGACUUGGUUUUUCUGGAUCUGCUACCAUCCAGCAUUUCAGAGUUUACUGAUAUGAGUUUUUGGGUUGAUCCUGCACUCAGAAAAAGGAUAGUUUUUGAGUUGCUGGUUAUGGAGCACUUUAGAUUGAAUGAAGCAUGUUGGGGAUAGACCACUGUAGAUCUUCUUGGAAAGGUUGGCAUUGUGGAUUCAAAUGAAGUUGUUUCCUGCAAUGCCAGCAUGAGUCUGGUUUGCAUUUAUUUGUCUCUCGGCUUCUUUUUCGCGAGUACCCAUGAAAAACAUGCAGCUAACAGAACCACCACUCCACAUUCAAUCAAAUAUAUCUUAUUUGACAGUAUGCUUAAGAUAUCAGCUUGGGAAUAACAAGUUCCAUCUAUUACAAUGACGACCACAUCUUAGGAGUGAUUAGUGUUGCUUUAUUUAUUUAUAUUCUAAAACUUGACUCUAAAGAACAAAGUACGAAUGACACUUAGGGCUGCUUGUGCAGGUGGCUUUGGUGCCAAAUAUUGGACAUGAUCCGCAUCUGCUGUAUGCUCUCAGAGCCGUGCAAGUACUGGCCCUUUAUGACAAAUUAGAUGUUCUUGACAUCAAUAAGGCGACAGAUUGUAUCCUUGGGAAUAGAGUCUUAGAUUCACAAGUUCCUUGAUGAACUUACCUUAGGCUCUGUUUUGCAUUUAUAAGGUCAGAUUAUGUUGUGGAAUUUUAUAGCGUGUAUAUUGCUAACCAGACAUUGAUGAGGGGGGCUUUCUCUAUGGAGAUUGAAGUUGCUA